CUAUUUUAUGUACACACUUGGCCAUUAUGCAUUGGUCAAAUGAUGUAAUAUAUAUGUUCCUAUUUUCUAUAUAUACUUCACCAUCAAAUGAUGCAAUAUAUAUCGCCUUGGUUAUAUACAUUGUAUCACCUUCCCUUCGUUCACUGCUCUUAGAAAAAAAAGGGAGAGGAAAUAAAGGAAAAGAAAAUAGAAGAAACAAAUAGGAAAACUGCUACAGGUACUGGCUAUAGCAGUAGCGCUUUCUGUAGGAAAAUGUCAUCACUAUCGGUAAUAGCAGUAGCGCUUUCUGACAAAAACGAUAUAGCUAUCUGUAAUAGCAGUAGUGCGGUCUGUGCAAAAGCGCUAUAGCUAACUUAGCUAUAGCGUGUUUGUCCGGAACGUGCUACUGCUACCUCGACUUAACCCCCAAAAUCAUCACUCUCUCUGCUUCUUCCCGCCUUUGCUUUUCCCCCAAAUCCCCACUCUCUCUUCCCCCGUGGCAUCGCUGCCGGAGUCCUCGACCCCGGCGCUCGCCCCUGACCCUGGUGCUCGCCCCCGUCCCCGCGCUCGCCCCCAUUCCGGUGCUCGCCCCGGUCUCCCUCGACACCGAUGACCCUCAGUGUCGUGCCGUCUCCCCCAACCCCGCCUUACCUCGCUGACGCGCCGUCUCCCCCGACCCCAUCUCUCUCUCUCUCUGUCUUCCCUCUGUAAGCCCUCUCCCCUCCCCUCUUCUCUGCUAUUUAGUGCUAAUUAGUAUGAAAUAGUAUGAACCCUAGGAUAUUUUUUAGUGUAAGAAAAAACAGAAUUGAUUAUAUAGGUUUCUUGUAUUUUUUAGUUAAAAAAAUUGUUGUUAUUUAAAUGUUAUAGUGCUAUAGUUAGUUAACUAGAAUUAUUAUAUGAAACCUAGGAUAGAUUAGUUAAAGCAAUUGUUGCUAUUUAAAUUUUUUAGUUAAAGCAAUUGUUGCUAUUUAAAAAACAGAAUUUGAAGUGGACAGAUUAGUUCUAUAUUCUAAAAAACAUGACUUCUUGCAUUUUUCUUCAAGUUCUAUAUUUUCUUCCUUUUAUAUGCAAAUUUGAAGUGGACAUGUGGUAUGUUGACAUUUGAUAUGUGGACAUGUGAUUUGGACAUGUCAUAUUUGGAAUUUGGACAUGUCAUUUGGACAUGUGAUGUGCAGGGUAAAUGAUCCGAGUGGCCUAUGUUUCUCCAGAAUGUUGAUUCAUCUUCAUUCCAGUGAAUUUCAGGCUCUCAAUAUGUCCACUUUUUAGCAAGGUCAUGCCAAAAAAUUUCGUGAAUUUUGGCAUGACUUGUGCUAGAAAGUAGGCAUAUCGAGUGCCGAGAGUUGCUGGGAACGGCAUUUCGGCAAACAUAGAUCUUUUUUAUGUCAUUUCUCUUUUUUUAUAGUUUUAGAUUUAAACAAGGAGACUUAAUCAUAGGAAACAUGUCGAACAACGAAGAAAUCGGGCCUUCUGACCAAGAUGCAGACGAGAUGGAUUAUCAGGGUGAACAAGAGUACCUCGACUUUUUGCCUGCUAAGCAUAGUCAAGGUUUGCAGGUCGGCCUCGAUGAUGGUACUGACGCCGACAUCAACACCGCCGGCGCCGGCACCGAUGGCGGCGCCGGGACCGGCGGGGAAGAUACUGACGCCGAUGAUGCUACCGGAGAGAAGAAGCGGAAGAAGUAGAGGAUACGAAAACCUGACAAACUCGGCAUUGAACGACUGGUGAUCACAAAGAUGGCACCUGGCAAGUUUGAGCCAUUAGAGACGGAAGAAGCUCGCAAGUGCUAUGGGAACCAAGUAGGAUGCAUCCUACGGGAAUGCGCGAGCAUCAAACACGGUGACUUAAGGAGUAAAGAACAUUUGAGGCAGUUGCUCCAAACGAAGUUGCACAAGAGAUUCAAGUUCCCCGACUGGGAUGAUAGCAUAGAGCAACUGUGGGAUGAUCCGAAGAUGAAAAAGAUUAACAAUCAUGCCAUGGGCAUGUUCAACAAUGAUUUGGCCUCUUGGAAAGGGAGGUUGAAACGAGCUAUUGAGGCUGAGGAACCCUUGUCCAAGAUUCUAGAGGAAAAUCCGACACUUACGGAAGAGGAGUUCGAAAAGUUCAAGGACACUUGCGCUACCGAGGCAGCCAAGGCUAAGGCUGCAAAAUUCGAGAGCCUUCAUCAAAGGAACACGGGGAAGCAUCGCAUUGGAAGCCGUGGCUACCUUGGCAAAAGGCCCACAUGGGAUAAGGAGGAUGCGGAAUGUGAAGCCGCGGGUCUCCAAGACCCCUUCGCGAAGUUCACCAACCCCUUGGAGCGUGACUUCAUCAGGGGACACUACAAGUGGGACAAGGAAAAGAAGGUUUUUUACACGGACAGAACACAAGGACAUUGAUUAGAUUACUGGUAAUUAUUGUUUUACCCCCUUACAUUUAGCUCCUGAUCAAGUCGACUACACAUUCAUAAAUGAUUCACGUUCCUUCUACAGGAGAAGCAACACUAGCUUGCAGCUGAAAGCCCUACUUCGCUGAUGAGGCCCAAGUGGGACACCCAUCUCAACCGGGCCUUGAACGAACUAAAGGGAGUCCCUUUGGGCCAGCGGCCGCAAUAUGGACGUGUGCACGGCGCCGGAGACAGCGCCAUGUGGAAGGUGUUUUACAAGGAGGGCCUAGAGGCCAAGAAGCGGAAAAAGAAGUUUAUUUAGGCUAACAUCGAUGAUAAGGUGAUGCUUGCAGUCGAGAAAAAAGCAGUUGAGGACACGCAAAAAGCAGCAGAGGAGAAACAUGAUUUGCUACAAUAGGCAGUAGAUGCAGCUGUAAAUGCAUGCAGAAAUGAUUUCGCUACUAACUUGGUCCCGACUAUCAUCAACUAGAUGAAGGAAAAUCCAGACAAUACAGUACAUGAUUUCCCCAUCCCUAGUUUUGUCGGGAGGAACUCGGUGAACAACACCACCGCACCAUCACCUGCUCACGCAAGCGGGCCUGCUCUCGCACCCACACCCGCACCCGCUCAUAGCAGCCCGUCCUCAGUCUCUGGCACGCUAGGCGGGCCUUCGUCUUUGGCUGAGCUCGACGCCCUCACGGUAAUUACAUGUCACACCAGCAUAUAUAUCUAGAAUAUUCCAUUUUCAUUGCCUUUCGGAUGUUUUACGCUGCAGAGAUGUGUUUGCAGGCUGACGAAACCCCGUGCGCCAUACUCUACUUGAUCAACGGCCAGAAGGUGGACGUCAGAAAGGGGGUGAUAAUGAAGCCCUUGCAACUCACGUUCCACAACCAGCCGAUGCCCGUUGGGCACUUCAGGGUUAACUUGUCGAGUGUGAAAUCAGGGCAUGAGGAUUUGCCUCCUCCAUUAUGGCUAGGGUGAUAGGACGAUGAGACCCCGCUGCAGAUUGGAAGUUGCAAGGGUUGGGUGCUACUACGGGCGAAGAAUAUUCUUCAUCUGGAGCCGGCCGAUAGCACACCAAUAACAACACAUCAACAAGCAUGUAUGGAGACGACCACCCCGCCUACGCAAUUACCAGCUCAUGUAGUGCCGGGUGAGAGCGGCGGACGACGUGAUGAAGGGGGUCCAAUAGUGGCUGAUGUAAUCGGCCCCGUAGAACAAAGAAUGGAUGAUGAGAUGGAGGAGACGGAGGACCCAAUGGGUUUCCUCAAUACACGUGCCUAUGACAGUGACUUAUAUAUGAUGAGUCAGCCAUAUGACGAAUUGGGCUAUCAGCAUGUUGAUGAGGAUAUGGAUGAUCUGCCCGGGCAGGAAUGUCCUAGCAGGGAUUGCAAGAAGUCUCUCUUCAUGAAAUGCCCACAGGACACGCCUGAGAUGCCGCCUCAAAACAAGCUCAACUAGUCGGGGGUCGUACAGUGCUUAGCCCGGCAACACUGGGGCAGGGAUUAAGGAAGGGUCUGGAAGGUGUGCGCAACAAAAAGGAGAGGAAGAGACUGGGGAAGAUAGGCUCAGCUUCCUGCAAACAAGCGAGAGCACAUAGGAGCCAGAUGGUGGAUUCUGAGGAGGUACCCGUCAAAGGUGCGGCCAUGUUCCAUGUCAAGGGCGAGCCGAUGCUACCACCGAAAUUGCUGGAGGCACUAUCAGGGGAUCUCAAAAUACUGCACGACCAUGUGUUGUCGACUGAGACAAGCCUACUAGCCUCGAAGGAUCCAGGAUAUCCGACAUACGCGGCUUGUGUGCAUGAGUGGAAGUGCUAUGUCGACACACGGCCCGCGAGGUGUUCUUCCUGUGGUUUGACCAUAUCUUCGAGAUGUUUUUGACAAGGAGGCUCGAUUUUACAAUCGUCCGCCUUUUUGUGCUACAUAUGAGCUCCAUCAUGAAGAGAGAAGAAGUCUCGCAAAUCUGUGUUGCGGAUCCAUACUACAUGCACGAGUCCUUCUUGAGUCUCGACGACUUUGAACGUGAAACUACUAGGGAGUACCUCCAAAACUUCAUGGUACAGAAUAAGGACUAGGAAAUUGUCCUCCUGCCUUAUCAUCCAAAGUAAGUCAGUUUCGGACAACCCUUUUAUACAUUUCAAUCAUUCCUUCCCGCUCAUAUGGAGAAUAAUAUGACGUGUCUUUUCCCAGCAGCAACGGGCGCGCCGUCCUUAUCAUUCAUUACCCGUGAGUCUCCCACGCCGUGUAUUUGGACCCUACCAGAAACUACAAGAAGAAGGACUACACCCACAUAAUGAAUAUUCUAGGUGAUGCUCUCCAAGGCUUCAGCAUUAGGGGUGGCCACCUGCAGAUCAGGAAACAAAGGAACGAGAACACGGGUUUCGCGCAUAAAACUAACUUCUUCUGCAUCCAUGUCCUAAAACCAAGCAAGAAAGAUGGAUUCUACAUCCUCCAUCUCAUGAUUGAGUUCAUCACGGGUCACCAAAAGCUUCGCAUGACAAACAGAAAUGAUGAUCAUAUCCGCAAGUGGGUAGAAUCUCAUGGUGAAGCAGAUUAUAAACUUGGAGAUGACUUCUUUCGCGUCCAAAGGGACAUUGCAACGAUCAUCAUGAAAGAAGUCGUCGAUGAGAAGGGGAUGUUCCACCACGGUCCUAUAUCGCGAGAUGACGUCUGAAAUCGCAUAGGCAUGCAACGUUAUGACCUCACAUCCUUCAAGAAGCUAGGGUCCAUCCUCGAUGAUAUGGAAUGAUGGAACUUCUAGUGAUUUACGAUGCCGAUGAUGAUGAUAUGUGUCGGUUGAACUUGUAUAAUUUCUGUAGCAAUGAAACUUUGUGAUGUCCACGGUCCCUGCCGAACUUGCCUAAUGCUACUUUGUUGGUUUGGGUACGAUGACCUGCGUACCUCUAGUUAAUUAGUUUGUGUACUAUAGGUUGCAUCUAGUUGCUAACCCUUUCUUUUUCGUGUUGCUCUAGUAUAUUUUGUUGCAUAUGAUUGUACAUUCUCUUGAUGAAGAUGCAUCUCUAACAGGUACCUAGCUUCUUGAUGGCGAGGAAGCAGUGCUAUUUCGUGUACAAAGGGAAGGUUCUGGGGAAGCAGUGCUACAACGAGUGGCCUGAGUGUUAGGCGCAAGUGAAUGGGGUCUCGGCGCCAGCCAUAAAGGCUUCAAAAGCAGACAAGAAGCAGAAGCUAGUUACUUGAGGUUCACGCUAGCGCGAGAGAGGACUUGUAACUGCUGCCUCAUGUACUGCAUAGUUCCGCUCUCACUCAUAGUGAUAGCUCUUCUCGCGUAUAUCAUUGUUUAGAUGGAUGACGAUGUAGUUACAAGUAUUCGAGACUUGUAUCACUAUUUUCGAAAUGAUGACGAGAGACCACUUUCUGUUGGAUGAUGAUUAUGAUGAUGGCCACCUUGUAUCGCUAUGUAUAUGCUAUGAUUACAUUUGUAUGUGUAUGAUGUGCUAAAGAUUAUUGUAUACAGCCCAAAACAAAAUUCAGGACCACAAAAUGUGGAGCAGAAAAAAAAACUAAUAACAGCAGCGUGGGGUAUGGCAUUAGCAGCAGCGAGCUCUUAGUAGUAGCACUCUUUGCACAAGGGCGCUGCAGCUAUUAUCAGCAGCGCGUGUUGCAGACAAACGCUGCUGCUAUCCCUAGUUAGUAGUAGCGAUGGUCAGGUCGCGCUACUGAUAAACAUUAGUUGUAGCGCCGUAUCAGUAGUGCGGCCACCCGCGCUACUGAUAAGCAUAUAACACGUGCUACUACUAGGCUUUUCCCUAGUAGUGGUGGGUUGCCGACCGUUGUCGGAGAAGCUUCGUUCGAUUUGUGUGGUGUCCACCAUGAGCUGGCUGUGGGUGGCCUCGACAUGGUCAUGGGAGGUCUCCAACAGGGCUAAGGCCGCCGUGUGAAACAGAUAGUUGUUGCGCCACUCUCGCCAGUUGCUAUCCCUGAGGCGAAUAUUGCUGCCGCCACCUGAGAAGCAACAGCGGCCGUUUGGGCUGCCUUGGCCGCCCGGUCGCAGAUUGUGGCCGAGUGCACGAAGCUUGUUCGCACGCGCCUGGCGGCUGCAGCCGCGCUCUCGCCAAAGUGGGCCGCCGAAGUUUCCCUCAUGAAGCGGGUCCAUGUCCCCAUCUUUCACCGGCGACGAUUGAAUAGUGAAAUGAUAUUUGGGAGCGAGCUAGUGUGCUUGAUGCGUCGGCUGUGGACUAUAGUCGACGCACCUUCUCAUGUAAGUCGUGUGCGUACUAUACACCGAUGGUGCUCCAGGAUAUUUUGUACUGCAUCUGACAAGGUUGGUGAUAAUAAAUUGUGUGUGAUCUACUUGAUUUUUCAUCUUGAUUUGAAUUACAUAAUGGGGUCACAGCUGCAAAGUAUGGUGUUUGAAUUCCUCGAACUUUUAUCUGCAGUGAACAUGCAACUAUAGGUGUGUCGUCAAAAAAUUGGAAUUAUUCAGUGUUUGUUUGGACAUUUUUAUACAUUACCUUGGUUUUCUAGGCAUUUGAGGUGCACAAUUCAAAAUUAAACUACAUGCACAUGCUCCGGUGCACCAAAAUAGGUUGUAAAAUGAUAUAUGUGUCCAUGGGUUGAUGCUUAUACCCCAUUCAAGAAAUGGGGAUGAAUUUCAAACACCACGGCACCGUGGCUCUCCGGCAAACAUUGAGGUGCUUGCUUUUGUAAUUCUAGUAAAUAUGAAAUUCAUGAACCCUUGCUGCUAUCAUGGAACGAUGUCAACAUGCUGGGGUAAAAAAUAUUAUCCCAUUUGGGACAGUUUAUGGUAUAAGCUUCUCACAAACCAGAGCUUCUCACAAGAAGCCUCAUGUUUCCGUUAGGGAAACAUGUCACCUUUGUGGACAAAACGAUAUUCGUCGCCUCUUCUUCCUUUCAAUUUUUUCCUGGUGUCAACAUAGAACAACAGAGUGUGGUGUUAAAUUUUGGAUUUUUUCGGGGAUCGUUUGGACAUUUUAUACAUUAACUAAGUUUUCUAGGCAUUUAUGUGCAUAAUUCAAAAUUGAACUACAUGCACAUGCUCCAAUCCAUACAAAAGGGUUGCAAAAUCAAAUGUUUGUCCUUGGUUGCAAGCUUAGGUCACGUGCAAGAAAUGAGAAUGAAUGUCAAACACCUUGACACUGUCGCUCGGCCACUAACAUUGAGAUACAUGGUUUUAAAAUUCUAGUAAAUCGAAAACUCUACUGAGAGUCAUGAAACUUGACAUGAUAUCAUGGAACGGCAUCAACAUGCUGUGGUAAAAAUAUUGUCCCAUUUGUUGCAGGUUUGGGUAUAAGCUUCUCGCAAACCAGGGUUUCUCUCACAACAAGCCUCAUGGUUUUGAUAGGGAACGUGCCACCUUGGGGGACGAAACGAUAUCUGUUGCCUCUUCUUACUUUCAAUUUUUUUCUCUUGUCAACAUAGAAGAACAGGAGUGUUGUGUCAAUUUUUGGGAUUUUUCGGGGUUUGCUUGGACAUUUUUAUAGAUUAACUGAGUUUCCUAUACAUUAAUGUGCAUAAUUCAAAUUUUAACUACAUCCACAUGCUCCAGUGCAUAUAAACGGGUUGAAAAAUGAAAUGUGUGUCAUUGGUUGCAACCUUAGGUCCCAUGCAAGAAAUGGGAAUGAAUGUCAAACACAUUUGCCAUGUCGCUCGCCCGCUAACAUUAAGAUACAUGGUUUUGAAAUUCUAGUAAAUCGAAAACUCGUCUUAAAUUUGAUGACCCACAAGUGUAUGGGGCAAUUUUUGUCCUUUUCGAUAAGUAAGAGAGCCGACCCCAACGAGGAGCAGAAGGAAAUUACAAGUGGUUUUCAGCAAGGUACUGUCUGCAAGUGCUAAAAUUGUGAGUAGCGGAGUAGUUUGAUAGCAGGAUAAUUUGUAACGAGCAAGUGACAAUAGUAGAAACAAAAUUGCAGCAAGGUAGCCCAAUCCUUUUCAGGCCAAAGGAAGGCCAAAACGGUUUCUUAUGAUAAGCAAAGUGUUCUUGAGGGUACAUGGGAAUUUCAUCUAGCCACUUUCAUCAUGUUGGCUUAAUUCGUGUUCGGUACUUUGAUAAUUUGAUAUGUGGGUGGACCGGUGCUUAGGUUCUGUUCCUACUUGAAAAAACCUCCUACUUAUGAGUAACCCUCUCGCAAGCAUCCACAACUACAAGAAAAGUAUUAAGAAUAAAUUUUAACCGUAGCAUUAAACUUUUGGAUCCAAUCGGUCCCUUAUGGAAUAGCGCAUAAAAUGGGGUUUAAUCUUCUGUCACUCUCGCAACCCACCAUCUAAUAACUACUCCACAAUGCAUUCCCUUAGGCCCAAACAUGGUGAAGUGUCAUGUACUCGAUGUUCACAUGACACCACUAAGAGAAUGGCAACAUACAUACCAUCAAAAUAUCGAACACAUAUCAAGUUCACAUGAUUACUUGCAACAUGAUUUCUCCCGUGACUUCAAGAACAAAAGUGACUACCGGCAAAUGAUAAACAUUCUCAAGAUCAGAGGGGUAUUAAAUAGCAUACUGGAUCUGAACAUAUAAUCUUCCACCAAAUAAACCAUAUAGUAAUUAACUACAAGAUGUAAUCAACACUACUAGUCACCCGCAAGCACCAAUCUAUAGUUUCGAUACAAAGAUUGAACACAAGAGAUGAACUAGGGUUUGAGAGGAGUUGGUGUUGUGAAGAUGUUGAUGAAGAUAGCCCUCCCCAAGAUGGGAGAGUAGUUGGUGAUGAUGAUGACGAUGAUUUCCCCCUCCGGGAGGGAUGUUCCCCCGGCUAAAUCGCUCCGCUAGAGGGAAAAAGUGCUCCUGCCCAAGUUCCGCCUCAAGGCGGCGGCGCUUCGUCCUGAAUGUCCUCCCCUUCUUUUUUCUAGAUGAAAAUGACUUAUAUACCAGAAGAUGGGCACCAGAGGUGGGCCGAGAAGGCAGCACCCACCAGGGUGCGCCUGGGCCUCCGGGUGCGCCCAGGUGGGUUGUGCCCACCUGGUGGCCCUCCUCUGGUACUUAUGUGCUCCAAUAUUCAUUAAAUAUUCCAUAAAAAUUUCUCGGGGAGUUUCAGCUCAUUAGGAAUUGUGCAGAAUAGGUAGCUUGACGUAGCUUUUUCAGGUCCAGAUUUCCAGCUGCCAGAAUUCUCCCCCUUGGUGCAUACCUUGCAUAUUGUGAGCGAAAAGGCAUUAGAAUUACUCCAAAAAGCAUUAUUAUAUAAUAAAAGAACAUAAAUAACAGUAGGAAAACAUGAUGCAAAAUGGGCGUAUCAACUCCCCCAAGCUUUGACCUGGCUUGUCCUCAAGCGAAAACCGAAAUCGAAAAACACGUCCACAUGCUUAGAGAGAGAGGUAUCAAUAAAAACAAAAAUACGGAGAUAGCAGCAUCAUGUGACUUAUUAUCACAGCAACAAACCUUAAUAUAAAACUUUUAUCAUAGAACUUUAACACAGACUUCUUAUGAACAAGUGACAAUUCAUCACAACAUCAAACUAUAAAGCAUAAACUCUAUUGGAAACCAACAAACUAUGUUCUCAGUCAACUUUGCAACUACAAUUCAUCAUAUUUUCAGGAAGGGUCACGUAUCAGAGCCUUUAGGCAAGGCACAUACUCAACCAUCAUUUAGUCUUCUAUGAUUUCUAACACUCACCUCGUACACGUGAGCAAAACGUUUCAACCGGACACAUAGGAAGAUAGGGGCUUAUAAUUUCGCCUCCCAACGCACUCACCUCAAGGGUGAUGUCAACAAUAAUAACUUACGCUACCCAUAUUCAACUGGACAUAUGUGCCUAGAUCUUUCCUCACCACAUGAUGCUUGCCAAAGGGGAAAGUUAAAAGGAAUAGAGAGAAAAACUUUGACUCUUGCAUGAAAGUAAAUACAUGAAAGUAAAGGAUAGGCCAUUCGUAGAGGGAAGCAGAGGUUGCCAUGCGCUUUUUAGUUUGUAUGCUCAACCCCUUAGUGCAAGAGAACGUAAACGUUAUAUUGCCCCUUUUGAUGGCAACCUUUAUUAUGCAGUCUGUCGCUUUUAUUCUUCACCAUCACAAGUUUGUAGAACGCUCAAUUUUCCCUUACACUAAAGGAUCUCACAUUUUUAUAAGCAAUUUUUAUUACCCUUUUUGCACCGAUGACAACUUAAUUGAAGUAUCUUAAUCAAUCCAUUGGUAGCUAUGGUGGACUCUCAAACAAGAUAGGGUUUAAGGGUUUUGGAUGCACAAGUAGUAUCUCUACUUAGUGCGGAAUUUUUGGCUAGCAAAGAUAGGGGCAAGCACCACAUGUUGAAGGAUCUAUGACACUAUAACUUCUAUGUGAAUAUGAACAAACAUAAAUCAUUAAGUUGUCUUCCUUGUCCAACGUCAACAAUUUUGGCAUAUAAUAUUUUGAUGGGUGCUCACAAUCACAAAAGAUUUCUAAGAUAGUAUAUUUAUAUGUAAAUCGUCUCGUCCCUUAUUAAUUCUUUCAUGUGUUGCAUCAUUGACCAAUGCUAUGUUUAUCAAUCUACAAGAAAAUUUUCUACUUAUACUUUUCCUUGUGUAAUGUCAUCACUUACCAUAAGAUUAGCAUAUGAUAUUUCUUUUUAUUUCGUUUCUUUUUAUUGCAACAAGAAAGUAAAGAAGGCAACACUCAAAUUAAACUUUAUUAUAUAUCUCGCACACGAUUACAAGGAUUGAUUUCUAAACAAACUCACAAAAAGAAAGGAUCGAACUAAACUUUUAUUCAUAUAAAGGCAAAAGAUAGUGGAGAUUGAUACGAUACCGGGCCACCUCCCCCAAGCUUGGCGAAAGCCAAGGGGAGUGCCCAUACCCAAUACUCAGUUUUCUUUUGGUGGUGAUGAAGAAGAUGGUGGUGAUGAAGUAGUGGGUUUGCCAUUCUUCCUCAGCUUACACUUGAGGACGGAAUUCUCAUAUUUUAGUUCAUGGAUGUCCUCCAACACCUUUUUGCACAAGUCUUGCUUAUUUUCCUGCAAGAGACGAAAAGGGGUAAACUGGAUCUUAGGCAUCUUUGCUUCUUAAAUUCAACGUGCAUGUCCCCAGGUUGAGGCAAUGGAACUUCAUCCUCCUCCGAGCUUGUCUCCUCCUUCUUCUCAGGAUCAAAGUCUUCUUCUUCCUCCAAAGUCCAUCCAUAGUGUUCUACAUCCCUAGGGACCUUGGAGUUUGCAAUAUAGUCAACAACAUAACUCUCACCCUCCGAGUCUUGGGACGACAUAAUUCCAAAUAUGACAGGAAAACAGAGAGAAAAGAAAACAGGGGAUUUCUCCGUGAUACGGAGGUUAACAGGUUCGGGAGGUAUAUAUAGAUUUUUUAUGUUGGGGAACAAGCAGAACGGAAGAAAAACGGAGUCCAAAAAGUACCCGAGGUGGGCACAACCCACCUGGGCGCGCCAGGCUUGCCUGGCGCGCCCUGGUGUAUCGUCCCCACCAGGGUCACUUUCCUGGAAGUUUCUUAUUUUCCUAAUUUUCUAAAUAUUCCAAAACUAACAAAACAAUAUUUUUGCGGAUUUUUCAGAGUCCGUUUACUUUCCAUAUCAUGUACCUCCUUAUUUUCACGAUUCUGGAGUGUUCCAGAAGGACUCUUUUAUGUGUUCUUCCAGUGUCAAAGUUUGGAUAACAUUGCUUUCAACAUUAAUGGGUGUACCUGAGAUAUAGUGUUUUAUUCAUUGCACAUUGACAACCUUCGGGUUAGUCCCUUUGGCAUUAUUUAUCUUGAUAGCUCCGGAUCGGUAGACCUCCUCGAUGACAUAGGGUCCUUCCCAUUUGGAGAGGAGUUUUCCUGCAAAGAAUCUGAAACGAGAGUUGUACAAAAGAAUAUAGUCUCCUACUUUGAAAUCACGCUUUUUUGGAUUCUUUUAUCAUGCCAUCUAUUAACUUUUUCUUUGAAUAACUUAGCAUUUUCAUAAGCCUGGGUUCUCCAUUCAUCUAAUGAGCUAAUAUCAAAUAACCUAUUUUCCACAGCAAGUUUGAAAUCAUAAUGGAGUUCUUUUAUUGCCCAAAAUGCUUUGUGUUCUAACUCAACAGGCAAAUGACAAGCUUUUCCAUUAACCAUUUUAUAUGGAGACAUACCCAUAGGAUUUUUAUAAGCCGUUCUAUAAGCCCAAAGUGCAUUAUCUAAUUUCUUAGACCAAUUCUUCCGGGACCUAUUGACAGUCUUUUGUAAGAUUAGUUUUACUUCUCUAUUGCUAAGUUCACUUGAUCACUAGACUAAGGAUGAUAAGGUGAAGCAAUUCUAUGGAUAACAUCAUACUUAGCAAGCAUCUUACAGAAAGCACCAUGAAUAAAGUGUGAACCACCAUCAGUCAUUAAAUAUCUAGGGACUCCAAACCUUGGAAAAAUAACUUCCUUAAGCAUUUUAAUAGAGGUGUUGUGAUUAGCACUACUGGUUGGAAUAGCUUCUACCCACUUAGUAACAUAAUCAACAUCAACCAAAAUAUGUGUGUACCCAUUAGAGGAAGGAAAAGGUCCCAUGAAGUCAAAUCCCCAAACAUCAAAUGGUUCAAUAGCAAGUGAAUAAUUCAUAGGCAUUUCUUGAUGCUUACCGAUAUUACCUAUUCUUUGGCAUUCAUCACAUGAUAGAUGAUUUUACGGGCAUCCUUGAAGAGAGUAGGCCAAUAAAAACCAGAUUGCAAUACCUUAUGAGCGGUUCUAUCUCCCGCGUGAUGUCCUCCAUAAGCUUCAGAGUGACAUUUCCGUAGGAUUUGUUCCUGUUCAUGCUCAGGUACACAACAUCUAAUAAUACCAUCUACUAAUUCUUUGUAAAGAUGUGGGUCAUCCAAAAUUAAUGUCUUAAAUCAUAGAAGAAUUUCUUCUUUUGUUGGUAUGUGAAGCUAGGUGGUAUUUAUUUAGCCACAAUAUAAUUAGCAUAGUCAGCAUAACAAGGUGUACUAUGAGAAACAUUUAUUGCAGCUAGUUGUUCAUUAGGAAAGCUAUCAUUAAUAGGUUGUGGGCCAUCAAGAAUAUUUUCAAGUCUAGACAAGUUAUCAGCUACGGGGUUCUCUGCUCCUUUCCUAUCAGUGAUAUGUAAAUCAAAUUCUUGUAGUAGAAGAACCCACCUAAUGAGUCUUUUAGCAUCUUUCUUUUCCAUAAGAUAUUUUAUAGUAGCAUGAUCGGUGUGAACAAUUACCCUAGAAUCAAUCACAAGCAAACACCACUGCUAAGAAUUAUUUUUCAGUAGUAGCAUAGUUUCGUUGAGCACUGUCUAGAGUUUUACUACCAUAAUGAAUAACAUUUAGUUUCUUAUCAACUCUUUGUCCUAGAACAACACCAACAGCAUAAUCACUAGGAUCACACAUAAUCUCAAAAGGCAAGUUCCAAUCAGGUGGUUCAACAACAUGUGCAGUAAUUAAGGCUUUCUUUAGUGUUUCAAAGGCUUCCAUGCAAUCGUCAUCAAACACAAAGGGAAUAUCCUUUCGCAAAAUAUUAGUAAGAGGCCUAGAAAUUUUAGAAAAGUCUUUGAUAAACCUCAUAUAGAAACCAGCAUGACCAAGGAAACUACGAAUACCUUUGAUAUCUUUAGGCCAUGGCAUUUUCUCAAUUGCAUCAACUUUGGCUUUGUCCACCUCAAUGCCUCUUUCAGAAAUUUUAUGGCCCAAGACAAUACCUUCAUUAACCAUAAAGUGGCACUUCUCCCAAUUCAAGGCGGGAUUUUUUUUGUUCACAUCUCUGUAAGUCUCGAUCAAGAUUGCUUAAACAAUCAUCAAAAUACUUCCCAUAAACAGAAAAUUCAUCCAUGAAAACCUCAACAAUCUUUUCACAAAAAUUAGAGAAUAUAGCAGUCAAACAUCUUUGAAAGGUAGCAGGUGCAUUAUAUAAACCAAAAGGCAUACGUAUGUAAGCGAAUGUUCCAAAAGGACAAGUAAAAGUGGUCUUUUCUUGAUCAGAUUGUAAAGCAGGUAUUUGUGAAAAGCCAGAGUAUCCAUCAAGGAAGCAAAAAUGUGUGUGCUUAGAUAAUCUUUCUAACAUUUUAUCAAUAAAAGGUAGAGGGUAAUGAUCUUUUCUGGUAGCUUUAUUUAAUUUUCUAUAAUCAAUUACCAGUCUAUAGCCUACGACAAUUCUUUGUGGAAUAAGCUCAUUCUUAUCAUUAGGAACAACAGUAAUGCCUCCUUUCUUAGGAACACAAUGAACAUGACUUACCCAUCUACUAUCAGCUAUAGGAUAGAUUAUACCUGCUUCCAGAAGUUUCAAUAUUUCCGUUCUUACCACUUCUUUCAUUUUCGGAUUUAACAGACGUUGGUGAUCGACAACGGGUUUAGCAUCAGGUUCCAUAUUAAUCUUGUGCUGACAUAGAGUGGGACUAAUGCCCUUAAGAUCAUCAAGAGUAUAUCUAAUAUCAGCCUUGUGCUUCCUUAGAACUUUCAAUAAACUUUCUUCUUCAUGUUCUGAGGUUAGCACUAAUAACAAUAGGAUAUAUCUUCUUUUCAUCAAGAUAAGCAUAUUUUAGAGUGUCUGGUAAUUAUUUUAAUUCAAACACAGGAUCACCUUUAGGUGAAGGAGGACCUCCUAGAGUUUCAAUAGGCAAAUUGUGUUUAAACAGAGGUUGUUGUUGUUGGAAAUAUGCCCUAGAGGCAAUAAUAAAUAAGUUAUUAUUAUAUUUCCCUGUUCAUGAUAAUCGUUUAUUAUCCAUGCUAUAAUUGUAUUGAUAGGAAACUUAGAUACAUGUGUGGACACAUAGACAACACCAUGUCCCUAGUAAGCCUCUAGUUGACUAGCUCGUUGAUCAAUAGAUGGUUACAGUUUCCUGACCAUGGACAUUGGAUGUCGUUGAUAACGGGAUCACAUCAUUAGAAGAAUGAUGUGAUGGACAAGACCCAAUCCUAAGCCUAGCACAAAGAUCGUAGUUCGUAUGCUAAAGCUUUUCUAAUGUCAAGUAUCUUUUCCUUAGACCAUGAGAUUGUGCAACUCCCAGAUACCGUAAAAAUGCUUUGGGUGUACCAAACGUCACAACGUAACUGGGUGGCUAUAAAGGUGCACUACAGGUAUCUCCGAAAGUGUCUGUUGGGUUGGCACAAAUCGAGACUGGGAUUUGUCACUCCGUGUAAAUGGAGAGGUAUCUCUGGGCCCACUCGGUAGGACAUCAUUAUAAUGUGCACAAUGUGACCAAGGGGUUGAUCACGGGAUGAUGUGUUAUAGAACGAGUAAAGAGACUUGCCGGUAACGAGAUUGAACAAGGUAUCAGUAUAUCGAUGAUCGAAUCUCGGGCAAGUACAAUACCGCUAGACAAAGGGAAUUGAAUAUGGGAUUGAUUGAGUCCUUGACAUCGUGGUUCAUCCGAUGAGAUCAUCGCGGAACAUGUGGGAGCCAACAUGGGUAUCCAGAUCCCGCUGUUGGUUAUUGACCGGAGAACGUCUCGGUCAUGUCUGCAUGGUUCCCGAACCCGUAGGGUCUACACACUUAAGGUUCGAUGACGCUAGGGUUAUAAAGGAAGUUUGUAUGUGGUUACCGAAUGUUUUUCGGAGUCCCGGAUGAGAUCCCGGACAUCACGAGGAGUUCCAGAAUGGUCCGGAGGUAAAGAUUUAUAUAUGGAAAGUUGUUGUUUGGGUUCCGGAAAAAGUUUGGGUUUUUUCGGUAUUGUACCGGGAAGCUUCCAGAAGGUUCCGGAGGAUUCCGGAGGGGUCCGUAGGUCUGGAAAUUGUUCCACCACGUCCAAUACAGCAGCAUGGGCUGUAGGGGGGCGCCCUAGCCUUAAUGGGCCAGGGGCACCAGCCCCCCAAGGCCCAUGCGCAUGGGAAGGGGAAAACCCUAAGGGGGAGGGCCUCCACUUGACUUGGGAGGCACUCCUCCCCCCCUUGGCCGCCGCCCCCUCCUCAGAUUGGAGCUGAGGGGGCCGGCCCCCCUCUCCCUUGCCCCUAUAUAUAUGUGGGGGGUGGGAGGGCAGCCGCACCACAAGUUCUGGCGCAGCCCUCCCCCUCUCCCAAGUACUCCUCCUCUCCAGCGGUGCUUGGCGAAGCCCUGCGGGAUUGCCACGCUCCUCCAUCACCACCACGCCAUUGUGCUGCUGCUGGAAGGAGUCUUCCUCAACCUCUCCCUCUCUCCUUGCUGGAUCAAGGCAUGGGAGACGUCACCGGGCUGUAUGUGUGUUGAACGCGGAGGUGCCGUCUGUUUGGCACUAGGAUCUCCGGUGAUUUGGAUCACGACGAGUACGACUCCUUCAACCCCGUUCUCUUGAACGAUUCCGCUUAGCGAUCUACAAGGGUAUGUAGAUGCACUCUCCUUCCCCUUGUUGCUAGUCUCUCCAUAGAUAGAUCUUGGUGACUCGUAGGAAAAUUUUGAAUUUCUGCUACGUUCCACAACAGUGGCAUCAUGAGCUAGGUCUAUGCGUAGUUUCUAUGCACGAGUAGAACACAAGUUGUUGUGGGCGUUGAUUUUGUUCAAUAUGUUUACCGUUACUAGUCCAAUCUUGUUUCGAUGGUAUUGUGGGAUGAAGCGGCCCGGACCGACCUUACACGUACACUUACAUGAGACAGGUUCCACCGACUGACAUGCACUUGGUGCAUAAGGUGGCUAGCGGGUGCCAGUCUCUCCCACUUUAGUCGGAACGGAUUCGAUGAAAAGGGUCCUUAUGAAGGGUAAAUAGCAAUUGGCAUAUCACGCUGUGGUUUUGCGUAGGUAAGAAACGUUCUUGCUAGAAACCCAUAGCAGCCACGUAAAACAUGCAAACAACAAUUAGAGGACGUCUAACUUGUUUUUGCAGGGUAUGCUACGUGAUGUGAUAUGGCCAAGAAGAAUGUGAUGAAUGAUAUGUGAUGUAUGAGAUUGAUCAUGUCCUUGUAAUAGGAUUCACGACUUGCAUGUCGAUGAGUAUGACAACCGGCAGGAGCCAUAGGAGUUGUCUUUAUUUAUUGUAUGACCUGCGUGUCAUUGAACAACGCCAUGUAAUUACUUUACUUUAUUGCUAACUGGUAGCCAUAGUAGUAGAAGUAAUAAGUUGGCAAGACAACUUCAUGGAGACACGAUGAUGGAGAUCAUGAUGAUGGAGAUCAUGGUGUCAUGCCGGUGACGAUGAUGAUCAUGGAGCCCCGAAGAUGGAGAUCGAAAGGAGCAAUAUGAUAUUGGCCAUAUCAUGUCACUAUUUGAUUGCAUGUGAUGUUUAUCAUGUUUAUGCAUCUUAUUUGCUUAGAACGACGGUAGUAAAUAAGAUGAUCCCUCAUUAAAAUUUCAAGAAAGUGUUCCCCCUAACUGUGCACCGUUGCGAAAGUUCGUCAUUUCGAAGCACCACGUGAUGAUCGGGUGUGAUAGAUUCUUACGUUCACAUACAACGGGCGUAAGCCAGAUUUACACACACGAAACACUUAGGUUAACUUGACGAGCCUAGCAUGUACAGACAUGGCCUCGGAACACAAGAGACCGAAAGGUCGAGCAUGAGUCGUAUAGUAGAUACGAUCAACAUGAAGAUGUUCACCGAUGAUGACUAGUCCGCCUCACGUGAUGAUCGGACAUGGCCUAGUUGACUCGGAUCAUGUAAUCACUUAGAUGACUAGAGGGAUGUCUAUCUGAGUGGGAGUUCAUAAGAUGAACUUAAUUAUCCUGAACAUAGUCAAAAGAUCUUUGCAAAUUAUGUCGUAAGCUCGUGCUUUAGUUCCACUGUUAGAUAUGUUCCUAGAGAAAAUAUAGUUGAAAGUUGACAGUAGCGAUUAUGCGGACAGUAGAAAGCUUAUGUCCUUAAUGCACCGCUUAGUGUGCUGAACCCCAAACGUCGUUUGUGGAUGUUGCGAACAUCGGGCAUACACGUUUUGAUAACUACGUGAUAGUUCAGUUAAACGGUUUAGAGUUGAGGCACCAAAGACGUUUUCGAAACGUCGCGGAACAUAUGAGAUGUUUUGAGGGCUGAAAUUGGGAUUUCAGGCUCGUGCCCACGUCAAGAGGUAUGAGACCUCCGACAAUUUUCUUAGCCUGCAAACUAAGGGAGAAAAGCUCAAUCGUUGAGCUUGUGCUCAGAUUGUCUGAGUGCGACAAUCACUUGAAUCGAGUGGGAGUUGAUCUUCCAGAGAUAGUGAUGUUUCUCCAAAGUCAUUGCCACCAAGCUGCUAGAGCUUCGUGAUGAACUAUAACAUAUCAGGGAUAGAUAUGAUGAUCCUUGAGGUAUUCACGAUGUUUGACACCGCGAAAGUAGAAAUCAAGAAGGAGCAUCAAUUGUUCAUGGUUGGUGAAACCACUAGUUUCAAGAAGGGCAAGGGCAAGAAGGGAUACUUCAUGAAACGGCAAAUCAGCUGCUGCUCCAGUGAAGAAACCCAAGGUUGAACCCAAACCCGAGACUAAGUGCUUCUGUGAAAAGGGGAAUAGUCACUAGAGCGGAAUUACCCUAGAUACUUGGUAGAUGAGAAGGCUGGCAAGGUCGAUAGAAGUAUAUUGGAUAUACAUUAUGUUAAUGUGUACUUUACUAGUACUCCUAGUAGCACUAGGGUAUUAGAUACCGGUUCGGUAGCUAAGUGUUAGUAACUCGAAAUAAAAGACAUGCGGAAUAAAUGGAGACUAGCUAAAGGUGAGCUGACAAUAUGUGUUGGAAGUAUUUCCAAGUUUGAUGUGAUCAAACAUCGCACGCUCCCUCUACCAUCAAGAUUAGUAUUAAACCUGAAUAAUUGUCAUUUGGUGUUUGCGUUGAGCAUAGACAUGAUUGGAUUAUGUCUAUCGCAAUACGGUUAUUCAUUUAAGGAGAAUAAUGGUUACUCUGUUUAUUUGGAUAAUACCUUCAAUGGUCUUGCACCUGAAAAGAAUGGUUUAUUGAAUCUCGAUCGUAGUGAUACACAUUUUCAUGCCAAAAGAUAUAAGAUAGUAAUGAUAGUACCACUUACUUGUGGCACUUCCAUGUAAGUCAUAUUGGUAUAAAACACAUGAAGAAGCUCCAUGUUGAUGGAUCUUUGGACUCACUCGUUUUUGAAAAGUUUGAGACAUGCGAACCACGUCUAUUCUUGUAUACGCAUGAAGAAACUCCAUGUAGAUGGAUCGUUUGGACUCACUUGAUUUUGAAUCACUUGAGAUAUGCAAAUCAUACCACAUGGGCAAGAUGACUGAGAAGCCUCGUUUUCAGUAAGAUGGAACAAGAUAGCAACUUGUUGGAAGUAACACAUUUUGAUGUGUGCAGUCCAAUGAGUGCUGAGGCAUGCAGUGAAUAUCGUUAUGUUCUUACUUCACAGAUGAUUCGAGUAGAUGUUGAGUAUAUUUACUUGAUGAAACACAAGUCUGAAUUAUUGAAUGGUUCAAGUAAUUUCAGAGUGAAGUUGAAGAUCAUUGUGACAAGAGGAUAAAAUGUCUAUGAUAUGAUCAUAGAGAUGAGUAUCUGAGUUACAAGCUUUGGCACGCAAUUAAGACAUUGUGGAAAUUUUUUCACAAUUAGUACCGCCUGGAACACCAUAGUGUGAUGGUGUGUCCGAACAUCAUAGUUGCACCCUAUUGAAUAUGGUGCGUACCAUGAUGUCUCUUAUCGAAUUACCACUAUCGUUCAUGGGUUAGGCAUUAGAGACAACCGCACUCACUUUAAUAGGGCACCACGUAAUUCCGUUGAGAUGACACCGUGAGAACUAUGGUUUAGAGAAACCUAAGUUGUCGUUUCUUAAAAGUUUGGGGCUGUGACGCUUAUGUGAAAAGGUUUCAGGUUGAUAAGCUCGAACCCAAAGCGGAUAAAAUGCAUCUUCAUAGGACACCCAAAACAGUUGGGUAUACCUCCUAAUUCAGAUCCGAAAGCAAUAGGGAUUGUUUCUUGAAUCGGGUCCUUUCUCGAGGAAAAGUUUGUCUCGAGAAGUUGAGUGGGAGGAUGGUGGAGACUUGAUGAGGUUAUUGAACCAUCACUUCAACCAGUGUGUAGCAGGGCACAGGAAGUUGUUCCUGUGGCACCUACACCAAUUGAAGUGGAAGCUUAUGAUAGUGAUCAUGAAGCAUCGGAUCAAGUCACUACCGAACCUCGUAGGACGACAAGGACGCAUACUGCUUUGGAGUGGUACGGUGAUCCUGUCUUGAAGGUCAUGUUGCUAGACAACAAUGAACCUACGAGCUAUGGAGAAGCGAUGGUGGGCCCAUAUUCCGACAAAUGGUUAGAAGCCAUGAAAUCUGAGAUAGGAUCCAUGUAUCAGAACAAAGCAUGGACUUUGGUGGACUUGCCCGAUGAUCGGCAAGCCAUUGAGAUAAAUGGAUCUUUAAGAAGAAGACGGACGUGGACGGUAAUGUCACCGUCUAUGAAGCUCGACUUGUGGCGAAGAGUUUUUCACAAGUUUAAGGAGUUGACUACGAUGAGAUUUUCUCAUCCGUGGCGAUGCUUAAGUCCGUCGGAAUCAUGUUAGCAUUAGCUGCAUUUAUGAAAUCUGGCAGAUGGAUGUCAAGACGAGUUUCCUUACCAGUUUUCGUAAGGAAAGGUUGUAUGUGAUACAAUCAAAAAGGUUUUGUCGAUCCUAAGGAUGCUAAAAGGUAUGCUGGCUCCAACGAUCCUUCUAAGGACUGGAGUAAGCAUCUCGGAGUUGGAAUGUGCGCUUUGAUGAGAUGUUCAAAGAUUUUGGGUUUAUACAAAGUUCAUGAGAAACUUGUAUUUCCAAAGAAGUGAGUGGGAGCACUAUAGAAUUUCUGAUGAGUAUAUGUUGUUGACAUAUUGUUGAUCAGAAAUGAUGUAGAAUUUCUGGAAAGCAUAUAGGGUUAUUUGAAAGGUGUUUUUCAAUAGAAAACCUGGAUUAAGCUACUUGAACAUUGAGCAUCAAGAUCUAUGAGGAUAGAUCAAAAACCGCUAAAUGGUACUAUCAAAUGAGCACAUACCUUGACGUGAUCUUGAAGGAGUUCAAGAUGGAUCAGUCAAAGAAGGAGUUCUUGCCUGAGUUGUAAGGUAUGAAGUUAAGACUUAAAGCUCGACCAUGGCAGAAGAGAGAGAAAGGACGAAGGUCGUCUCCUAUGCUUCAGACAUACACUCUACAAUAUGCUAUGCUAAGUACCGCACCUGAUGUGUGCCUUGCUACAUACCUGGCAAGAGGGUACAAAGGUGAUCAAGGAGUAGAUCACAAGAUAGCGGUCAAAAUUAUCCUUAGAGGAAUAAGGAUAUGUUUCCCGGUUAUGGAGGUGAUAAAGAGUUCGACGUAAAGAGUUGCGUCGAUGCAAGCUUUAACACCUAUCCAAAUGACUCUAAGUAGCAAAACGGAUACAUAUAGUGGAGCAACCAUUUGGAAUAGCUCCAAGUGGAGCGUGGAAGCAGCAUUUACAAUAUGACCUAGAGAUUUGCGAAGUACACACGAAUCUGAAUGUUGCAGACCCGUUGACUAAAACCUCUCUCACAAGCAAAACAUGAUCAAACCCCAGAACUCAUUGAGUCUUAAUCACAUGGUGAUGUGAACUAGUUUAGUGACACUAGUAAACUCUUUGGAUGUUGGUCACAUGACGAUGUGACCUGUCAGUGUUAAUCACAUGGCGAUGUGAACUAGAUUAUUGACUCUAGUGCAAGUGGGAGACUAUUGGAAAUAUGCCCUAGAGGCAAUAAUAAAUAAGUUAUUAUUAUAUUUCCCUGUUCAUGAUAAUCGUUUAUUAUCCAUGCUAUAAUUGUAUUGAUAGGAAACUCAGAUACAUGUGUGGACACAUAGACAACACCAUGUCCCUAGUAAGCCUCUAGUUGACUAGCUCGUUGAUCAACAGAUGGUUACGGUUUCCUGACCAUGGACAUUGGAUGUCGUUGAUAACGGGAUCACAUCAUUAGAAGAAUGAUGUGAUGGACAAGACCCAAUCCUAAGCCUAGCACAAAGAUCGUAGUUCGUAUGCUAAAGCUUUUCUAAUGUCAAGUAUCUUUUCCUUAGACCAUGAGAUUGUGCAACUCCCGGAUACCGUAGGAAUGCUUUGGGUGUACCAAACGUCACAAUGUAACUGGGUGGCUAUAAAGGUGCACUACAGGUAUCUCCGAAAGUGUCUGUUGGGUUGGCACGAAUCGAGACUGGGAUUUGUCACUCCGUGUAAACGGAGAGGUAUCUCUGGGCCCACUCGGUAGGACAUCAUUAUAAUGUGCACAAUGUGACCAAGGGGUUGAUCACGGGAUGAUGUGUUAUAGAACGAGUAAAGAGACUUGCCGGUAACGAGAUUGAACAAGGUAUCAGUAUACCGAUGAUCGAAUCUCAGGCAAGUACAAUACCGCUAGACAAAGGGAAUUGAAUACGGGAUUGAUUGAGUCCUUGACAUCGUGGUUCAUCCGAUGAGAUCAUCGUGGAACAUGUGGGAGCCAACAUGGGUAUCCAGAUCCCGUUGUUGGUUAUUGACCGGAGAACGUCUCGGUCAUGUCUGCAUGGUUCCCGAACCCGUAGGGUCUACACACUUAAGGUUUGAUGAUGCUAGGGUUAUAAAGGAAGUUUGUAUGUGGUUACCGAAUGUUGUUCGGAGUCUCGGAUGAGAUCCCGGACGUCACGAGGAGUUCCGGAUUGGUCCGGAGGUAAAGAUUUAUAUAUGGAAAGUUGUUGUUCGGGUUCCGGAAAAAGUUUGGGUUUUUUCGGUAUUGUACCGGGAAGCUUCCAGAAGGUUCCGAAGGAUUCCGAAGGGGUCCGGAGGUCCGUAAAUUGUUCCACCACGUCCAAUACAGCAGCAUGGGCUGUAGGGGGCGCCCUAGCCUUAAUGGGCCAGGGGCACCAGCCCCCCAAGGCCCAUGCGCAUGGGAAGGGGAAAACCCUAAGGGGGAGGGCCUCCACUUGACUUGAGGCACUCCUCCCCCCCUUGGCCGUCGCCCCCUCCUCAGAUUGGAUCUGAGGGGGCCGGCCCCCCUCUCCCUUGCCCCUAUAUAUAUGUGGGGGGUGGGAGGGCAGCCGCACCAGAAGUUCUGGCGCAGCCCUCCCCCUCUCCCAAGUACUCCUCCUCUCCCGCGGUGCUUGGCGAAGCCCUGCAGGAUUGCCACGCUCCUCCAUCACCACCAUGUCGUUGUUCUGCUGCUAGAUGGAGUCUUCCUCAACCUCUCCCUCUCUCCUUGUUGGAUCAAGGCAUGGGAGACGUCACCGGGAUGUACGUGUGUUGAACGCGGAGGUGCCGUCCGUUCGGCACUAGGAUCUCUGGUGAUUUGGAUCACGACGAGUACGACUCCUUCAACCCCGUUCUCUUGAACGCUUCCGCUUAGAGAUCUACAAGGGUAUGUAGAUGCACUCUCCUUCCCCUUGUUGCUAGUCUCUCCAUAGAUAGAUCUUGGUGACUCGUAGGAAAAUUUUGAAUUUCUGCUACGUUCCACAACAGUUGUUUGAAAAAGAUUCUAUCUAUUUCAUUUCUUUCACGCAUAUGCAAAUCAUUCUCAUGGUCUAGCAAAUAUUGUUCCAAACGAUAAGUAGGAGGCACAGCGAUAGAAGCAAGACCAAUAAUUUCAUCCUUACUAGGCAAAUCUUUCUUAUGAGGUUGUUUACUAAACUUGGAAAAAUUAAAUUCAUGAUAUUCAUCACCAAAGCUAACACCGAAAGUUUGUUUCUCACAAUCUAUUUUUGGCAUUGACGGUGUUCAAGAAAGGUCUACCAAAAAUAAUGGGACAAAAGUCAUCUUGUGGGGUGCUAAGAACAAGAAAAUCAGUAGGGUAUUUUAUUUUCCCACACAAGACUUCAACAUCUCUAAGGAUCCCAAUUGGUGAUAUAGUGUCUCUAUUAGCAAGUUUAAUAGUAACAUCUAUGUCUUCUACUUCAGCGGGUGCUAUUUCAUCUUUAAUUUCUUGAUAUAAGGAGAAAGGAAUAGCACUCACACUAGCACCUAGAUGACAUAACCGAUGAUAAUAGUGAUCUCCUAAAUUAACUGAGACAACGGGCAUGCCCAUAAAUGGUCUAUGUUUAUCUUUUCCUUCAGGUUUGGCAAUUCUAGAAGCUUCACUACAGAAGUAGAUAACAUGCCCAUCAAUAUUAUCAACUAAGAGAUCUUUAACCAUUGCAACACUAGGUUCAACUCUGAUUUGUUCAGAUGGUUUGGGUGUUCUAACAUAACUUUUGUUAACCACAGUUGAAGCUUUAGCAUGUUCCUUCAUCCUAACAGGAAAAGGUGGCUUUUCAAUAUAAGCAGUGGGAACAACUGGAUCAACAUUGUAGAUGAUACUUUCUUCUUUAGCUUUUACCGGUUCUUAAAUUUAUUCUUUAAUUGGUGGGUGAUAUUUAAACCACUUCUCCGUAGGGAGAUCAACAUGAGUAGCAAAAGGCUCACAAAAGGAAGCUACUAUCUCAGAGUCAAGUCCAUAUUUAGUGCUAAACUUUUGAAAAUUAUCGGUAUUGAUAAAAGAUUUAGCACAAUCAAACUUAGGUUCAAUACCUGACUCUUUACCUUCGUCGAGUUCCCAAUCUUCAGAAUUGCAUUUAAUUCUUUCUAAAAGAUCCCACCAGAAUUCAAUAGUCUUCUUCAUAAAAGAACCAUUACAAGAAGUAUCGAGCAUGGAUUUAUUAUUACGAGAAAGCCGAGCAUAAAAAUUAUGAAUAAUAAUUUCUCUUGAGAGCUCAUGAUUGGGGCACGAAUAUCACAUUGACUUAAGCCUCCCCCAAGUUAGAGUGAUACUUUCUCCUUCACGAGGCCAAAAAUUAUAUAUAUAAUUCCGAUCACGAUGAACUAGAUGCAUAGGAUAAGUUUUUUGAUGAAAUUCCAAUUCAAACGGUUCCAGUUCCAAGAUCCAAUAUCAUCGCAUAGACUAUACCAUGUCAAUGCUUUUCCCUUCAAAGAUAAAGAGAAAAUCCUCUUCUUACCUUCAUCUCCGGGCAAACCUGCAAGCUUAAACAAUCCAGAAAUUCCAUCCACAUAUAUCAAGUGCAUAUCAGGAUGUUCGGUUCCAUCUCUUGCAUAAGGAUUAGCUAGCAGUUUUUCUAACAUACCCGAAGGAAUAUCGUAUUCAAUAUUUUCAGUAGGUGCAGUAGGUUGAGGGGUAACUAAUUGUGGUUCCGGUCGAGGUGAAGAUACCCCGAACAAACCCCUCAAAGGAUUGUUUUCCAUAGUCGGAAGUGACAAUAAAUUUCAGCACGUAGUAAUAAUGUUUCCUUACCAAUUUCCAGUUACCAAGAGCGCUUCACUCCCCGCCAACGGCGCCAGAAAAUUGCCUUGAUGACCCACAAGUGUAUGGGGUCAAUUGUAUCCCUUUUCGAUAAGUAAGAGUGUCAAACCCAACGAGGAGCGGAAGGAAAUGACAAGUGGUUUUCAGCAAGGUACUGUCUGCAAGUGCUAAAAUUGUGAGUAGCGGAGUAGUUUGAUAGCAUGAUAAUUUGUAACGAGCAAGUAACAAUAGUAGUAACAAAAGUGCAGCAAGGUAUCCCAAUCCUUUUGAGGCAAAGGACAGGCCAAAACGGUUUCUUAUGAUAAGCAAAGUGUUCUUGAGAGUACACGGGAGUUUCAUCUAGUCACUUUCAUCAUGUUGGCUUAAUUCGUGUUCGGUACUUCUAUAAUUUGAUAUGUGGGUGGACCGGUGCUUAGGUGUUGUUAUUACUUGAACAAACCUCAUACUUGUGAUUAACCCUCUCGCAAGCAUCCGCAACUACGAGAAAAGUAUUAAGAAUAAAUUUUAACCAUAGCAUUAAACUUUUGGAUCCAAUCGGUCCCUUACGGAAUAGCGCAUAAACUAGGGUUUAAGCUUCUGUCACUCUCGCAACCCACCAUCUAAUAACUACUCCACAAUGCAUUCCCUUAGGCCCAAACAUGGUGAUGUGUCAUGUACUCGACGUUCACAUGACACCACUAAGAGAAUGGCAACAUACAUACCAUCAAAAUAUCGAACACAUAUCAAAUUCACAUGAUUACUUGCAACAUGAUUUCUCCCGUGACCUCAAGAACGAAAGUGACUAUCGGAAAAUGAUAAACAUGCUCAAGAUCAGAGGGGUAUUAAAUAGCAUACUAGAUCUGAACAUAUAAUCUUCCACCAAAUAAACCAUAUAGUAAUCAACUAGAAGAUGUAAUCAACACUACUAGUCACCCGCAAGCACCAAUCUAUAGUUUUGAUACAAAGAUUGAACACAAGAGAUGAACUAGGGUUUGAGAGGAGUUGAUGUUGUGAAGAUGUUGAUGAAGAUAGCCCUACCCAAGAUUGGAGAGUUGUUGGUGAUAAUGAUGAAGAUGAUUUCCCCCUCCGGAGGGAAGUUCCCCCUGCUAAAUCGCUCCACCGGAGGGCAAAAGUGCUCCUUCCCAAGUUCCGCCUUGAGGCGGCGGCGCUUCAUCCCGAAUGUCCUCCCCUUAUUUUUUUUCUAGGUCAAAAUGACUUAUAUACCAGAAGAUGGGCACCGGAGGUGGGCCGAGGAGGGCAGCACCCACCAGGUCGUGCCUGGGCCUCCUUGCGCGCGCAGGUGGGUUGUGCCCACCUGGUGGCCCUCCCUUGGUACUUAUUUGCUCCAAUAUUCAUUAUAUAUUCCAUAAAAAUUCCUCGGAGAGUUUUUUAGCUCAUUUGGAGUUGUGCAGAAUAGGUAGCUUGACGUAGCUUUUUUAGGUCCAGAUUUCCAGCUGCCGGAAUUCUCCCCCUUGGUGCAUACCUUGCAUGUUAUGAGAGAAAAAGCAUUAGAAUUACUCCAAAAAGCAUUAUUAUAAAAUAAAACAACAUAAAUAACAGUAGGAAAACAUGAUGCAAAAUGGACGUAUCAAAAUUCAUGAAAAUUGAUAUGCUAUCAUGGAACAGCAUCAACAUGGAGUGGUAAAAAUAUUAUCCCAUUUGUGGCAGUUGAGGUAUAAGCUUCUAAAACAAAGCUUCUCGCAACAAGCCUCAUGGUUACGGUAGGGAAUGUUUCACCUUUCUGGGCGAGACGAUAUCGGUUGCCUCUUCUUGAUUUCAAUUUUUUCUCUAGUCUCAACAUAGAACAACAGGAGUGUUGUGCUAAAUUUUGGGAUUUCUCGGGGUUCGUUUGGACACUUUUAUACAUUAAUUGAGUUUUAAAUGCAUUUAUGUGCAUAAUUCAAAUUUGAACUACAGUCACAUGCUCUAAUGCAUAUAAAUUGGUUAAAAAUUCAAAUAUGUGUCCUUGGUUGCAUGCUUUGGUCCCAUGCAAGAAAUGGGAAUGAAUGUCAAACACCCUGCCACCAUCGCUCGGCCGCAAACAUUGAGCUACCUGGUUUUUAAAUUCUAGUAAAUCCAAAACUCGUCUAAAAUUCAUCGAACUUUGCAUUGCUAUCAUGGAGCGGCAUCAACAUGCUAUGGUAAAAUUUUUGUCCCAUUUGGGGAAGGUUUGGGUAUAAGCUUCUCAUAAACUAGAGCUUCUCACAACAAGCCUAAUGGUUUCGGUAGGGAACAUGCCACCUUUGGGAAUGAAACGAUAUCUGUUGCCUCUUAUUGCUUUCAAAAAAAUUCUAGUGUCAACAUAAAACAACAAGAGUGUUGUGUUAAAUUUUGGAAAUUUUCGGGGUUUGUUUGUACAUUUUUAUACAUUAAUUGGGUUUUCUAGGCAUUUUGUGUGAAUAAUUAAAAUUUGAACUACAUGCACAUGCUCCAGUGCAUAUAAAAAAUCAAAUAUGUGUCCUUAGGUGCAUGCUUAGGUCCCAUGCAAGAAAUGGGAAUGAAUUUCAAACACCAUGGCAUUGUUGAUUGCCACCAAAACAUUGAGAUACUUGUUUUUAAAUUCUUGUAAAUCCAAAACUCAUCUGAAAUUCAUGAAACUUGGCAUGCUAUCAUGGAAUGGCACCCAAUAUGUUGUGGUAUUUUUCGCGUCCAUUUUAAGAGAAGGAGCACUCGAAUAACAACCAACAAAGGCAUUUUGAAACAAAUAGCUGCCAUUGUAACAUCGCAAACAUUUUUGAUAGAACACUCGUAUGUAAACCGACAACUUCCCAGUAAGCCAAGGAAAAUAUGCCUAGUAGGAUUUGUGCAGCUCUUCAUCGCAAAUAUUUUAGAUAGAACACCUGUAUGCAAAGUGAGAGCUAUGGUCUUCCGCGGUAAGCCAAGGGAAAAUUGCCGCAGAUUGAAUAAUGUAUGCAAAGCGAGACUUCGGUGCUAAGCCAAGAGAAAAUUUGGCAAGAAGGAUUUGUAUCUCCCUUCAACACAAACGGUUUUUUCAGAUGAUCCGUGUGCAACCACGUAUAGACAAUUUGGUAAUAUUUGCAUCUAUCAUAUUCGGUCUAUUGUCGUUUGUCAAACCGGAAAGUUUGACAUUUGUUGAUCUAGUAACAUUGCCAUUUGUCAAUCCUUGUAACACUGGGAUUUGUCAAAAUAUGUAGCUAAAAAUCACUAGCACUAUCUAAUUUUUGCAAUUAAAAUUCAAUAAUUAAGCAUAUCUUUCAUUCAUAGAUUAAGCAACCAUUCUCAAUUUAUACAAACAGUUCAACUUGACAGCUGAACCGACCAAACUUUUCCCCAAUUUUUGCCAACCACGUACUGAAAUAGCUAGUUCAACUAUAUAUACUAGCUAAUUUUGAGUACGAUGUACAGUUCCACCACACCUAUAGUCAGAUGAACUGAACAAAAUAGCCCCUAAAUACUAAUACUACUACUACUAAUACUACUACGGAGGGGCUUUGUACUACUUCUGGCAGCCUCUCCUCUGCCGAGCGCACUUAGUAAGAGGAAGAAAAGGAGGAGCCUACCAACGAGCUGGACAACUGCAAUACAGUGCUUGCCGUUGUUGCACCUUCAGCGAUGCUCACCUCGAACGCCCUCUGCUGCUCCAGACGACCCCUCUCGAUGCGGCCGGACUGCUUGUAGAUCUCCUGAUUCCUCGCCUCUGCGUUGGCAUGUGCUACGGUCAUGGCUGUGGUAAUUCUCUUUGCGUGCUCGACAAGGUGCUCCUCCUCCUCUCGCGAGAACUCGAUGUAGAGAGCAAGGUUCUGACGCACGUGCGGGUCUCCACCUUCGCCUCCCUCCUUCGGGUAGCGGUGGCGGAGCAAGUGAUGAUCUCAGCGGUCGAUGGUGGGCUGGCAGCCAUGACAGCCGAUGAUGGGGUGGCGGCCACGACCACCACCUCCCGCCUUUGGGCCGCGGUGAUGGAGCGGGUGAUGGCCACAAUGGCCUUCAGUGGGGUGGCGGCCAUGACGACCACCUCUCGCCUUCGGGCCGCGCCGGCGGAGUGGGCGAUGGCUCUGGCUUUCGACGAUGGUGUGGCGGCAAUUGCGGCCAACAAUAGCUGCUGACGGGCAGUGGCAGCGGAGCGUGCGGUGGGUGUUCUGUGCACACCCAACAAGGACACCACACGCACUACACCACGCCGGGGACUGCGCCGCCGUCGCGGUGUAGCCUCCCAGCUAGAGCUGUCCUCUGGUGACAACAGAGUGGCUGGGCGAAAGACCGGUGCCAUUGGCGAUUGUGGGAGAAGCAAACAAGAUAAGCUACAUGGAGGGAGGGGAAAAUGCGACGCAAGAAUCGCCAGUCGUGAGGGUUUAUAUAGUAGGCUGGUAAGCAUUGGGAUUUUGGGGGAUUUCACCGAGUUGGGCGGGAAGCUUGCGCGGGAACCUGCGUGGUUGCGCGGGAAUGGGCUCACUACCAUUUGGCCAAAAGAAAGCCCCCGCGUGCUGCUCAAGCUUGUGCUCGAAGCCGCCUGCGACAACAGGGUGACACGAUGUGCAAGAGGAAGAUGAAAGGACACAUAUACAGUUAAUAAAAAAAGUUUGUGAUUUAGUUACCUACUAUACCCCCGUCCUGCUUUAUAAGUAGGAUUUAACUAAUAAAAUACGAAUGCAUGUCGCCAAAGAUUAUAGCGUUGGAUUCGUAGUUGAACAUAGUUUUCAGUUAUAUAUUUUUUGUAAUAUGCAUUAACAUUUUGUUGGUUAAAUUUAAGAUUAUAUACCAGCAAGCGUUUUCCCACAACACACACGACUUAUUCCAUCACAAACAUCUCGGAUGGAUCAACUGUAUGCCACGUAUCGCACACGCAACUCUAAUCUGAUUCAUGCUUGAUGUCUUCGACAUCGCUAGCACAGUUUGUCUUAUUUGCCAUGUAUCACUAUGUCGGCCUAUGUUCGUGUCCCUCGGCAAGCUCUGCUCGCCGUUAGGCACCGCAACGCGCUCGGCUUCUGCACAACUUUUCCUUGCGUGUUCAAUAGAUAUAUGCAUAUAUAUAUAUGGUUGCUCGCCGUUGAGGCGACCGCGGAGCACUCUACUCGCGUCCCUCUGUGCACGCUCUGCCAGUGGUUGGGCCUGCGCACGAUCACGUCAGGGUCCUUGUCGGUGUCAAAACCGGCGGAUCUCUGGUAGGGGGUCCCGAACUGUGCGUCUAGGCGGAUGGUAACAGGAGACAAGGGACACGAUGUUUUUACCCAGGUUUGGGCCCUCUCGAUGGAGGUAAAACCCUACUCCUGCUUGAUUAAUAUUGAUGAUAUGGGUAGUACAAGAGUAGAUCUACCACGAGAUCAGAGUGGCUAAACCCUAGAAUCUAGCCUAUGGUAUGAUUGUUGUUCGUCCUACGGACUAAAACUCUCCGGUUUAUAUAGACACCGGAGAGGGCUAGGGUUACACAGAGUCGGUUACAAUGGGAGGAGAUCUUCAUAUCGUAUCGCCAAGCUUGCCUUCCAUGCCAAGGAAAGUCCCAUCCGGACACGGGACGGAGUCUUCAAUCUUGUAUCUUCAUAGUCCAGGAGUCCGGCAGAAGGUCAUAGUCCGGCCAUCCGGACACCCCCUAAUCCACGACUCCCUCAGUAGCCCCUGAACCAGGCUUCAAUGACGACGAGUCUGGUGCACAAGUUGUCUUCGGCAUUGCAAGGCGGUUUCCUCCUCCGAAUAUUUCAUAGAAGAUGUUGAACACCAGGGUAGUGUCCGGCUCUGCAAAAUAAGUUCCACAUUCCUUCGUAGAGAGAAUAAUAUUUGUAUUAAUCGGAUCUGCUGACGUAUCCCGUGGCGUGACAUCAUGCCACAGCCAUGCUCUUUAUUUAUUUCAUUGUUCCACCUCAGCGCAUUUAGCGAGGCGGUUUCCUUGGCACGUCUUGUCAAAGCAGAGAUCGUGUCCCCUUAUUCCGGGAUUCUCAUCAAUACGGGUGUGGGUAACCCAACUGUGCCUUUGGUAUGACUCCCUAAUUGAAAGCGAGUCCCAAACGGUUACGGGGAGGGCUCUUGGUAUUCAACUCCUUUAUAAAGGGACCAAGGCUCGGCUCCCUUCUUUUCAAUCCAAUCGAAUCCGCCCCUAGCUUCGAGUUCCAACACCCAAAGCUCUAGCUUUAGGCGCUUCAGACUUUCGACGAUGUCCGGCUCUGACCUUGAAGCCGGUGGAUGCCUUCCUCCGUUACGGAAGAAGAUGUGUGAAAGCUGAGAGAUGCCAGGUAUCUAACCGGCAAAAUCUCACAUAGGCUGCCUGCUCAAGGGCAGGCCAUUCCCACUCCCCAGCCCGGUGAGAGCAUGGUGUUCGCAUCUCACUUCCUUUGGGGGCUAAGCUUCCCGAUUGAUCCCUUCGAGAGGGGCCUCAUGUUUUAUUACGGGCUGGAGUUCCACGACUUAGCUCCGGAGUCCAUCCUCCAAAUCUCAUCAUUCAUUGUCUAUGUGAGGCCUUCCUCCAUAUCACUCCUCACUUCGGAUUGUGGCUAAAAACCUUCAAGGUGGAACCGAAGAUGAUCGAGGGGCAGCACGCUGAGUGCGGAGGAGUUGUAAUAAGCAAGAUGGCCGACGCUCCAUGGCCCGAAGGCUCUUUUCAAGAGGAGCUCGGCUUAUGGCAACGGGGAUGGUUUUACAUCACAGCCCCUAGGGGCACCACAUGGGUGGCAUCGCCUACUUUUCGCUCGGGUCCCUGACCACGGCUGGCAUCAUGGGUUAAUGAAGGACUUAUCUGGGGGUCGUCGAAAGAUGUGCCCUUGCUGUAGGGCCGUAUUCGAGAUCUCCUAGAAAGAGAUAUCAAUCUGACCGUGGUGGCACAAGUCAUGGUGAUUCACCGCACACUGCCCUGCAAACGUCGACCUCUCCGCCUGUGGGAAUUCAAUCCUGAGGGACCACUGGUUCUACAACACUUCAUGGGAAUGACGCCCAUGGAGAUGUACAGAUUGUUCUUCGAAUCACAAGCAAGGUGUCCGGAUCUGUCCGAGGACGCUGGUCUGAGCUGCAACCGCCCAGAUGCUAAAGUAAGUAGCUCCAUAUUUGCACAUACCAUCCAUAUUUUUAUCAAAUCUACCCUUUAGCAUAGUUGCCCUUUGAACAGGAGUGGAUAGCAAAGGCUAAGCUUAUCAGGUGUCCAGCCCCCUUGCCCGAGACCGUGCCGAAUCCUAUGAUGACCAGGAUGCUGGAGGCUGUGCCGUUGGCGGAGGAAAAAGGGGGGGACCAAGGAGCUACCGCCUCCAUGAAGGAGGCCGUCAGGAAGGGAAGAAUCGAAAAUUCUCCCGACCAGGGAAAGAAAAGGACUGCCUCUGAAGACCCGGAGGUGAUAACCUCAAAACGGGGAAAGAAAUCUUCGUCAGAGGGUUUGGCACCGGUGGACGCUUCAGACGAAUCGCCCCCUAAAGGGGAUCCUCUCUCCCCCGAGGCGUAAGUGAGGGGAGGGGUUCCAUAAUGAAUCACAUUCAUGUUUUAUUCCUAAGGAAAAUAACCGAAGCAUUAUCUUGCAGUUCGGAUCUCAACCCUUCUCAGCAAAGCUCAUCUUGAGGGGAUCUUUGUCCAGAGAUGAUAGAGAGCAAAACGCCUCCCCUUGUUCCCUCGUCCUACAAGGCUGGCGACCCUGAGGUAUCGUCUCGGAGGGCUUUUUCAAGUCCGGACCCUGGGAAAGGUCGUCAGACUAGUCCGGCACCCUCUUGCGCGCCGGCGGAGGUGCUGAAGGAUCUGCUUGGUAGGGCGUCCAUCUCAGGAGAACAUCGUAUGUUGAUGGAUACGGUGAUUGGAAGGAUUUCAUCCGCAGAAAGCGGAUUGUACGAAGCUGCCAGGAGUUUACUAACAGGCUUUGAGGUAUGUAAAAAGGUGUACCUUUUGGUGGAGCCGCAUAUUAAAUGUGCCCUGUAUGAAUAGUAGCCCCUGAGACUCUGUGUGUCGUCAUGAAUGAUGGCGCAUAGAGGAUCAUAAUCCCAGGUAUAAUAUUUCGCUUAUUCCAUGAAGGUGGCGAGGCGCUCGGUGGCUAGCCGGACUGAUGAAUCUGCCGAACUAAAGCGGCAACUUGACGUAGCCGAUGCCAACAUCACGCUUGUAAAUAAGCGGCUAGACGAGGCUCAAGGUAUGUUCAAAAGACACCCAGUAAUAGGAGCUUGAUGCUCGGGCCUUAUAUAUAUAUACUUGAUGUAGAUGGUGCUGCUGCCAUGGAGAACCUUCGGGCGGAACUUGCCCGAGCCAAGGAGCAAGCAAGGAAGAGUGAUGCGGCUGCCGUUAAAGCGGUUGAAGAGCUAAGAGCCGAGCAGGCUGCUCACUGCCAGAGCAAGAAGGAAAUAGCCGAGAUGGCCAUAAAAUUGAAGGAUGCUACCAACCGCUGUGAAUUUCUUGAACAAGAAGAUAGGGCAGCUCAGAAGGACCUUGAAAAGAUCACUGCUGAAGCCAAGGAUACUCGCUCUGCCAUGAGAGCGAUGAAGGAGGAGCUGCGUCAGGCCGGAGAUAUCACGGCUGGAAAGCCUUAUAUGCUGCGGAUGAAGUUCAGAGACCCCAAGUAUGCUCCAUUAGACUGGCAGUGGAGUUCGGAAAACGCUUAUCUGGAUUUGGCCGCAAGUGCGGCGGACGCGACCAAACACUUCCGCAGCCGAGGUGACCAUGAAUUGAAAGAGCUUUUUUGGUCGCAGUACCACAAUCCAGAACGCCCACUGUCAGUAUCCGACCGUUUAGCCGCCUGGGCGGAGCUGAACAGAUUAUCCGGACUCGCCAUGAAAUUUGUUGCGAGUCGUCUGUGGCCGGAGAAGCCGGAGCCGAAGAGCUAUUUUGGUUUGGUGCAGUAAUUUCUUGGUUCGGUGCCGCAUGCUGAUGCAAUGAAGAGGUCGGCGUGCAUAGAGGGCGCACAGAUGGCUCUUGCCCGUGUCAAGACAUACUGGGCAGAUAUGAAGGCAUGUAUUGUUGCGUCCCAAGAUUCGGACGAAAGCCGAGUACCUGCCAAGCACUAUUUUGAGGAAGUUCUUCCUGGCGCUCGUAUAAUAGAGUCGCAGUGCUCGAAGGAUGCUGUGUUCGAAUAGCUUAUACUAUUUGUAAGACGGAUUGUGUUUUUAUGAAAAAAAAAGCUUUUUUAUACUUGUGCUUGCAAGAAUCACGAUACCUCCUGUGCGGCCGUUUAAUGUAUAUAUUUGUAUGUAAACUGAAAGAUGGCAGUCGUUGGCUUCAGCCCCCACGUAUAGAAUGCGGGGGUGUUCGCAAAAAGGCGUCUGUUCACACUUAAUCCAACGUCUUGGUCCUAUAAAGGAGGUGGUAGCGCGGCGAACUAGGCAACCGGACUAUAAUGCUUUAUCACUUUCACUUAGCCAUAGGAGUUUGACAGUGGGACUACUGAAUAGCCCCUAGGGGCACCGCGCUCGCCCGAAUUCGGGGCGCGAGUGUGCCUGACAGGGAAGCGGCCCUUCCUUAAUGCGGGGGAAUCCUAAAGAUUUUGAAAGUCAUCGAGUGGUUGAACAGUCUCUCGCUAUAUCAUGACAGUCAGUUUUCGGCUUUCUCUACUGAGGUGCUCACCCGGCCGAACCGGGGCACAAUCGUAGUAGUUCUCCUGGUGCCGCAUUAGCCGAUAUAACGGAACGUAAGGCAGCAAAACACAGGAGCCGGGCAAACCCAACAUUUGACCAAAGACAUGAUUCGGAGCUGGUGCAUAUACGGCCAAACUCGUGAUGCCGAACACUCCCUAAGGUGUUCGGUCUUUAUGAAGAUGGGCCGAAAUAGAGCCCUUGGUAAAAAAGCCCCUGGUGUCCAGGUACGUGCAAAAAAUUCUGACGUGGCCACAUGCCAAGACGCCAGCCUCCUCCUCGGCUAUAGAGAAAACCAGGGGAUGUUAUCAACAAGAGACAGUAAAAAAGGUUUACGCAGGGUCUUAAUCUGAAGAGAAUCCUUGGAACGGGUCCCUGCUGCACGUCUGCGCCUGUGUCUCCGUCGUGCCGUAUCCUGGACGGGCGUAGCACGAUGCUCGUCUGUGAAACAGAGGAACUUAGUAAAAAAUAAGCAUGCGAGAAAUCUAUAUCGAAGUAAAAAGAAUAUAGUUGGAGCAAGAGUUGGGCCGUAUUGUCUCCGGGCGUGAGCACACGGAGCCCCUUGCACUAGGGUAUGCGGUAAUUUAAGCAUGUUGACGCCGGACUCGUCGAGGCGUGUCCGGGAUAGUAGGGCUGGAUUUGUGGGCGGCUGCCUAGGCAACCGCACCCCUGCCCGUACUUUGGGGGUCAAUUUAUGUUCCCUUGUAAUGAGAUGAUGCCCUUUGGACCGGGCAUUUUAAGUGUAAGGGAUGCGUAGUGCGGUAUUGCGCUAAAGCGGGCGAAAGUUUCAUGUCCCAGUAGCGCUUGAUAGCGACUGACGAAUGGGGCGAUGUGGAAUGUUAGCUUUUCGCUUCGGAAGUUGUCGGGUGAUCCGAACGUGACUUCUAACAUAAGGGAACCCAUACUUGGGGUAUCCGAACCAGCUAUCCUCUCCUGCACAGAAGCGGGUCAUGAGGCUUGUUAACGCGGCCAUUGUUCGCGGCUUUUCUUGGCCGAGGUGUCUGGCGAGCCAUUCGUCUCGGAUGCUAUGUUUGAAAGCUGCUAGGGCCUCUGCAUCCGGACAGUCGACUAUCUGAUUCUUUUUGAUAAGGAAUCUGUUCCAGAGCUUCCUCGCUGACUCUCCGGGCUGCUGAGUUAUAUGGCUCAGAUCGUCUGCAUCCGGGGGCUGGACAUAGGUCCCUUGAAAAUUUGCCCGGAAAGCAUCCUCAAGCACUGCCCAACUUCCCAUGGUGUUCUCGGGAAGGCUUUUAAGCCAAUGCCGGGCUGUCCCUUUGAGCUUAAGGGGUAAGUAUUUUAUGGCGUGGAGGUCGUCUCCUCUGGCCAUGUGUAUGUGGAGGAUGUAGUCCUUGAUCCAGACUCCAGGGUCUGUUGUUCCAUCGUAUGGUUCUAUGUUCACUGGCUUGAAUCCGGCUGGGAAUUCAUGAUCCAGCACCUCAUCAGCAAAGCAUAGGGGGUGUGCGGCGCCCCUGUAUUUAGGUGUGCCGCAAUUUUCGGUUAUUUCUUGCGUUGCAUCACUCAUUGGAGCUUGCUUUCUUGGCCUAUACAUGGAUCUGGUAGGGCCAAUUUUCUGAUGCGGAAUCUUGGACGGAUCGCGCGCUAUAUUGAGUGCGGCGUCUUUUGACGCGUGAGAUUGAUCGUAGGGUCGUCUAUCUGACCUUGUGGCGUCCUUAUUUUUUGACUGUGGGGGCUUUAUGGCCUCUUCGUCAAAUUCCGGUAGUAGUUUGUGUGGCGACUACUGCCGUACUUGUGUGCGGUAUUGAGUACCUUGCCCCAUCUGAUCCUGAGUGCAUCCUCCGCUGUCUUGAGCCUCCGCUUCUGCUUUUUCAGGCUACGUGCAGUGGCGACGAGCCUUUGGUGGAGGUUCUGAUGUUCCAGCAGUUUGUCUGGUGUGAGGUCGACCGGGCUAUUAUCCUUCCCGGGGAUUGGUUGUUCGGAUUGUCCGCCCUGCUUGGACGGAUGCUCGAUGGCAUGUUCAUCGUCCGUUGAGUCGCCCUGGUCUAUGGCUGGGUUUUUGUCGAGGUGGGGCUUGGCUUGCGCUUACGCCGCCGCUUUGAUUGUUUCUCGGGGAAGCGAUCUCUGGCCGCAUCCUUUUGGUCCUCGUAGUCGUUUCUGUUGCGUGUGUCCACCAUGUAUACAUCGUAUGAUGAGGUGUUUUUCCGGAGCCCUAUAGGUGCUGGUUCUUGAUCGUCUCCUUUAUCGGCGUGCAUACCGUUGAUCUCUUCGCAGUCGGAGUCUAGCAUGUCAGUUAAAUCGUUGACAGUGGCUACGAAGUGGGUGGUGGGUGGGCUACAAAUUUCUUCAUCGUCCGCAUCCCAACCGUGUUGGCUGUAGUCCGUCCACGGCUCUCCUGACAAAUAGAGAGACUUUAACGAUUUGAGGAUGUUGCCGAAAGGUGAGUGCUGAAAGACAUCCGCGGCGGUGAACUCCAUGACCGGAGCCCAAUCGGGCUUAACCGGGAGAGGUGCGGGAUUUACGGAGUCCGGAUCGGAGUCCGGCACCUCGGAGUCACGGGCCUUGCAAGGGACUAGGCUGGUAUCCGGCUCUAUCGCCAUAGAGAUUGCAGUUUCCGGGGUGGCGUCUAACCGUCCGUCCCCGGCUGGCGUAGUGGGCUCCGAGCUAAUGGUCGGAGCGGACACCGGAGUGACGCUCUGGGCGUUGUCCGAUGACAGAGCUAAAUCGUGCCCAUCAUGACAGUGCGGCGCGCCCGGUUGUGGCUCGAAUCCGUCAAAGAUCAAGUCCCCGCGGAUGUCGGCCGUGUAGUUCAAGCUUCCAAACCUGGCCUGAUGGCCAGGGGCGUAGCUCUCGAUCUGCUCCAGAUGGCCGAACGAGUCAGCCCGCAGUGCGAAGCCGCCGAAUACGCAGAUCUGUCCGGGGAGAAAAAUCUCAUCCCGGACCGCGUCACGGUUGACGAGCAAAGAAGCCAUCGGGCCUAAAAGGCGACGACACAGAAGAACCCUCAAUGAAAGCACCAAUGUCGGUGUCAAAACCGGCGGAUCUCGGGUAGGGGGUCCUGAACUGUGAUUCUAGGCGGAUGGUAAUAGGAGACAAGGGACACGAUGUUUUUACCCAGGUUCGGGCCCUCUCGAUGGAGGUAAAACCCUACUCCUGCUUGAUUAAUAUUGAUGAUAUGGGUAGUACAAGAGUAGAUCUACCACGAGAUCGGAGUGGCUAAACCCUAGAAUCUAGCCUAUGGUAUGAUUGUUGUUCAUCCUAUGGACUAAAACUCUCCGGUUUAUAUAGACACCGAAGAGGGCUAGGGUUACAUAGAGUCGGUUACAAUGGGAGGAGAUCUUCAUAUCGUAUCGCCAAGCUUGCCUUCCACGCCAAGGAAAGUCCCAUCCGGACACGGGACGGAGUCUUCAAUCUUGUAUCUUCAUAGUCCAGGAGUCCGGCCGAAGGUCAUAGUCCGGCCAUCCGGACACCCCCUAAUCCAAGACUCCCUCAGUCCCCAUAUGCAUGCGGUUGUGCCACGCGCGUCGCCACGUGAUGUAGUUACGUGCGGCACGAUGGAGUUACGCACUGCAAACUAGAACUGCCAUCAGGGCAUGCUGAUAUUCUAGGCCGUCCGGCUUCCUCUUCAAUUCCCGCGGCCAUUAUAACCUUAGUCUCUUCAACCUUUCGAUCGUGCCCCGCAACCCAACAAGCACACCCACGACGACACAUAGAGAGGGGAUGUCUAGCGGCGCUCCAAUGGAGUUCAGCGAGCAUAAAGUGGAGACCCACGCAAGGGAGAUGGAUCUAUCAGUGGUGUACUCCAUCAAACUGGCCGUGGUGGACGAAUACAUCAACAUCAUUGAGAAGUUGCUUGCUCAAGACAAGUACAAGGUGCUCGGCAUCGACCUCUAGUACACCGUCUGUCGUCCCAACAUAGAUCGGAAGGUUGCUGUCACCCAGUUAUGCGUGCGCCAUCAUGUCCUCGUCUACCACUACUGCAUGGCCACAGAGCCUUCCGAUCAUUUUGCCAUGUUUGUCAACAGUACCGACUACAAGUUCGCUACAGUGGAAACCACCGACUAUGUAAAAGCGCUCAGAGUUACGGGAUUGGCCUGCAAGAACCUUGUUGAAAUCCAUGAGCACUACAGGGUCUGGGGCAGCACGAAGAAGGACUCCCUGGUUGAACUCGCCUCAGCCAUCAUCGACCUAUAUUACGAAAAGAUGAAGCAGGAUGCCAACAGAACAUGCUCGGUAUCCUGGCACGGGGCCUAGAUGCGGCAACUGGAUGAACCUCACCUCAGGUUCGCGACCAAGAGCGUGUACACAUGCUACGAGAUGCAUGGGAGGAUCAUUGACAUGAGGAAGUGCCUCGUUAUCAAAAUCGACGAGGCUGGAUUGAGCCACAAGCAGAGCAAGCGUCACAAGAAGUAGAUGGUGAUCAAAUUAUCAUUUAUCCUAGUUAAUCAUGCAUGUAAUAUAUAGUUUACUUUGGUGUGUGGAAAUGUUAUGUGUAUAGUACCCACCUAUGUAAUUAUGCAUGUAAUAGUUUACUUUGGUGUGUGACAAUGCCAUGGUUGUAGUAGCCACCUAUGUAAUUGGAUGUUUAAUUUGGCUAUGCAACCAUGUCCUUAUAAGAUAUACACUAGUAGAAAAUAGGGCAUACGUUCGGGCCAGAUAAGCCCAUUAGUCCCGGUUCAGUCACGAACCGGGACUAAUGUGAGCAUUUGUCCCGGUUCGUGUGGCUAAAGGCAUUAGUCCCGGUUCAAAUGAGCCCUUUAGUCCCGGUUUGAGACAUGAAUCGGGACUAAAGGAUGCGGUGCCCUUUAGUCCCGGUUCGUAUCUCAAACCGGGACUAAAGAUUAGACCUUUAGUCCCGGUUUGAGACACGAACCGGGACUAAAGGGUGCAAUGCCCUUUAGUCCCGGUCCGUAUCUCAAAACGGGACUGAAGGUCCCAUUUUCAAACUCUACACCCCAUCCCCCCCUAUGGAUCGCCUUUUCAGUUUUGUAAAAAGCAAAAGAAAAUGAUAAAAACUUCAAAAAUUAAAAUCCUUCGAGAUGUAGUUAUAUCACUACAUCUAUUAGUUAGGAAAAUUAAAAACCUUAAAUUUGGACAUGUUUUGCAAAAAAACUGUUAUGGAAAAGUAAAACGGCCAUAUCUUUUGCAUACGGUGUCGAAAAAAACGCAUAAUAUAUCAAAAAAAUCAGCAUGAAAAUACGCAUCCGAUUUUGACUACCUAAGACCUGUUUGUAAAUUUUUAGAAUCCUCAAAUUCUAAAAGGAAAAAAGUUAUGCUCAAAUUUUAGUUUUUUUUUAAUUUUGGUCAAAUCUGGUCAAACUACUUAUUCAAGAAGUAUUAGUGGUACUAAAUAAUUAUUCAAGAAUAUUAGUGUUACUAAAUAAUUAGUUCACCAUUUUGAAUUUUGGUCAAAUCUGGUCAAACUAUGGUCAAACUAUGGUCAAACUACUUAUUCAAGAAAUAUUAUUGUUACUAAGUAAUUAUUGUUUUUUAGAAUAAUACUUUCAAACUCAAGCAGUGAAACGUGUGGCUUAAUGCUCAAGCUAAACUCCUGAGGGUUAAUAGGAUUGACAUCUUACUAUUGUCAGGAAAACAACAAGUGCAGACUUGGAAACGAGGCGGAAUAGAACCCGGAAGUUAAGCGUGCUCAGGCUGGAGUAGUGAGAGGAUGGGUGACCGGCCGGGAAGUUAGAUGAUUUGGAAUGAUGAGGGAUGAUUAGAGAUUAGAGGUUAAAUUGAGAAGUGAUGAGUGGUGAUUAGAGAUUAAAUUGUAAAAUAAUUCGUAAAUUUGAAAAUUGAAAAAAAAAUCAACAAAUUCAAAAAAUAAAAUUUCGUAAAAUUGCCUUUAGUCCCGGUGGGACUAAAGGUGGAGCUCUAGACAGCGGCCACGUGGAGGGGCUUUAGUCCCGGUUCGUAUAAGAACCGAGACUAAAGGGGAGGGGGGCUUUAGUAACGACCCUUUAGCCCCGGUUCCAGAACCGGGACUAAAGGCCCUCACGAACCGGGACGAAUGGGGCUUUUUCUACUAGUGAUAUAUAUAUAUAUAUAUAUAUAUAUAUAUAUAUAUAUAUAUAUAUAUAUAUAUAUAUAUAUAUGUUGUUCUGUAUGCAAUAACAUCACACAACACACAUGUCUUAUUAGCAGCAAUCAUCUGUGUUAUUAUCGGUCUUUGCACACAUUUCUGAUUAUAGACCUCUUUGUCGCGUAUCACACAUAUCUUGUUAUAUUGAACCAUUUCUGUUCUCUUGUCUCAACACAAACAGUUCAUCCGAGUGAACCGCAUGUCGUAUAUCGGACACACCUUGAUCUGGCUGACCUUUUUUUUUGUGUUGCCUAAUCACAAACAGUUCAUCCGAGUGAACCAUAUGUUCUAUAUCGCACACACCUUCAUCUCGCUGCCCAUUUCUUUUGUUCCUGCUCAUCGCAAACAGUUAAUUGAACUGAACCGUAUGCCCUGCAUCACACACGUAACUAAAAUCUGAACCUUGUUUGAUGCUUCUGUCAUCACAAACGUUUUGCACCUUUUUGACAGUUUUUUACACCACCGUUUGCGAUUAUUGCAUCGCACACAGUUUCGUCGAAGGGUCUCUGAUCAUAGUGUCGCGUUAGCAGCAUCCUGCAUUAGUGUUGGCCCAUAUGGUCCUCUUUCCCGCGUAAGCAUAGCUUCCGAGGUGGUGGCACCCCAUGUUCCUCUCUUGGAGCCCCUUCAUGUACUCCGACUUCUCUUUGACAUCUUUGGCAACACAAGUCUUCUUGAAUAUUUCGAACUGCUCUUCCAUAAUUGUCAGAUUAUCCUUUACAAUCUCGGUGUAGGGUUCCUCUUUGGGGAUGAUCCGAUGUUUCACCCUAACUUUUCAGGCGGACAACACGCUGCUAAACUUGCCCAGGCCGCGUUUGUUUAUCUUCUUCAUUGUCGGGUUUUUAUCUGGAUUAGUAUAUUUGAUUUCAUCCCGGCCCGGGAACAAGAAUACCUGGUGCAUCUUAGUUAGGAGAGAGUGCUCCAUAUCUGGUAUCUUCUUUAGUUUCUCAUCGUUGAUGGUUGCGGUUGCCCGUAGGAUGCAACUAUUUGAUUGCCGUAGCAUCUGCGCGCUUCCGUGGGCUCUUUUGGCUCAAAAUUGCCAAACUCCACCUCCGUGACAACCAGUCUAGUAGUGAUGAGCUGGUUUGGGUGUCGUUGCCUCUUUAGUUUCAGUUCUAUACCGGCUUCGUUAGUCUCAGCACCGGUACCAGCGCUAGUGUCAGUCUCAACGCCAGUCUCUAUGCCGGUCUCAAUGUCGGUCUCAGCCUUGGAUGUGACAGGUGGGCCCUGCAACAACUGUUGCUCAUCGAGAAGGUUCAAAUAGGCGUCUGCCACUGUGUAGACGUUGCAAUCACCAGAACCCUGUCCUUCAUCGUUGCUAGCCAUGUUUCCUACGAUUAAAUCUAGUCAAUUAAUCAUAGACCUAAUAAAAUGAAUAAUGACAUAGAAAGGCCAAUGUUUUGUAGGAAUGUUGAUUCAUUCCAAUUGCGGCAAAUCCCAGGCACUCGAUGUGUCCUAAUUUUUAGCACAAGUCAUGCCGAAAUUCACAAAAAAAAUUGGCAUAACCUUUGCUACAAACUGGACAAAUAGAGCGCCUGAAAUUUGCCGGAAUGGAAAUGAAUCAACAUUCCAUCAAAACAUAGGCCACUUGGAAUCAUUCCCCGCAAACAAAAGAAGACCACUUGGGCACAGUCGAACCACUUCAAUGUUGCAUAUAACAUGAGCAAACACUGUUGAGGAAUUUGCAUAUAACAUGACCGCUUUAAUUAAAAGAUAUAAUCAACAAUAAUAGAAUAUGCAAAUGAACAUCAAUAACAUAUAUCAUAUAACAUCAAUCUUGUUUUUCGUUUACAUAGCAACAAUUACUUUAACCAAAUUUUUGAAAAGAAAAACAUUUUUUUUGUUUAUAGCUAAAUGCCAUAGCUACUAUUUUUUAUUUAUAGCUAAAUACUUUUGUUUUUUGUCUAAAGCUAAAAGUCUAAUCUUUAAAAUAGAACUUGCCUAAGUUAUUUUCCUUGACAAAUAGUGGUCUUUUCAAAAACCAAAAACCUUUGCAAAAUUCUGUUCUAGUUAUUCCUCUCUCUCUCUCUCUCACACACACACACACACACACAUUAUUAUUUUUCAUCCAAAUUGUUUUAGAGCAAAUAUUCCAACAAUACUUGUCCUUAUUAGAAAUUGCAAAGGAACUCCAUUUUCUCUGACCCUUUUGACCUUACCAAAAUUUCCACAGCAAGACCUUAGUACCUACACCCAAUUUCUUCAAAAAUAUUCAGGUCAAUAGUCCAAAUAAUUCAAAUUUCAUUUGAAUGAAAUUUGGACCAGAUUCAGGUCCAUAGUCCAAAUAAAUUUUUAUAGCUAAAUGAUACUGUCUUUUCUUUAUAGCCUCUAUUAAUUUAAAGCUAAAUGCUACUAUUAUAUAUAUACCCUCUGUUAAUUUAAAGCUAAAUGGAAUUACUAUUUAGGCAUUUUCAUAAAAUUUUGCCUUAGCUAAUUUCCUAAAAUAAUUUUCUAAUCUUCCUUCCUAAAUGCUAAAAAAUGCCUACUACUCUAAACAAAUCUAGGGUUCAUAUGAACACAUAAGGUUCAUAUGAGCAUCAUCACAAAAGCAACAUAUGAAUUGCCCUAGCAGAGAGAGAGAGAGAGAGAAAGAUAGAUAGAGAGAGAGAGAGAGAGAGACUUACGGUUGGCGGUGAGGGCGGGCUCGGGCUCGGGCGGUGGCAGUCCUGGGCGGGCUCGGGCGGCGGCGGUGAGGUCGAGGGCGGCCUUGGGCGGCAGCGGUGAGGUCGAGGGCCUGCUCGAUCGGGCAGGGCGAUCAACAAUGGCGAGAGGAGUUGGGGAAUAGGGGGUAAAGGACUUAGCAAAAUUUUGAGCCCGCGCGGUGUUAAGUCAAAAUAGUAGUGCCGUUGGUAGGCAAAAAGGGCUAUAGCGCUCUCUACCAAAACACGCUACUGCUAUAGGAAGUAGUUGUUUAUUUUCCUUUUUCUAAGCUUAGAAAACGUGAUACUGCUAGAAUAACUAUAGCGCUUUGUGGCAACAAGCCCUACUGCAAUGCCUUUCUCUUUUAUUUUUCUUUUAUUUUUUUUAUCUUUACAUUUUCUUUUUUUCAUUUCUCCUUUUUCUACUUCUUUCAUUUUUCAUUUACUUUUCUAUUUCUUUUCCAUUUUAUUUAUUUUUUAGCAAUAGUGCUCUAUACAGGAAACACGCUACUACAAGUCACUUAGCUGUAGCGGAAAGUGCUAUUCUGAGCUCGAGCUCAGAUGUGCCCUUUAUCUCAGCUGUUGUCUAGCGUUAAGAUUCACACCACCACUAGUAUUUUACUCUGUAUUCGGAGCAGUAUGCAUGGCUUUUUCAUCCCAUGUGGCCCACCCAACUACCGCAUUCAAUGUAACGGUCGUCAUCCUCGCAGCCACAACUCAGAUGGAGCGUUGCGCCAUAGGCCAUGGCUCAGUCGUUAGCCAGCAAACGGACGUCAUCCCUCGUCCCACAGCUCCCAUUAAUUUAGCUACUACAUCCUUCCACUCCCAGAUUCCUCUGCCACCCCUGCUCGCCCCCUUCCCUUAUCCCCUUCAUCCUCGUUGAGCAGACUGGAAAUGAUGUCGGCCUCCUCCUCUUCCUCGCAGGCCGACAGGUGCUCCCCUGAUUCCUUGCCUAGCUUGUGGCGACAAGGUGGUCACCUUCGAAUUCUGAGCUGGCAACGCUUCUACAAGUGGGUCAAAAAGAUGUAAGUACUCCAUGCUAAGAAAAUCAAAUGCCUAUCCCUUUUAUCUCAGGAUCAAAUCACUCUUCCUGCAGGCUGCUAUAUGCAAGUUUUUGAGAUCGACGGAACACCUACCCGCCUGAGCUUAGUCGCCGCGGCUUGACCCAGCCGUACAUGUUGCAUCACUCUAUAGUUGUGCACCCGUCUGCUUCCCUUCAGCAUAGAUCCAGGCGAGACCACCAGUUCAUGGAUGGCAGUCAGGCUGAGAUCCAAGCAGCGCAUGCACGCAUCCAGCCGCAGAUGCAGCAAGCUAGCCCUCCCUGCGUCGCCGCACCGCUGCGCUGCUCCGCUGAUAGCCAACGCACGGCGGUGCUGUUGGCCGGAGUGAACUUUAUCCUUGUCCUGGGUCUGCUCUUCUUAAUCUUUGUGCAGCGGAGCAGCUAGUUUCCUAUGUAGGAGGCUUGUAAUAGGGAUAGUCAUCUAGUUUGGUGUACUAGUUAAUUUCAUAAUCCCAGUUUGUAAUCCGGAGUCUGUAACCUGGCAAUCACUGCCAACUACUCCCUCUGUCCGGAAAUACUUGUCAUAAAAAUGAAUAAAAGGAGAUGUAUCUAGAUGAAUUUUAGUUCUAAAUACAUCCCUUUUUAUCCAUUUUGAUGACAAGUAUUUUCGGACGGAGGGAGUACAGGGUUCUCUUUUCUGUUAUCUCCAAUCAUCUGAUCAUUGUUAGUCCAUUUUGUACGUAAUCAUGGUUAUCUAUGAAUUAUUUCAGUAAGAUUUUUUUAAAUACCCAUGCUCCCGACCUAUUUGUCAAUUUAUGUCGGCGGCCACUCUCCUUGGCGCACCCGGAGACGCCCGCCUUCCAGGUUUCCCCUCUCCAUCUUAUUUUCAAUCCGCUUGUCCAGGGUGAUUUCCAUUCAUGGAAUUUUUGCAGAUGCACUUCUUUUGCAGAUCAAAAGCUAUUUAGCUUCACAGAUUGAAAGGUCCAGUUUGACAUUAAGAUUGUUUAUAGAUUCAUAGGUUCACAUAUUCAUUUUUCUUUAGAAACAAAUAGUGCAUGCAUUCAUUCAUGGAUUAUACGAUCCAAGGCACGAAAAUCAUUAUAGGUCCAUAAUGUUUUAUUGAUUCACAAUAUAUUACAUCCAGUUUUUGCAAUGCAGCAACACUGUCCUACAGGAUCCAUUUUACCUUACAUGCAUAGGGCCACAUAGAUUCAAUCUGAAACUUCAGUUCACAACUAUAUUUCUAGUUUUAGUCUCUAGGGAUAAAAAGUUUCAGAACUUUCAAAUCCACAUUGUCUACACAUGCAUUGUGUAUCGGAUUCAGUUGUGGAAAGCAUCGGAAUUUUAUAUAGGAUCCAUUUGAUGACUGUAUAUUAGAGAAAAGGUAAUAUGUUUUUUGAAUUCUCUGAAAGUCUGAAUCCCAGGUUUUUAUUUUUUAGUCCACAAUACCAGGCUUAUUUUUUUCCACCAAUGUUGCAGGGUAAAAUGUCAGUUGAAGGCGGCUGUGAGGGAGAGAUGGGCGACAAGAACCUGCAGGCGGCUAGCCAAGAUUCAGGACAGAGUGGUGACCCCGCCGUGCCCCCAACACCAACCUCUCGUAUAUCUGUCAAGCAGGAUGUUGAUGUCAUCUAGACAUUGAAUGAGUUCAAGCGAUUUCUUGUUACGAGCAUUGGGUUUGGUGGUAUGCUUGACCUUCAAAUGCUGCAGAAACUAAACCUGAAAUUCAGUGCAUGGACAAUGAGUAAGGUAAGCACCACCCGCCGCACCAUUGUCCUGGCAGAGAACAAGAUAAUGAUAUUUUCAGAAAGCAUGGAUAUGCCACUAUUGAUUUCUGGGGAACACUAGCUAAUACUGAGACGAUUAAGCAGUUCAACUGGUGUGAGUAUGUGAUUCAAUGCCUGCUCGCUGGUGUUAGGAGGCUAAAGAAUAAUACCCGAUCGGGCAACCCCACCACCAACUUAGUCGGAUGCUACUUGUUUCUCUAGGUAAUAUUGUGUAUGGAGGCCCCAAAUUCAUGACACUGGUUACUUUCAUUUUUUUGGGUGCUAACAAACUGUUGCACUCAUAGAUAUUCCUGCUAGACAACCUCACCAUUGGGAUGUUCAACUAGCAACAUUCUGAGUUGCUGAGGGUAAAGUUGUUUAUCAAGACUCAAUGCGGAGGAUGACAACCAUGGCUACUGAUGUUGGAAAGCCGGUCACAUCUUACAGUGGCACAUCGGUAAGUGCCGGCCAUAUCUCUUAACAGCCUUAUAAGUGCAGGGCAUUCGCAGCGGCAAGACCUCGUGUUCUCGACACCAACUUUUCCCUGCAAAAUUUGCACCAGCUUUUCCCUGCAAAAUUUGCACCAAUUUUGGUCACCGACGUUGCAAACUAAUCAAAAAUAAAUUGGGACUGUUGAAGCAGUAACACUAGCAAAGUUUUGUACUCACCGAGCAUCCACAAACUAUUUCUUGCAUGCAUUUUCUCCUCUCGGCAUUCAGGCGGCUCUUACCGUAUCGAAUACCAAAUCCUUUCUCCCAUAAGUAAAAAAUGUAGUAGUCGUAUGCCUCACCCACUGAGUCAAAUGUAGUGCCAACAACUGGGGUAAUAACACUCUCAGUUGGGUUCUCGGCAAAACUCCUGAUAGCCUUCUCAAAUGCACUAACGCGGUUUAGGCAAGGUGCUCUGCUAGGGGCUGCAGCUCCAAUGCAUAGCCUUUUUUGCAAAAACAGCAAGUAUGGUAUUAGCUUACAAAGGUUCAGCAACCAUCAGUCAACACUAACUAGAUGCGUUUUUUUUAAUUGACUUGUUUGCACUCAUCAUUUUACCCUACAGGAACUAACCAUGUUGUUCUGUGGUUGUCCUAAUCCAGCAAGCAACAUUUUUACUGCCAACAAGUUCAUGUAAUCCUGUACAUUUAUUUUUGCAAGUCCCGAUACAUUUUUUCAGCUUAAGCAAGAAUAAUUCACACUAACUAGAUGCAUGUAAUUCACUGGUUUCGUAAGAAUUUUUUUUGCCUGCAGCAAGUGAAUAUAAAUUAUGUACUCCCUCCGUCCCAAAAUAAGUGUCUUGAGCUUAGUACAAAUUUAUACUAGAGCUAGUACAAAGUUGAGCCAGUUAUUUUGGGACGGAUGGAGUACUUGUUAUAAUCCACGGAAUCAUUUCUCUGGAAGUCUCGGUACUUAACUGAUGGUAACCACGCAAAUCAUUGGAUACAUACGCAUACAUGUGUUUUGUCAGGACCACAAAUGCACACACUAAUUCAGCCAGUUCAGCCCAUCUGUGCCAGAACAUUACUGCCCCAAUUUAUCAGCAUUACUGGCUCAAAAAACACUAACCUUUUGUUCCAUCCAGGAGCCCGCGGGUUCAUCUUCCCAGUUGACAGCUCCGAAGCCGCAGGAGAGCUCUCCCUCUUUCUGCCGCUGCUAAGCCGCCGGCGCCAGCUUCUCAACAACUUGCUCCGUCACCAUGAUAGCCGCCAUCGCCAGUGCUUGUUCGGCCGCCACAGAAUCCCCCACGGCCGCUCUCUGGUCCACUUCACCCGCUCGUACCAAUUGCUGCUCUGGCACCUUUACAUCCCCAAUCGCCCCUGCCCGCCCCACCGCACCAUGUUUUGCCGCAGGAGCCAGCACCAUACUCUCGCUGACCUCCUCCAGGAAAGUAGAUCUGAUGGAUGACGAGCGAAAUCCGUACCAAACUAUCAAUCCAUGAACCUAAUCCAAGAAAUCAACCACGAGAAAAGGGAAGAUUUUACGAAGCCGCGUAUCGGCUGCAUCAGGAACUCCAUGGCUUGCCGCCGCCGCGUCCUGUCUCGAUGACUCACUACCCAAGCACCCAAAGUUUGGAGAAGGCAUUAGAAUAGUACAUCCAUCUGACCGCAUGACCCCACUGACAGGAAAAAGCAAUGCCCUGGGCCACGGAUCAGACGUCAACGACUAUUCUGGGCGACGGCUCGCAUCGUCUCACCUCGAGGCGAUCCGCUCUCCGGUUAAUUUAUGGCCCACCAUCCACUUGCAGUGCGUACGUAUUACUGAACAAUACACCUUUUCUAGCAGCCCAUGCCCUCCCGUAUAAAGAAAUGGCACAGAUUUUCACACAGAAAUCAGCUGUAGCGUGCUUUUUGCAGCAGCGCUACUACUAUUCCUAGCUUAUCGGCAGCAGUGUGGGAAUCAUAGUAGUAGCGCUUUUUCCUGCAGACGCGCUACUGCUAUAACCUGUAGCGCUCUUUAUUAACACGCGCUACUACUAAGUAUCACUAGCGCUCUGUUCUAACCAAGGCUACUGCUAUGCCUUUGGUUUAUAAGGUUUUCCCUAGUAGUGGUGGGGGCUUUCAAUAGCUAUGAUGUUAGUCCAUGUUUUGUAUUAUGCAGUUUCUUUUACAGGAGGUUCAACGAAAGUAAACACAAAAGAUGGAGCCAGAGACAACAAAUUCAAUAGACUUUGAUGUAACUUUCGAUGGUAUCAGGGGUGGUUUUUAUCUGUCUGUGGUUCGGUUUCUUUGAUCUGACGCACUUUAUUUAUUUAUAAUGAAUAAAUUUGGACCGUUCUAAAAAGAAUCGAAUUCAUGCAUAAGCUAGUUCAUUCAUAAGAUCAAACUAAUGGAGAAAAAAGGGCAAUAUGUUUCAUCAUUUUAUUUUUGUGGAUUAGCAACCGUUAUGCUCACUAGACCACAAGUUAGGAGCGGGAUCAUCUCUGUUCUCCAACGUAUGUACUCAUGAAACUGUAUCCGGAUCAUUCUAUCGUGCCAAGGUACCAUGUACUUCCUCCGUCCCAAAAUUCUUGUCUUAAAUUUAUCUAGAUACGAAUGUAUCUAACACUAAAAUAUGAAUAGAUACAUCCGUAUGUAGACAAAUCUAAGACUAGAAUUUUGGGACGGAGGGAGUAGAAACAUGUACUAUCCCCUUUGUCCCUAAAUACAUGGUGUCCUCGUUUUCAUGAAUAAAUUUGACAAUCAAUUGCGCCCACAAGAUAUAAAGUAUGUCAUAGAAAUUAUACCGCUAGAAACCAUAUUUAAAUCAAAAAAUAAGAAUUGAGGAAUUGAUUGAUGUAAAUUUUGUGAUAUAUAACUGACAUUAUAUUGGCCAAAUCGAUGUUCAAAAUUAAACCUUAACAGGGACCGACGGAGAGUAACUGAUAGUGGCGCCAAGCUGCCGUCAUGAAGUGUGGAACUCUCAGCCAAUGGUUAGGUACAUACUCCCUCCGUUUUUAUUUACUUUGCAUAUUAGAGUUGACUGAAGUCAAAUUUCAUAAAGUUUGAUCAAGUUUAUAGAAAACAAUAUAGACAUUUAUCAUAAUAGAUCUAUACGAUGUGAAAGUACAUUCAAUAAUAAAUCUAAUGUCAUUGAUUUUUUAUAGUAUAUCUUAAUAUUUUUGUCUAUAAAUUUGGUCAAAGUUUAUAAAGCUUGGCUUUGACCAAAGCUAAUAUGCGAACUAAAUAAAAACAGAGGAAGUACUACACUACUAGCUUUCAGAUCCUAGUAAACUUUCUAGCUAGGCUCCGCCUCUCUCGUGCACCCGCGUCGCACGACAGCACGAGUGCAGCACGCAUCGGCAUCGACGGCUUGACCAUGCAGCAUAUGCAUGGACGCACACGAAUCACCAUGUCAGCGAAAAUGUCCUUCAGAGUUAAGGGACCACAAAGUAAAAAGGCAAAUGCUUAUUACUCAUGGUCAAUAGGAAAAGCCAGGAAUCUUGUGCAAAAUAUUUGUUUAGUACUACUACAGACCACACAAAAUAUUUUUGCAAAUAAUUGGCUGAUGAUCAUCCCACGUUCCCGCUAUUCUCAGCCUGCACAGCUGAUCAUACGUUGCCUUCGACUCGACAAUCGUGGAAUACAAAAUUCAUAAAAUCAACAGCCCCCGUCUUCGUUAUUAUUUAUAUGUAAUCCUGUUAAAACAUAGUAUGACAUGCUAUCUACAUAGUACUUUUUUUUUGCGAAAAAUCUACAUAGUACUAUUUCUUUAAAAAAACUGACCCUAGGAGUAGAAACAACAAAUCCUGCUAAAACAUACGACAUGUUAUUUACAUAUAAGUAUAGCUGAGCAUAGGAAUAGAAGAAAAAAACUAAAAGAACAAAUCGAUUUUGCACAGGCAUAUCACAUAUGCUAGGCUGCGCGCACCUAGAGCUAGCUAGCGCCUUGCUGCAGCAGUAGCAGCCGCCGCAGCUUCCUCCGCCACCAACCGCUCAUGCACCUUCUUGAUAUACUCCGCCGCGGCCGCGUCGAUGCCGCGCAACUGCGCUACGGCGCCGGCGGUCGUCGUCGUCUUUCCCUGAGCAUCGAUCUUCUCCACCCUCUGGACGCAGAUUUCUGACAUGCCUGAUACUAAGUGGCGUCGAGUGUUUUCUGUUUGUUUGGUUUGGACUGAAUGAAAGAAUGAUCAUCGAGGCGGGUACAGUAUUUAUAGAGAGCAGACACCGCCUCCACGCGGUCGCGUGGAUUCCAAGGAAGAAGGCAAGAAACGACCGCGUCUGUCCGUAUAUACGUGGCUGCUGUAUAAGCACUGUAUAUAUAGUGUACCUCACGGUGUGUUUCAGUUUGAUUUGGUCAAGGUUCUUUCUGGAUGCCGUUUAAGAAAACACAUGCAUGCACUCCUACUCAGCAUAUUCACUAGUGCUGAUUAACUUGCACGAAAUCUCUUGUCAAACCACUCUGACUAUAUUACGGGUGCAUUUGUUUGGGCUCACCAGCAAGAAUCACUGUGAGAUUCUUUCUCACGCCUACCGGCUUCUCGGGCUCCGGAAGCUGGAGCCCAAACAAAGAGCAUUUUUCGGGGCAGCUCCAUGGAGCCGCUGGAGAGAAGCACUCCACGAAACGGCCUGUAGCAACAGAGGAGCUAAGACGAAGGAGCAUGAGGUUUGUGGAGGAAAAACUUCACCAUGGUACUACAGAAUGUGCAACAUUUGUGUUGAAGAAACUACUUUAACGUACAUGCUGCGCUAGAUAUCAAAUAUAGUGAGUGCUGAUUAACUUGCACCAAAUCUGUCGUCAAAACCACUCUAACUAUAUCACGGGUGCAUUUGUUUGGGCUCGCCAGCAAGAAUGAUUCUGAGAUUCGUUCUCACGCCCACCCGGCUUCUCGGUCUCCGGAAGCCGGAGCCCAAACAAACAGCUUCCUUUACAGGAGCAGCUACAUGGAGCCGCUGGAGAGAAGCACUCCACGAAACGGCCUGCAGAUAGAGAGGAGCUAACACGAAGGAGCAUGAGGUUUGUGGAGGAAAAACUCCACCUUGGUGCUACAAAAUGUGCAACAUUUGUGUUGAAGAAACUAUCUGAACGUACAUCCUGUGCUAAAUAUCUUUUUUUUUGCAUGAUAAUACGUGUCUCAUUUAUAUCAUAAGGAUUAUAAUACAAGUCACGUACAUACCGACCUGGCAAAACUAGAAAAAUAGCAGAACGCUAGUCUUUGCACAAAGGAGCAACAACCAAGAAGUAAAAUUACAAACAAAACCGAAGAAACCUCUGAGCUUGACACCAACACCCGUCACCUGCCUCUGGCACCACCAUAGCAGCCAUCAAAGGAGAAAAUGACGGAUCACCUCCACACCCGAGCUCGACGCGGCUCCAUCGCUGAUAUGCAGUUUUACGGACCUCCAAAUUGGCUUGCCAAAGAUGAAACCCUUAUCGUUGAACGAAUCAAAUCGGGGCAACACCUCGGACACGCCAUGGAACUCCAGAUCUGGCACCCCCAUAAGACUAAGACGUUGGAGGAAAAACCAUACCUGCCAUCCACGUACCACAAACCCAGCACACGAUCCACCAUCUUUCAGAUGCCGUCGAUGCAGACCACAAUCUACAUCCACUCCUGGACUACCUCCCAAGCUCCGCGUCGGUGCUGGAGUAAACGCCGUCGCAACGACGGAGCUCGAGGACACAGACAGGGCCAGCCCUGAGGAGGGAGGCCGCCCCAGACCCCCGAGAUUUAGGGGCCCUUCCCAUGUGUAGUGUACGUAUAAAGGUAAGUAACCCAUUUGGCCAUUGAUUCACGUAGAAAAAAAGGAAGUAGCCCAGGUCCAUAAAGGAAGGGAUGGCAGGUAGCGUACGCACGUAAAUCAGUGUACGAUCGUGAGGAAACAAAUUAGUGUAACACACCUAAAUCACGUCCUUCCGUUCUCUUUAUUCCUUACUAUCGUGAGACAAUCUCCCUCCAAAACAAAGACGAUUGUGUGACGUGAUUUAAUCCGUAAUUUGCUAUAUCCUCCGUUCUCUGCAUGCUCCAAACCCUAGUUUCCAAAUUGCAGAGCCUCCUGAAAAUAAGCAGCCGGGGGCUGAUUGUCUCCAGGCGCUGUACGCGGUGACAACGCAGCAUGAACAUCGCCUACCCCUGAAAAUUGACACUGCCAGAGUGGGGCACACACGUCAUCGAGUGUGUGUCACCAAAAAUCCACAUCACAUCAUCGCCGAGCGUCCAAUGAUUGAUGCUGAUCUAAGUAAACCUUACUAUUCCCUACUCCCCGCAAAAUGUUUUACUAUUCCCUACAAUUUUAAGUAAACCUUCGUGCUUUGAGGAAGAAACAAUUUGAUAAAAGUAGUUGCCAAAAUAAAUUUCUUGAAGCUGAGAAGGAUUUUCAUAUUAAAUAUUUGUUUGCUUUGGUUCAUAUGAAUCACUUCACUGAAGUAAAGGAUUUAAGAAAGUCACAGUGUUUAAAGAUUUAUUCUGAUUACUGUGCAUGUGAUUGUUCCAUCUUAGAUUAAAAAAAGCUUUAAAAAUUUGAAAUUAUUGUUGAACCACAUGGGAUAAACAAUGCCUGGAAGAGCUUAAAUGGUUAGGCAACAUUAUGCAUCGAGAAGUGCAUGACAUUGACUUCGAUAUCGACACAAUCAUAAGUCAAUUUACAUUGAAGAAUCUUACAAGAAAAAUUGAAAACAAUAUGCAUAUGAUGUUUAUAUUAAGGGCCCCCAAAUUUACGUUCGCCCCGGGCCCCCAAAAUCCCAGAACCGGCCCUGGACACAGGUCCACCACAAGGAUGCCGCCGCCGCCACACCAUUUUUACUUGAACAGACUGGAUUCCAAAUCCAUUCCCGACCAUAAGAACAAUAGCCUGAUCGAAGUAGGAUCCGAAGAAAUUUUAUUUAGCUGUCAUGGCCGCUGCCGAAGCAAGACGAUGAACAACCUAGAAACUAAUCUAUUUUGGACUAAAAACUAUCCNNNNNNNNNNNNNNNNNNNNNNNNNNNNNNNNNNNNNNNNNNNNNNNNNNNNNNNNNNNNNNNNNNNNNNNNNNNNNNNNNNNNNNNNNNNNNNNNNNNNNNNNNNNNNNNNNNNNNNNNNNNNNNNNNNNNNNNNNNNNNNNNNNNNNNNNNNNNNNNNNNNNNNNNNNNNNNNNNNNNNNNNNNNNNNNNNNNNNNNNNNNNNNNNNNNNNNNNNNNNNNNNNNNNNNNNNNNNNNNNNNNNNNNNNNNNNNNNNNNNNNNNNNNNNNNNNNNNNNNNNNNNNNNNNNNNNNNNNNNNNNNNNNNNNNNNNNNNNNNNNNNNNNNNNNNNNNNNNNNNNNNNNNNNNNNNNNNNNNNNNNNNNNNNNNNNNNNNNNNNNNNNNNNNNNNNNNNNNNNNNNNNNNNNNNNNNNNNNNNNNNNNNNNNNNNNNNNNNNNNNNNNNNNNNNNNNNCUUCAUGUGAAUACCCAUGAUUUUUAUAAAACAAUGUUGAUUUUGGCGAAAGAGUGACAAUCUUUAAAAAACAGUAAUGAUUUUGGUAAAAUGAAUACACAUAAGUACCUGGUUGCAAAUUUCUGGAGCCGCCACUGUCACCGCCGACGACCGAGGUCGUUGGCGGACAGGAACCGCCGGAGGACGGCUGCACAAAAAUUCCCUGGCGAGGCGGCGCUGGCUAGAUCGCCUCUUCCUUUGAAAGGAAGAUAGAGCGAUACAACGUUCUGCUGCGCUAGAUAUCAUUCUAGAGUUCUAGAGGCUAACAAACAUGUAGAGCACAUGAUCUAGUCCAAAAUCAACAUGUAUAAUCGUAGAUGAUUAACUACAACCCGGUCGUUCCUUUAAAUCAACAUCAAAACUAGAUGAUUUAACUUAUAAUCAGCAAGUUAUAUGUUUAAUUUAUCUAAUUCGUCUAAAUACAUUGUCUAACUAGAGAGUGUAAUUUUCAAAUGAUUGUGUUAACCGGUAUUGAAUAGAAAAAAAAAGGCAACGAUCAGAAUUGCGAGGAAGCGACGAGUGAAAAACGAAAAAGAGCUACACGCGCAGGAUGGCUUGGUUUGCGUGCGUGUGUACGUCAGGACCUGCAACUGCUGCACAAAUCUCAAAUGGGAAUCAGAUUCUUUGAUGGCUACAGGCGACUGUCAAUCGACACGAACAGAGAAGACUACUAGCUUACAUCCCCAUCAGUUCCAGGACUCUGUCGUGUGUCGGGCGGCCGGCCAAACAUUUCCACCUAACCAAAUUAAGCACAUGUGCACUUCUGCCUUAAUAGCUAAGCACUGGAUUCCCCCAAUCUGCGUGUGGAAGGUGAGAUUAGGGAAAUCGAGUGGAAACCAUUUAUGCGCAUGCUUCUCGUUAACCAUUUGUGCGCCUGCAUCUCGUUAUUCUUGUCAGAUGAAGUGACGAUAACUUCUGGGAUGUCAUCAAGAAUGACCUAAUGGAGUUGUUUAAUUUUUUUCAUGUCGGUCAACUAGACCUAUCUAGGCUUAAUUUUGAUGAGAUUGUUUUGUUGCCAAAGACUAAGGAGGCUGAACAAAUUCAACAGUUCAGACCGAUCUACCUCCUUAAUGUCAGCUUCAAAAUCUUCACCAAAGUUGCGACUAAUAGACUCAAUACGGUCGCCGAUCAUGUUGUUCAGCCAUCCCAAACGGUUUUCAUGCAAGGACGAAAUAUACUCGAUGGAGUAGUAAUCCUUCACGAGACCGUCCACGAGAUGCACCGAAAGAACAUAAGUGGAGUAGUAUUUAAAAUCGACUUUGAAAAGGCAUACGACAAAGUCAAAUGGUCAUUUCUCCAACAAACCCUAAGAAUGAAAGGUUUCUUAGAUAAAUGGCGCGAGUUGGUCCAAAAUUUUGUUACUGCAGGUAGUGUGGCUAUAAAAGUCAAUGAUGAUGUAGGCCAUUACUUUCAGACGAAAAAGGGAUUACGGCAGGGUGACCCAGUGUCUCCAAUGUUAUUUAACAUUGUCGCUGACAUGUUGGCUACCUUGAUCAAACGCGCCAAACAGGACGGUCAAAUUGCAGGAGUAGUGCCACAUCUUGUGGAUGGCGGACUCUCUAUCUUGCAAUAUGCCGAUGAUACAAUUCUUUUUAUGAAACAUGACCUAGAUAAGGCUAAAAAUAUGAAACUUUUGCUUUCAGCUUUUGAGCAAAUGUCAGGUCUGAAAAUUAACUUCCAUAAAAGUGAAGUGUUCUAUUUCGGAGAAGCCAAGGAGGCGACCGCACAAUAUGCUGACUUGUUAGGUUGUGCAAAGGCCAAUUCCCGAUUAAAUAUUUGGGAAUUCCGGUUCAUUAUCGUCGUCUCACUAAUGCGAGUGGAAACAUGUUGAAGAGCGAUUGGAGAAACGAUUGAGCAGUUGGAAAGGCAAGUUGCUCUCUGUUGGUGGAAGACUAGUUUUGAUCAAUUCUGUUCUCACAAACAUGGUUCUCUACAUACUCUCAUUUUUUCCAAAUUCACAAAGGGGUUCUGCAAAGACUGGAUUACUUCAGAUCCAGAUUCUUUUAGCAAGGAGACAGUGAAAAUAAAUAGUAUAGGCUAACCAAAUGGAGUGUGAUUUGUCGACCAAAAGACCAGGAAGGUUUAGGUGUUCAGGACCUCCAGGUUAAGAAUGAUGCCUUGCUCAGUAAAUGGUUGUUCAAGCUACUUACCGAGGAUGGUGUUUGGCGAACCCUGUUGCAUAAUAAGUAUCUAGGCCAAAAAGCGUUGUCCCAGGCAUAUUGGAAACCUGGUGACUCACAUUUUUGGUCUGGUCUGAUGGCGGUAAAGAAACAUCUAUUUCACUUUGGAUCAUUCGCGAUAAAGGAUGGCUUCGAGAUACGUUUCUGGGAGGACAGGUGGCUAGGAAACACCACUCUUCAGGAACAGUAUACAGCCUUGUACCGAAUUGUACGCGAUAAGAAUGAUACUCUUGCGCACAUGCUCAGCUCCUCCUCGCCGAAUGUAUCAUUUAGGAGGGAUUUGAUUGGCCUCCGCCUUGCGUCAUGGCAACAUUUUCUAUCCCGUUUGGAUUCGGUUAACUUGACACAAGGGAGGGAUAUGUUUCGUUGGAAUCUCACUACAUCUGGAUCCUACACAGUUGACUCUAUCUACAGUGCACUCUCGCACUCAGAGGUUCCAUUGGAUAAUAAUAAACUAAUAUGGAAAUCAAAGAUGCCACUAAAAAAAUAAGAUUUUCAUGUGGUAUCUUCGGAGAGGAUUUGUGCUAAUAAAAGACAACCUCGUUCGACACAACUGGCAAGGAAGUAAGAAGUGUAGCUUUUGUACUCAUGACGAGACAAUUAAACACCUCUUCUUUCAGUGCAAGUUUGCGCAUUCUAUAUGGCCAGUCAUCCAAAUAGCAUCCAAUUUGUAUCCGCCAACAAGUGUUGCCAAUAUAUGUGGUCACUGGCUUGAUGGAAUACCAAAUACUUUUAGUACGCUAAUACGGGUGGGAGCGUCUGCCCUAUUACGGUCGCUUUGGCUAUGUAGAAACUGAAAGAACAUGCGAUGCCCCCAUGUUUGGUUUUGGUAAUUGAUGACAGUCUCUAUGGACUAAUGGUUGCCUUGAGUUAUAUUUGAAUGUUUUGUCCAUAGGCUUUUCUUGAAGUCCAUGUGUUGGUUUCAAGGAGUUUAUGAGUUGACCAAGGUGCUAUUAAGGAAUUAUCCAAAGAUUGGUCAUGUGAGUGUUGAGCUUAUUGCAAGCAUGUCUUGAAGAAGAAGAUUAUGUGAUCAUUCAUGUUUACCUUCAAGACAUCAUCCAAAUGAAGAGAGUUGGAAAGAUUCAAGGUUGAUCUAGCCUAAGUACAGAGAGUGAUUCAAGUUGAUCAACACACAAAGCGCACAAGUUGUACCGAGAGGGACCAAGUGUUCCCAUGGUAUGGUAAGCAUUGUUCAUUACGCUUUGUGUACUAACCCAUGGUCUAAAUGAGAGUUCUUUGUGGGGUUAGGUAUGUUUCCAUGGUCUUGCGUCAAGAGGAAGAUUCCAUACAACCCAUGAAGGAUGACAUCAAGUGGUCAUCGUCAUCAAGUUUGUUGUGUGCAAGUUCAAGUGGAGCAACACGAAGAGUGGCUCACCCAUAAUGGAGUAUGGGGGAGCAAUCAAGUUUGAAUCUUGCCAUCCAUUGUGGUGUCAAUGGACUUGUGAAGAUGUGCCGAAGAGUCGCUCACCCAUAGUGGACUAUGGGGGGGCAAUCAUCUAGUCUUCAUCGAGCCAAUGCAAUCAAGAAAGGUGGUCCAACUUGAGGGAGUCAAAAUCGUCUUCAUCUAGCUCAAGUGGACCAUGUGCAAUGCAAAGGUUUGCCCUUGAUAGGUUUUCUAUUUUACCGGUCUCGUGGUGGUAGUUGGGAGACCGGGUUAUAGGAUCGUUUGCCGUACUAUCAAGGGGGGCUCUCAAGUUGGUAGCUUGAUCGUAUCGUUAGUAGAGAGCUGAAACCAUUGCAUCCUUGCAUCAUGUUUCUUUGUUCUUGUUUGGUUCUCUUUGUGAGUCUUAGAGCUUAUGGUCAUCUUGAUGACAAGCUUGAGUUCAUCAAAAACGGAGUUCGCAUGCGUCUUCUAUGAUGUUUUCGGUGUUGGAGGUUUUACCAGUCUUAUCCAAGGAAGGGUUCUCACCAUUUUCUUAUGGGCCUAUUCUCAUUUGCUUCUUAUUGAUAUUUCUAUCAAGAUUGUGUUAGCCCUUGUUGCUAUCUUUCCAACAAACUUGGUUUCAUCGAAUUCGGAGUUCGUAUGCGAAAGUUGUGGCUAUUUUGAUAUUGCCUGUUUUACAUAGAGAGGUUGUACCGCCCCGUAGAGAGAUUUACCGGUUGACCGAUACAACCGGUGUUUGGAGCGGUUGUACCGCUCCAGAAUUGGUCCGGAGGUUGUACCGGCCAUGUACCGCUCUACCACCUGACUAGUUUCUGUUUUGGAGCGGUUCUUGGGCGGUUGUUGACCGGUUUAACCGGUACUACCGGUUCCCCAGGCUAUUGUACCGCUUAGAGCUUUUCCCAGGUUGGUUUUUCCUCUGCUUUGGCCAGUUGUACCGGUUCGUGCACCGGUUGUACUGGUCCUACAGGUUUCUGCACAUAACAGGCAGAUUCGUGGGGACCUAUUUAAGGGGGUCUUCUUCCCCAAUGGUUCCCCAUCUCUUGAGCUCGUUUUGCCUCCAUUGUUGACCUUUGAGCUUGCUAACUCUCAAUCCCUCCAUGGAUUCUUGCUAGUUUUUGAGGGAAAAGAGAGAGGAGUUCUAUAUCCACACUUCCACCAAUCACUUUCUCCUCUAUGUGAGGGGAACCCCUUGGAUCUAGAUCUUGGAGUUCUUUGUGUUCUCCUUAUUGUUCUUCCUCUUACUUUCCUCCCUAGCAUUAGUUGCUUUGGUGGGAUUUGAGAGAGAAGGACUUGGGUACUCUGUGUGCCCUUGCCAUUGCAUUUGUGCAUCGGUUUGAGUUCUCCACAGUGAUACGUGGAAGUGAAGUUUGAGAAGCUUAUUACUCUUGGGUGUUUGGGCACCCUAGAGCUUGUUCCUCUUGGGUGCCUUGGCGCUCUAGACGGUUGGUGGUGUUCGGAACUCAAUCAUUAUGGUGUAAAGCUCCGGGCAAGCGUCGGGGUCUCCAAUUAGGUUGUGGAGAUCGCCACGAGCAAUUUGACAGGUACUGGUGACCGCCCCCAAGGGUUGCCAAAGUGUACGGGUUCGGUGACCGCCCCCAAGGGUCGCCGUUUGUACGGGUUCGGUGACCGCCCUCAAGGGUCCCUUAGUGGAAUCACGACAUCUUGCAUUGUGCGAGGGCGUGAGGAGAUUACGGUGGCCCUAGUGGCUUCUUGGGGAGCAUUGUGCCUCCACACCGCUCCAAACGGAGAUUAGCAUCCGCAAGGGUGUGAACUUCGGGAUACAUCAUCGUCUCUGCGUGCCUCGGUUAUCUCUCACCCGAGCCCCUUUAAUUAUGCACUUUACUUUGUGAUAGCCAUAUUGUUCUUUGUCAUAUAUAUUGCUAUCACAUAGUUGCUUAUCUUGCUUAGCGUAAGUUGUUGGUGCACAUAGGUGAGCCUAGUUGUUGUAGGUUUUGUGCUUGACAAAUUAACCGCUAGGUUUAUUCUGCAUUUGUUCAAGCCUAAAUCAUAAUUAUUUUAAAGCGCCUAUUCACCCCCCCCCUCACUACAAGAAAUAUGUCAACUUGUGACCACCACUAUUGGUCACUAAAAGGUCACAAAUUUCCAUUUGCGACCUUUUUGUGACCAAAAACAGAAGGUCAAAAGCUGGCCGUCAUAAACUGACUAUAGCGACCUUUCUUCUGGAAUGGUCGAAGAUGUUUACGACCAAAAUAUUCCUACUAUGGCGUUUUGGUCACUAGCAACCUCCCCAGGCCACGUAGGCAUCUAGCAUGGCAAGCUGAUGUGGCACAAGAUUCAGCGCGGUCCAAUUCGGUUUUCUACAUGGGCCUAGCCCAACAAUUCAGCCUAUUUGUGUUUUUUUUCUUCAAUUUUUUGUUGGGUUCAUGGGCCAAGCCCAACAUCCAUUUAUUCUUUUGGGCCAGCCUUUUUUCUAAGCUUCUUCCAUUUUUUGGGCCUCAGCCUUUUUGCGGUCCAUUCAUUUUUUUGUCCAAUAUUGUUUGGGCUAAGGCCUCUUCCAGCCCAUCAAUAUUUUCAGCCUGCUAAUUCAAAGGACUGGACAACAGAGAAACAAUUCAGUUUUUUCAAUUUUGCUAUCAAAGCAACAUUUGUUUCACUGUACAAUCAUACAUCAUCUGUUGCAGUUACAUAUUCAUCACAUUAUCUAUACAUAAGAAGCAGCAACUAAAAGAUUGUCAUAACAAACGACAGCCACUCAAAAGGAAGAUCACCAUCACAGCUCCAGCGACUACUAAUAUACACUACAACUUCCACUUAUGUGCAAACCUACAAGAAGGCCAAACAAAAAAGGAAUCGCUGAAUAUUCAGAGACCACUGCCAUGCUGCCGAUUGGAUUUGGUUGCAGCCCUUCCAGUUUGCUAAUGGCAUCUCUCCAGCAUCAUAUCUCAUAACCUACAAAGAGAACAUAAACCAACAUAAGAAUUUGAAACUUCUUCUAAUUUGAAAUUUCCGGUAAACGAUAAACUUGAGGUAACAUUCAGGACAGCAACACUGCUCCACUGUUUGAUAUAAGUGACUGCUGCAUGUCGUGUGUAUAGUACUAUAGUUUCAUCUUCAGACCAAUCAACGCCAAGUUUCAAAGAAAAUCUGAUGAUAAGUUGCACCAAGAUUUAGCAAGGUGCGUACCUCCAAGUGGAUGAGCGAGCUCUGAGACCCACUCCCUGACCCUCUCCGCAGAUGCUCCCGUCGAAGCAUACUUCAUCAUAGCAAGCACAAAAAUUCAGAAAACUACAGCUAGUGUAAAGAUGGACCAAACUACAGUUUAAGUAAAACUAUAAGAACACAAAAUAAAACUACAAAAACUACAGUUUCAGUAAAACUAUAAAUUAGUUUAGAUUAUGAGAGCAUACAUGGAAAGUCUGCACCAUUAGCAGUAACCAUUAACAAAAGAAAAUAAAUUAUGUCGAUGCUGGAAAUAACAUCUCUGGAGUAGUUUUAAUUGAAAAAAUCUAUAGAAUACUCCAGUAAUUAGAGUACACAGCUAAGAUGCUGGAAAGAACAUCACACAGGUAGGACAAACUACUCCAUCUCUGCACUACAUGCAGGAAAAACUACAGGAGUAUACAGCUACUCAUACGGGAGUACUAUGGGCAAGACAAAUAUAGGAGUAAGAUGUUGAUCAUGUUAGAUUCAGACUAUCACUGGUAGUGUAAUUUUCUACUACAUAAACAUCUACUGAACCAAUGGUGAAUAAUAGCUUAUUGUAGGUAAAAUCAUUUGGAUAACAAUAACUUGUUCAGAUAGUCGGAAUCAAUUAAGCUGCAAUCAAUUAAGCUGCUUAGGCAUCUGUGUACGUGAUUGUCUUGCAAAGAAUCGAUCAAAAUCACUAGUAGCACAAAGGACCCUCGCAGACAUUUGUAAUAGUAGGCAAACUGACCUUGUGCAUUGUACAUGUAAGGUAAGGUAAAUAGAGUUCCCAGCAGACAAUGUAUUCUAGUUAUCAAACAAAUGCUCGCCAAGAUAAUCAGUACAGUGGUGAACCGAACGCAGUAAUAAUCCAAAGGUGAUACUAAUAAGCAGUAGGAACCUCCCUACUUUUGUGAUAUAAAACUAAUAUCAGAUCAAUUUUGUACCAAGUUAAAGUUACUUUAGAUUGUGAACAGUUAGCUCGACUAACAUUUUCUAAACCUUCUAAUUAUAAGUUCCAUAACCUAAACACACUAUGCAACCAUUUGUGUGCUCUCUGUCAAGCUGAAUUUAGGCCUUUCCAUGGAGCAGAGAGCAUAGAUUCGAUCACCGGCCUUGUGCCAAGUCCCCCACGCCUUCCCGUGGCGGCCUUCACAACAAUGACCUGGAAGCAAAGCACACCAAAAACUAAGUCACACAUGCAUGCUAGUAAUCCACUGUCCUGUAGUUGUUUGGUUAUUAUUUUAGAUUAAUAUGAAUAAUUGAAUAUGUAUUAUCUGUUUUUAAAAAAUGAAGUAAAAAAGUUAUUCAAUAUUUCUUGGAAGAAAAUACGGCUGGCUGGAGAACCUGCUAUCCGAAAUGUCUAGACAAUGAAAAAGAAGCAGCAUUAUCAUAACCAGCACGGAAAUUUAGUGAAGUGGGAACCCAGUAAGGAGCUAUGUAUCUUUGUUCUAAUUUUCACUGUAUCUUCAGAGAUUGCUCUAAAUUCAGGAUGGUUCAGCUUUCAUUCUAAGAUGUGUGCAACAUUGCCAUCCUUCAGAAGGAAGCUACAGGGAGUCUCAAGGAAAUUAAACCUGCAAAGAGGCCGUGAUGGAGACACGAGGAAAUUGUGCAGAAAAUACUACAACCACAUUUCCUCAUAUCACCAUCACAUAUCCACAUCCCCUGUGCAGGUGGAAUUUGUCACAUAUCCAUAUCCACAUUCCCCUGCCGAACUGAACUCGUAUAUGGAAACACAAACCAACAAAUCAGACGAACAUAGCAAUUUCUGCACACUCCAGAGCUGGUGUUACUGACUAAACCAACCUAUUUCCUCUAGUAUUUCACAGAGAUUACAGGUCCGUACGCAACAGUGGCCUGAUUCCCUUGACAGGGCUAAGCACUACAAAGAAGUCGACCUAGGUAGUACGCGAUGGAACUAACAGAGCAGGUGCAGAGGCGAUGCUACGCAGACAUUACAGAGUGGAAUCAACGGGGUUCAGGUGGAUGAAUCGACAUCGCUUCGGCUGGCUCACCAAGGUUGCUCGAGAAGGAAAAGGAAUGGACCCAAAUCCGUACCUCGGGCUCGGAGGAGCCGAUGACCCAGGCUGGUCGACACCGACGAGCGUGGCCGGCAGGAUGCCGAAGACGAAGUCGCCGAAGGAAAUGUUGUAGCUCCGAGGCGCGCGCCGUGGUGCUCCUGCCAUGGGCCGGGCGUGUGAGGACGGUCGGGCUCCUCCCGCUUCUCCUCCAGAGGCCUCCGCUAUGCGCUGCUCCCACGCGAGCCCUGCAUGUCACCCAAGGAGAGGAGAGGAGCGCAUAUGUUAGGAACCGUAGGAGAGGGAGGGGAGGUGCGGAGUGUCGUGCGCGUACGUGGUCGUGGCGGGGCACGCCGCCAUCCUGGCCGUGGACUACCUGCCUGUGGUUGCCGGGCCGGCGAGACGAGGCGCCGCGCGACAAAAUCCCAAGGACGGAGUGGUUGGUUGGCUCGGAGUGGAUAAGGCUAGGGGAGAACGGGAGGGAGGGAGGAGCUCGAUCUCGUCUAUGGUGAGGGUCGUCGAUGGUGGGCGGCGGUGGAUAAAGAUCUAAGGGAGGGAGAGGGUGACUUGGAGAUGGGGAUCUAGGAUCGAGGGGCGCGGGAGAGGGUGGAGCAGUGGUGCUUGGGUGGUGGGGGUCGAGCUCCGCCGGAGGGAGGUGGCCGACGCACGCAGGAAUGGAGAUGGAGGCCGAGGGCUCUAACUUGGAUUGGAUCUGGGCGGCCGCGGUGAUUGGGAGAAGGGGGCUAGGGUUUCAUGGGUGGACGAGGAUGAGAGGAUCUGCAUCGGGGGAGAGGGGAGAGGAAGAAAGAAAGAAAGAAAGAAAGGAGGCGGGGGGUGGAUGGAAGAUGCCAGCUAGGGUUUCGCCUCAGGUGGGUUGGUGGGGGAGGCGAGGAGCGACGGCUACCGUUGGAUCCGGGAAGAUCCAAUGGUAUUUUGUGCAUGAUCUGUGUGCCUUGUCCACGGACCAAUCAGAACGCAAUACAAUAUUAUGACCAAUUGAAUUGGUCGUGAUAAAUUUAAAAAUAAGAUGCUAGAUCAUCUUAGUUAUUUACUUGACCUGAUACAUUGGAAAAAAAUGAAACAAAUGAAAAACCUUCUCAUCAUGUCAUCAAAUGUAACCUAGUUUUUAGAAGAAAAAAAUAACAAAAUAGUAAUAAGGAACUUUUCAUUUUCUUUGCACGAAAAUUCAUUUUUCAUUUUUUGAGUGCUCACAAUGAGUUUUUUUGUGAAGAACAUACCAAAUAUUUGUUGCAAAAUUGUAUCAAAUCAUUUUUCUAAAAUACUAGACCAUAUUUAAUGUACAAAUAACCAAAUGGUUGGGUGUCAAAACUUUUAAUCCACCUCUCGUGAAAAAGACAAAUUUCCGCUGAUUCAGCUGGAAGCGGAUCAAAUUUGAAUUACAGCUGCCUCAUAGUUUGCUAUUUAUUUUUUCCAAAAAUCAUUUCUAGGUACAUAAGUACCUAUUUUAUCAGAGAAACACCAAAAAAAUUCCAAGAUUCAACCACUAGCUAGGAACGGUCAAGCCCGUCGUUUUGACCGCAUUUUGAAACGGGCAUAAAAAAUUCAAAAAAAAUCAAAAAAUUGGAAAACCUUGGCGUUGUGUCAUUAUAUGUGACCAAGUUUCCAGGAAAAAUAAUUAUCUUGUAAUACAGAAAUUAUUUUAGAAAAGUGUUCUCAUAAAUGAGCUAUCAUGUGUGAAGAUUCAUGGAUUUCAACCCAAACGCUCAAUCUCAUGGUCACAUUCAUGGCAUAGUUUGUUCAAAUGAUCUCAUAUUGUGCACAAGGGUGCAUCUUGUAAUUCCAAACAAUGUUGCCAAAGGGAGUUUUCAUUUUCUUUGCACGGAAAAAUCAUUUUUCAUUUUCCGAGUGCCCGAAAUGAGGUUUUUUUUGUGAAGGAACUACCAAAUAAUUGUUGCACAAAUGGACCAAAUCAUUUUUAUAAAAUACUAGGCCAUAUUUAAUGCACAAUUGAUAAAAUGGUUGGGUGAAAAAAGUUUUGAUCCACCUCUGAUGAAAAAGACAAAUUGUCGUCGAUUCAGCUGGAAACGAGUCAAAUUUGAACUGUAGCUGCCUCAUAGUUUGCUCUUUAUUUUUUCCAAAAAUCAUUUCUAGGUACAUAAGUAUCUAUUUAAUCAUAGAAACACCAAAAAAAUUCCAAGAUUCAACCACUAGCUAGGAACGGUCAAGCCCGCUGUUUUGACCGCAUUUUCAAACGGGCAUAAAAAAUUCAAAAAAAAUCAAAAACUUGGAAAACCUUCGCAUUGUGUCAUUAUAUGUGACCAAGUUUCCAGGAAAAUAAUAAACUUGUAAUACGGUAAUUAUUUUAAAAAAGUGUUCUCAGAAAUGAGCUAUCAAGUGUGAAGAUUCAUGGCUUUCAAGCCAAAUGAUCAAUCUUAUGGCCACAUUCAUGGCAUAGUUUGUUCAAAUGAUCUCAUAUUGUGCACAAGGGUGCAUAUUGGAAUAGCAAACAAUGUUGCCCAAGGAAGUUUUCAUUUUCGUUGGACGAAAAAACCAUUUUCCAUUUUUCGAGUGCCCGAAAGGAGGUUUUUUUGUGAAGGAACUACCAAAUAAUUGUUGCAAAAUUGGAUCAAAUCAUUUUUAUAAAAUACUAGGCCAUAUUUAGUGCACAAUUGACAAAAUGGUCUGGUGUUAAAUUUUUUGAUCCACCUCUCGUGAAAAAGACAAAUUUCUGCCGAUUCAGUUGGAAGCGGGUCAAAUUUGAACUGCAGCUGUCUCAUAGUUUGCUAUUUAUUUUUUCCAAAAAUCAUUUCUAGUUACAUAAGGACCUAUUUAAUCAUAAAUACAUGGUUUGGUGGCGAUACGUCGAGGUUUGGGCGGUGGCCGAGGGCCCCAACUCUAGAGCGCGUAAACUUGCAUGCCCGCCGCGUGGUCACCGCGUGACCGUGGCGUUGCCAUGUGUUCUGGGCGGCCUAGGCAUGUCUAGUGAGUUGGGCACUCCCCAGGUUGGUGCUAGGAAGAAAAUUACAACAUAAGAUUCUCACGAGGAGACCAAUCGAUGCUCAAACAUGAAUUAGCAGUCAAGUGUUUGAUUAGCGGUACGAGAAAUGUACAUGGCUAAUGGGCGUGAGUUUUGGCUGAGGAUGAUCAGUUACUAAGAAGACCGUUUUCACAAAUUUUCAGCUCAAAAGGAGGAGCCUAGGUGGUACUUGCUUUGCAAACUACCACACUGGACAUAACUACGAAUGUUGAAGCUCGGCUCAAAAUAAUGAAUGGAUUGAGCUGGCAUUUGGUGGAGCAUGGUUAUUUGGGAAUAGGAAAGCACUGUAGAAAAUGGAUGCUAUUUGGACAUGCCAAAGUGGUACUUCCUUCACAAACUAUUGUUCUGAACAGAAUAAAAUGAAUAUUUUUGAAUUAUUUUUGAACUAGGCAAGGAAGGUUUUUACAUAUUUGACGAAGAUAUGACCCAAAGAAUUUAUGAGAUUUGUUUGGGAAUUUUGGCCAUGACAGAAAUAUAGGUUGCUUCACAACCUAGGGCAAAAACUGCCACAUGGACAUGACACAUAGGCAAAACUGAUGAGAUGGCGCCUAGUCAUCGCAACCCACCACAAUUUACAAGUCUAUGACCAUCUAUAUUGGUCAUUAACAACUAGAAAUAAGGCAGCGGACUAGCGUUGUUUGCUUUAUGACCAUUUCGUGUAAGGAAAUUACGACCUUUCUGCCAAAAAUGGUCGCAAUGGUUUAGGGUUUGGAGCCCCCCGAACAGCUUUUGACCAAUUGGUCUAAAAUGGUCAUAGAUCUAUGACCAAUUCUUCCAAGGUCACUGACAGAAGGUCACAAGUUGACAUAUUUCUUGUAGUGCCUCUAGGCGACAUCCUCGAUCUUUUAAUUGGUAUCAGAGCCUCGUCUCUCUUUAUUAGGCUUUACCGCCUAGAGAGUAAAGAUGUCGACUAGAGGAUUAGGAUUCUCUGACACUCUUAGUUUCGAUGGCACAAAUUUUGAUGUUUGGGUAAUUCGCAUGCUUAAUCUCUUUAGGGUCAUGGACCCAAAUUUAGAGCGAAUUGUAGAUAUGGGUUUUUCUCCUCCAAAGGAUCCCCAAAGAUUAUCUUUAGAGGAUGAGAAAAACUCUUAUCUCAAUGCUCAAGCUUCUAAUGUGCUUUUUGAUACUUUGAGCAAUGUAGUUAUAUUUCAACUCAUGCCGUUCCGAGAUGCUCAUGAGUUGUGGACGAAGCUUCAAGAUAAAUAUGGCGUGUCCAAGAUUUGUGGGGAUGAUUGUUCUCCCUCCACCUCCGGUCGUAUAGUCUUCUCAACUUCUUGUACUUCACCUACAUGUGGUUUGCCACAAGGUAAUGAUAUGGUGAGUAGUGUUGGUCAUUGCAAUGAUGAUAGUAUGCUUAUUGUGGAUGAUCCUUCAUCACUAUAUCAUUGCAAUGCUCCUUCUUUGGGCUUUAACACUUUGAGCACUCCAAAUGUUUCACAUGCUUGUGUUGAUAGUCCUUGCAUAUCAUGUAGAAAUUGCUUGACUAAAUCUCAUGAUUAUAUGCUUUCUAUGUCUUGUUGCCAUGAUAAAAAUGCAUCUAUUUCCUCGAAUUAUUGUGCUAACAAUGUAGAGGAAACCCAACACUCCAUGGAACAAGAUGUGGUGUUUAAUGGUGCCUCAAGGGAUCCUACAUCAUCAUCUAUUGCUUUUUGCCUUAUGGCUAAGGCGUCAAAGGUAUCUCCUACUUUGUACCCCAAUAUGUCUCUUGAUGAUGAUGUUGAUGCUAAUGAUGAUGAGGAUAAUGAUGAAGAGAAUGAUAAUGUUGCCUCCUUAAAAACUAAGGGGGAAAUGAUUUUUAAAGCUCUUCAUAAAAAUAAAAUUGCUCAUUCCAACUUCAUGGAAAUAAUGUCCAUUGCCAUUGAUGGCAAGAAAUACAUUGAGGAGUUGGAAUCUCAUCUAGAGGAGCAUGAGGUCACCAUUGAGAAAAUGGAAGCUCAUGGGCGUGAUUACGCAAAUGAGAUCGCGGAGCUAUCUCAAGCUCUUGAACAUGAACAGACCACCUCCGAAUCUCUUGAGGAGACUUUUGCUCUAGAAUUAUCUAGAGUGAAGGAAUCUAAUGAUAGAGCUCUUGAGGUGGCCAACGUUUUUGAAACUAAAAAUGCUAAGCUUGAAGUUGCUCAUGCUAGACUCCUUGAGGAUUUUGAGCACCAAGAAAAUGGCUCAAGGGUCAUCAAGGGUGAGCUCAUCAAACUCACUGAGUCUCAUGCUCAACUUGAAGCUUCUUAUUUAAAAGAGCUUGCCAAGUUGCCUUCUCCUCUUGUUGUUAAUGAUGAUGCUUCUGCUACUAAUUCUAUUACUUGUGAAGCAUCCAUUUUGAAGGAGAAUGUUGAGCUACGGGCUCAACUUGAGGUGCUAUCUAGCAAUUAUGGGAAAUUGGAAGAAAGUCAUGAAAAGCUCUCAAGCUCUCAUGAUGAUCUUCUAGUAUCCCAUAGUGUGCUAAAGAUAGCUCAUGAGGCCAUGAUUGCUAAGGUAACAUCUAGUGAGCCUCAUGUGGAUACUAUCACUACUUCUAGUCAAAAUAGUAUAUUGCCAUGUGCUAGUCCUUGUAAUUCAUCUACUCACAAUGUUGGUACAUAUUGUGAUGAAUUGCUUUCCUUGCCUUGUUUCUCUAACGAUGAAGCUUAUACUUCCUCUAGUACUUGUGUUGAUACUAACCAUGUAGAGGAAAUCAAAGAGCUCAAGGCCCAAGUCACUUCUUUGAAGAAAGACUUGGAAAAGAGUCAUCAAGGGAAACCCACACUAAAUAUCUUGAGUGUGCGAAAAUCCCCCAAUGACAAAGGUGGACUUGGAUUCAACUCCAAUAAGAAGAAGAAGUCCAAGAUGAACAAAAAGAAGGGCCAAGAACAAGUCAAGAAUUCGGCCAAGAUUGUUUGCUUCAAGUGCAAAAUUGAAGGGCAUCAUGUUAGAUCUUGCCCAUUGAAGAAGAAGGCCAUUAGUGACAAGUAACAAGGGAAGCGACUACAAGUGCAUUCUCAUGCUCAACCUCAAGUUGAAGAAAGGCCUCUUCCCAAGAAGACUCAAGCUAAUGCUUCUCAAGUUGAGAAAUCAAGUGAGAAGAAAGUGAAGAGUAGACGUUGCUAUCUAUGUCGUGAGAAAGGUCACCUUGCUUCUUCAUGCACUAGUGGUAACUUAUCCAACCCAAUUGUUAUUGAUGAUGUCUAUUCUCUUGGGAAGGAUAAGGUUGGCAAUGUGUUUGCCAAGUUUGUUGGUACUCAAAGUGGUUUGAAGCAAAGAACCAUUUGGGUAGCCAAGCCUAUUGUGACUAACCUCUUAGGACCCAACUUGGUUGGGGACCAACUAGCUCAAACUUGAUCAAUAGGUGUUGUUGGAGGGCAUUGGAGACUUGGCUACAUUAUGAAGAAUUAAGGGGACUUCAUCAUUCUUAUUGUCUCAAGCCAAGUCAAUUGGAUUAUCGAGUUUCUAUCUUAUAUCCAAUGUGCCUCCUUGGGGUAACUUGUACUUAAAUUGUUUACAUUGAAAGUUACUUGCCCCCUUGCAUGUUUUGGUUUUGUCCCUUGCAUGUGUUUGUAUAUGUUGUGAUUCCAACUUGCUUAUCUUGAGCAAUCAAGUAUGUGUGUGUUGGUUUGCACAUUAUGUACGUGUGUGUCAUGCAUUGAGACUUUAUGCUUCUUGUUUGUACCCUAGUUGGCUCUUGUGAGAGAUUAAUGGAAUAUCCCAUUAUGGGGGAGCGAUGUGCUUUGUGCACUUCGCAAUCCUAUAAAGGUGGGUACAUGGGGAAUACCACUUAGUAUUGAUAUUACAAGAUUAUCUAGUCGCUAUGUGGUAUGUCUUCUGUUGAGAAAUUCAAAUUCUAAAUAGUCUAUUAAUUAUCUCUUGUUGGAUCCUCUUAUUGCCUCUUGUUAAGUUCUUAUUGGUAUCACAUUAUGGGGGAGUAAUAUGCUAAGUGCAUAUUACAAGCCUAAAAAUGUGUAAAUUUGAGAUAUUGUCACCUAGAAUUGAUAUUGUAGAUUAUCUUGUUCCUAGGUGGCAUGUUAGCUCUACAAGUUGCAAUUUGCUUGUGUUUGGUGUGAAGAUGAUGUCGGAUAUCAUUGCUAUCUACCAAUGGGAAUUAUUUCCAUAUACUUCUUGUCUUUGACAAUUGGUAGUCUCUUAUGUGUGGUAGAAUUUGUUAAUCAUCUUUACUUUGGCUUUUGUUUUUUACUUGUCUUUUCUCUUGCCAAGGUUUGUGUCAACUCCCUUUUCGUCCAUACCACUUGUGGAUCUUGUUUAUUUCUUGUUCUUGUCUAGUUUUUUCUAGAUAUAGUGAAAGCGGUGAUCCCACCUUGUGCAUUUUGUAUUCAAAUACAAAUCCUAUAUAAUGCACAACUUGUGGGGGAGCUAUUCUAUUUUCUUUAGAACACUCUUCUUGUGAUCCUUAUCAAGUGUGUUUUGGUGGAAGGCAAGCCAUUUCUUUUUGGUCCUUUGUGCCAUCAUGAAACUUUGUUGAGAGCUUGGUUUGUUUGGAACCAUCCUCUCUUUAGGAGUUUGACAUCUUUAGUUUAGUGUGUAUCAAUGGAUAUCUCAUUCCUUGAUGUAUCUUUAAUGAUAUCUUCCAAGUGAUUAUUUCUCCAUUUGGUAUCCUUUUCACUUGGCAUUUCUUAGUCUUUUGGUUUCGGGUUUUGAAAGUCUUUAGCAUGCAUGUUUACUUCAUGUAUUUCAUUUGGCAUGUUUUCUUUGUUUGACUCAAUAUAUAGUGGAAACUCCACCUAGUCUCAAUUUGGAUGAGAUGUGCAUGAAAUUCAUUUUCAUAUUUAUAUGCACAUAUUUAUGUGGAGUUUGUCCUAUGUAUUGGUGUUUCUAACUAUUUGGUCCCAAUGAGUUUGGGUACUGUUUAGUUUGUGUUAUUCUUCUAGGAACAUUUGGAGAUGCAUUGGAUGCUCGGCUCACUCACAAGGAAGGUGUUGUCACCAUGUGCAUAUUGGAGUCAAGCUAGGAUGAUCAAUGAACUACUAUCUACCUUCAAUUUGUAUCUACUACAUCCUUCCAAUGAUAUUAUCUAUUCAUGCUUUCUCCUCUUGCAUUCAACCUUGUGUAGGUUGCAUCUUGGCUUGAUAUCCAUUUCAUAUCUUGUGAUACUUGUUUCCUUUCUCAAAGCAUCCCAACAAUGAUCUCAUGUUGCUAGUUGUGAUGUCUUUGAUGGUUGUGUGGUAGGAAUUCAUUUAUAUACAAUAAGACCAUAUCUAGCCAUGUGCUAUGCUUCCAAGCAAAUAUCUUAUUGGUAUAUGCAUGACUUCCUUUUGGAUAUCUUAUUCCUUCGUGUUGUAACUAUGUCGGGUGUACAUCCUUCUUUGUAGACAUAUAUCAUCAUGAUUUCGUCUACCUAGAACCUUAUACACCUGAGAGAAAUUACAUCUCUAGAUGAUAUCCUUUCUUUCACGUCCACCUUGUCUUUCUUUUGUUAUUUCUUUGGUGGCUCCGUGAAAGAUCUUGUCUUGAGUGCGGGUCUUAUCUCAUUGCAUCUUGAUGCACUCUUUUGUGGUGAAGAUCUUUUUCCUCAUGCUUGUCUUGACGAGGCCUUUGCCAUCUUAAUUGGUAUCCCUCGUCUUGAUGAAGCUUUCAUUUUCUAUCUUCACCACGGGUUGUCACAAGCAAAGGUUCUCUUCUGCUUAUUAGUAAGCUUGUGAACCCAUUUGCCAGUUGUGUGUGAGAACGAUAGGCCUUGCACCGUGUGCCUCAUUCAUUCAAGACUAUGUUGAUGCUUAAUGCUCAUCCUAAUUUUAGUCUUCUCAAGUUCUUCGCCAUGACUCACACACAUUAUUUUGGUUGAGCCUAUUCUUAAGUUGCCUCUUUCACUUGUUGCUCAACCAUGUGUUUGUUGCAAGUACUAGGCUUAGUUUCUUAUAUGCUCUCUUUGCACUUGUUGUAAGUUUCUAUUGAUUUUGGGGGAGCUAUGGUCCUAUUUUGUGCACUUUGUAUCCAAAUACAAAAAUUCUUGAUGUGCACAAAUCAUGGGGAGAUUCUCUGGUUUCUUUGGAACACUGCUCCGCUCUUAUCAUAAUAUCCUUUAUUCAUGUGGCUCGUAGGAUCAUUGGCCUAGUUGGUUCAAUUGGUAUCUUUUGAUAGCUUGCUUCAAUUGGUAUCUUUUGAUUGCUUGAUUGCGUGUUUCUCUCUUUGAUUAUGUCUUUGUGGCAUAUCUUCCUUUUGCAAUCUUUGGGCCUCAAUAUAGUUUGUCUUCCUCCAAGUAUUUACCGUUGGAUAUGUGUAUUGCAUUCCAUUCUCUUGUUGAGAAAUACACAAUUUAUGGAGGAACACAUUUUAUAUUGGCCUUCUAAGCUUUUAGACCAUUUUGGCAAUCGAUGACAAUGGGGGAGAAGUUUCAGAGAGUUGUGUGGAGAAGUUUAGAGAGUUGUCUCCUCUUGCUUUGGUUUUGUUCCUUAGCAUUUGCAUCUCAUUUGCAUGCACUAUUGGUUGUUGUAUUGCAUGGUGAUGCACAAUUCCUUAUAUAAACUCUCUUGAAAGUGAUUGUCAUCAAUUACCAAAAUGGGGGAGAUUGAAAGAACAUGCGAUGCCUCCAUGUUUGGUUUUGGUAAUUGAUGACAAUCUCUAUGGACUAAUGGUUGCCUUGAGUUAUAUUUGAAGGUUUUGUCCAUAGGCUUUUCUUGAAGUCCAUGUGUUGGUUUCAAGUAGUUUAUGAGUUGACCAAGGUGCUAUUAAGGAAUUAUCCAAAGAUUGGUCAUGUGAGUGUUGAGCUUAUUGCAAGCAUGUCUUGAAGAAGAAGAUUAUGUGAUCAUUCAUGUUUACCUUCAAGACAUCAUCCAAAUGAAGAGAGUUGGAAAGAUUCAAGGUUGAUCUAGCCUAAGUACAGAGAGUGAUUCAAGUUGAUCAACACACAAAGCGCACAAGUUGUACCGAGAGGGACCAAGUGUUCCCAUGGUAUGGUAAGCAUUGUUCAUUACGCUUUGUGUACUAACCCAUGGUCUACAUGAGAGUUCUUUGCGGGGUUAGGUAUGUUUCCAUGGUCUUGCGUCAAGAGGAAGAUCCCAUACAACCCAUGGAGGAUGACAUCAAGUGGUGAUCGUCAUCAAGUUUGCUGUGUGCAAGUUCAAGUGGAGCAACACGAAGAGUGGCUCACCCAUAAUGGAGUAUGGGGGAGCAAUCAAGUUUGAAUCUUGCCAUCCAUUGUGGUGUCAAUGGACUUGUGAAGAUGUGCCGAAGAGUCGCUCACCCAUAGUGGACUAUGGGGGAGCAAUCAUCUAGUCUUCAUCGAGCCAACGCAAUCAAGAAAGGUGGUCCAACUUGAGGGAGUCAAGAUCAUUUUCAUCUAGCUCAAGUGGACCAUGUGCAAGGCAAAGGUUUGCCCUUGAUAGGUUUUUUAUUUUACCGGUCUCGUGGUGGUAGUUGGGAGACCGGGUUAUAGGAUCGUUUGCCGUACUAUCAAGGGGGGCUCUCAAGUUGGUAGCUUGAUCGUAUCGUUAGUAGAGAGCUCAAACCAUUGCAUCCUUGCAUCAUGUUUCUUUGUUCUUGUUUGGUUCUCUUUGUGAGUCUUAGAGCUUAUGGUCAUCUUGAUGACAAGCUUGAGUUCAUCGAAAACGGAGUUCGCAUGCGUCUUCUAUGAUGUUUUCGGUGUUGGAGGUUUUACCGGUCUUAUCCAAGGAAGGGUUCUCACCAUUUUCUUAUGGGCCUUUUCUCAUUUGCUUCUUAUUGAUAUUUCUAUCAAGAUUGUGUUAGCCCUUGUUUCUAGCUUUCUAACAAACUUGGUUUCAUCGAAUUCGGAGCUCGUAUGCGAAAGUUGUGGCUGUUUUGAUAUUGCCUGUUUUACAUAGAGAGGUUGUACCGCCCCGUAGAGAGGUUAUACCGGUUGACCGGUACAACCGGUGUUUGAAGCGGUUGUACCGCUCCAGAAUUGGUCCGGAGGUUGUACCGGCCAUGUACCGCUCUACCACCGGACUAGUUUCUGUUUUGGAGCGGUUCUUGGGCGGUUGUUGACCGGUUUAACCGGUACUACCGGUUCCCCGGGCUGUUGUACCGCUUAGAGCUUUUCCCAGGUUGGUUUUUCCUCUGCUUUGGCCAGUUCACUACUACGAAAAGGCCUACUAAUGGCGCACCAGUUUUACCUACUAAUGGCGCAUCACUGGUGCGCCAUUACUAGCACGCCAUUAGUAAUUUUUACUAAUGGCGCACCACUGAUGCACCAUUAGUAUCUGGUAUACUAAUGGCGCACCACUGGUGCGCCAUUAGUAUAGGCCACAGUACGCCAUUAGUAUAGGCCACUGGUGCGUCAUUAGUAUAGGCCACGGUGCGCCAUUAGUAUUUUUAAAUUUUGAAGGCGGGAAAAUAGUAGUGGCGCACCGUCUAACCCCCACCGUGCGCCAUUGCUAUUUUUGAAUUUUGAAUUUGGAUCUGGAUCGUGAUUUUUUUGCCCAUUUUUUGCUAGUUUUUUUUGCUCAUUUUUUGGCACAAUAUUAUUUCAAAUUUUGUUCCUGUUUUUGGAUCUUGUACGUUCUUUUGCCGUGUUCUUUUGCCGGAGAGAAGUUUGCCGGAGAGGAGGAGGAGGAGGUCACCGGAGAGGCGCUCGCCUACAUCGCUGGAGAGGAGGAGGAGGUCGCCGGAGAGGAGUUCACCGAAGCAUCGGAGAGGAGGAAGGAGAAACCAUGAGGGAAUGGGAGGAGAGGAGGGAGGAGGAGCUCACUGGAGAGGAGGGAGGAGGAGCUCACCGGAGAGGAGGGAGGAGAAACCGUGAGGGAAGGGGAGGGGAGGAGAGGAGAGGAGGGAGGAGNNNNNNNNNNNNNNNNNNNNNNNNNNNNNNNNNNNNNNNNNNNNNNNNNNNNNNNNNNNNNNNNNNNNNNNNNNNNNNNNNNNNNNNNNNNNNNNNNNNNNNNNNNNNNNNNNNNNNNNNNNNNNNNNNNNNNNNNNNNNNNNNNNNNNNNNNNNNNNNNNNNNNNNNNNNNNNNNNNNNNNNNNNNNNNNNNNNNNNNNNNNNNNNNNNNNNNNNNNNNNNNNNNNNNNNNNNNNNNNNNNNNNNNNNNNNNNNNNNNNNNNNNNNNNNNNNNNNNNNNNNNNNNNNNNNNNNNNNNNNNNNNNNNNNNNNNNNNNNNNNNNNNNNNNNNNNNNNNNNNNNNNNNNNNNNNNNNNNNNNNNNNNNNNNNNNNNNNNNNNNNNNNNNNNNNNNNNNNNNNNNNNNNNNNNNNNNNNNNNNNNNNNNNNNNNNNNNNNNNNNNNNNNNNNNNNNNNNNNNNNNNNNNNNNNNNNNNNNNNNNNNNNNNNNNNNNNNNNNNNNNNNUGGAGGAGGUCGCCGAAGAGGAGAAGGAGGUCGCCGGAGAGGAGGAGAAGGAGUGGAGGAGAGGAGAGGAGGAGAUGGAGUGGAGGAGAGGAAAGGAGAUGGAGUGGAGGAGAGGUGGAGUGGAGGAGGUGCGCCCAGCCAUAUAUACGACAUAGUAAUGGCGCACCGUGGGCAGGUGCGCCAUUACUAACUUUUUUUUAUUUUGACUUAUUUUGAAUUUUGAAGGCGGGGAAGAUACUAAUGGCGCACCAUGGGCCGGUGCGCCAUUAGUAACUUAUUUUUUAUUUUUUUGACUUAUUUUGAAUUUUGAAGGCGGGAAGGUACUAAUGGCGCACCAUGGGCAGGUGCGCCAUUAGUAACUUUUUUUAUUUUUUUGACUUAUUUUAAAUUUUGAAGGCGGGAAGAUACUAAUGGCGCACCAUGGGCAGGUGCGCCAUUAGUGAGUUUGAAUUUUUUUGAAUUUUUUUGCCUCUUCAGAUCUUAAAAGCCCCGUAUCUUUUUUUCUGUUAGGUUUUUGAGGAUUUUGAAAAUGUUUAACGGGGUUCCCCCGAUUAAAUUCGGAUGUAACUUUUCGAGUAGAUGAUUUUUCAUAUAAAAAACUUUUUCAUCCGAGUUAGUAUGCAAAAGUUAUGCCCAUUUUUACAAAUUCUCGAGAGAUUUUGCAAAUGAAGUCGAAAUUCAUAUUUGCAAAUUUUCCCAACAACUAGACCAUAUAUCACAUGGGAAACUUAUUUUCUUUUAUUUUUUUGACAUUUUCAUCAUUUUCUUUUAUUUUUUUUAAAACUGAAAAGGCGAUCCACAGGGGGGUGCAUUCGGUGAAAGUGGUGGCCAAGUUACUAAUGGCGCACCGUGGCAUGGUGCGCCAUUACUAGUUGAACUAGUAAUGGCGCACCACUCCCACGGUGCGCCAUUAGUAAUUUUGACAAAAAAAAUUUAAAUAUUUUUUUUACUAAUGGGGCACCCGCGAUGUGGUGCGCCAUUAGUAUUUGGACACUAAUGGCGUACCAACACAUGGUGCGCCAUUAGUAUAUAGUAAUGGCACACCACAUGUCUGGUGCGCCAUUAGUGUCAAUUCCAUCUAUAGCCCUUUUCCUAGUAGUGGUUGUACCGGUUCGUGCACCGGUUGUACCGGUCCUACAGGUUUAUGCACAUAACGGGCAGAUUCGUGGGGACCUAUUUAAGGGGGUCUUCUGCCCCAAUGGUUCCCCAUCUCUUGAGCUCGUUUUGCCCCCAUUGUUGACCUUCUUUGAGCUUGCUAACUCUCAAUCCCUCCAUGGAUUCUUGCUAGUUUUUGAGGGAAAAGAGAGAGGAGAUCUAGAUCCACACUUCCACCAAUCACUUUCUCCUCUAUGUGAGGGGAACCCCUUGGAUCUAGAUCUUGGAGUUCUUUGUGUUCUCCUUCUUGUUCUUCCUCUUACUUUCCUCCCUAGCAUUAGUUGCUUUGGUGGGAUUUGAGAGAGAAGGACUUGGGUACUCUGUGUGCCCUUGCCAUUGCAUUUGUGCAUCGGUUUGAGUUCUCCACGGUGAUACAUGGAAGUGAAGUCUGAGAAGCUUAUUACUCUUGGGUGUUUGGGCACCCUAGAGCUUGUUUCUCUUGGGUGCCUUGGCGCCCUAGACGGUUGGUGGUGUUCGGAGCUCAAUCAUUGUGGUGUAAAGCUCCGAGCAAGCGUCGGGGUCUCCAAUUAGGUUGUGGAGAUCGCCCCGAGCAAUUUGACGGGUACAGGUGACCGCCCCCAAGGGUCGCCAAAGUGUACGGGUUCGGUGACCGCCCCCAAGGGUCGCCAUUUGUACGGGUUCGGUGACCGCCCUCAAGGGUCCCUUAGUGGAAUCACGGCAUCUUGCAUUGUGCGAGGGCGUGAGGAGAUUACGGUGGCCCUAGUGGCUUCUUGGGGAGCAUUGUGCCUCCACACCGCUCCAAACGGAGAUUAGCAUCCGCAAGGGUGUGAACUUCGGGAUACAUCGUCGUCUCCGCAUGCCUCGGUUAUCUCUUACCCGAGCCCCUUUACUUAUGCACUUUACUUUGUGAUAGCCAUAUUGUUCUUUGUCAUAUAUAUUGCUAUCACAUAGUUGCUUAUCUUGCUUAGCAUAAGUUAUUGGUGCACAUAGGUGAGCCUAGUUGUUGUAGGUUUUGUGCUUGAGAAAUUAACCGCUAGGUUUAUUCCGCAUUUGUUCAAGCCUAAACCGUAAUUAUUUUAAAGCGCCUAUUCACCCCCCCCCUCUAGGCGACAUCCUCGAUCUUUCAGAAACGAUUGUGUUUUUAAUGGCAAAACCUCUUCUUCUAUGCAGGUUAUUUACCGUUGUAUGCACUGACUUUGUAUGUGGUUUACGCUAUAGCGAAUGGAGUAUCAAUCACUGUUCAAGGCGGUGUGUAAGCGGUUGGAGCAGGUGGUCAGAGAGGUUUUUACCCAACAUGGGUGGCAACAUAAUCUCCGGAUCAGUCCACCUCCUCCGUCGACAUUGGCAUAGUUUUGGACUCAUAUGGCUUUACUGUUGCCAACUUGUCGUUUUUUUAUAUAUACUUUGCUGGACUCUUUGUUAAGGCCGUGUGCAUCUUAGCUAUGCAGAGGCCGGGUGUCGCUAAUUAUGCUUUGUAUCCACUUGAUGCUACAUUAUGAGUUAAUAAAAGUGCCUUUUUCGAAAAACUGUUUAGAGUUUAGAGCUCUAUAUGCAUGUCAUCUACUCUCUCUGAUUCAAAAUAAGUGUCGCAAUUUUGAAUUAAGGUUAAUUUAACCUUAGUUUAAAAUUGUAACAUUUAGUAAGAAUCGGAGGGAGUAGCAAAGGCGUCUCCGUCUCCAUACCUCUGCUUGAAAGAUCAAAACCCUAGUAGAUCAAUGGGCUAGCUCCAUUGCAUGAUCUUCGAAACUGUGAUAUUGGACAUCAUCUGCACUAGAUUUAAUUAGGCGAUCAACUUUGAGAGCUUAGAAAACUGGGAUAACAUGUCUAGAGUCAUUUCAGACGGUGCAGUAUUCUGAUUUUAGGUCUGAGUCUCCAUUACAGAACUUUUUUAGAGAAAAGGCAUCGGUCAAGCCCGAGAGAAGGCUCGAACCUAGCCCGACUUUGAAUUAAUAAAUCCAUCAACCGGCCAGGAUUACAACAAUCAACCACUUACAAGCAGCAUAAAGUAAGAAAGAAAAGAAAGGCACUGAGGCAGAACAACCUCAGGCGAUACAAGGUGCAAAACUGGAUAGUGCACAACCUAAGACUAAACAAGCAGCUACAAGAUGAAACUAAAGAACUGAGAUUGAUCAGUCAGGGCCUUCGUCCAUCAAAACAGCAAGCACCAGACAAACACCGAACUUGUGGAGAAUACCAAUGUGAAAGGAUAAGGCCCAAGCCCACUCUUGCAUGAUGAACAACCUGGGCACAAUGGCAUCCGUCUUCGUCGCCGUAGAAGGCCACCACCUUCUCGUCCCAGAUCUAAAGGACGCCGUACCGUCAGCAGGUGAAGUGGUUCCCAAGAAUCCGAAUACACAAAUGGCCACUAGGUGUACCAUGGGAGGGGCUGCAACAUACCACAUUGAGCUCCACAAGAAACAGUCGUUGCCAUGGCACAACCACGAGGGAGGCAUGCACUGCAGGAUGGGAACACGAAAUAAAUCGACACGGCUAUAAGUUGAUAAAGUGCAAUGCCGCCACAAUAGCCACCAACACAUCCCAACACGACAUCCACUCCGCGGUCCAAGGACGACGCCUUCAGGAAGGGGAGUGGUGCUGUAGCGCCGCCGUCGUCCCGAAGCAGGACCAAGGUCUUCACCUAGACGCAGGGGAAGGAUGGGUGGGGUGGGUUACCUCAACGAAGCCAAGUGGUUCGACGCCGCGACUUUGUCGACGUUGUGGCCGCCUCCAUCGGCCAAGGGUUUCCCCGGUCCUAGGAGCCCCACCGCCAAAACGCCAUCAACCACCGAAUGCGGCAAGCUGGGCCACACCGGAGCUUAGAUCAAACGGGAGAAGUGCGGAGCAUGGAGUUGGAGCUGGUCGAUUCAAAUCUGGCGCCUGGCCGAUGGAGGAAAUCCGUCCACUGCGUGCUCCAUCCACCAGGCCUUGCCGCUCAAGCAGACCGAGCAGCCCAGCCGAGCACCCACAGUCGUUGUCUGCCGUGGGGACAGUGCUGCCCAACUUGACCGAGGCCGCCAUCCUGGCACGCCAUGCCCUUCAUGCCAGGCGGGAGCGCAAAGCCUCGCCGCCACCUUCCUUGGCGCCGUGUGAGUUUGCCGGCGGCUGUCUCCGAUGGCGGCAAGGACAAGAUGGAGGAGAAGAGAGGCCGCCGGCGGGCUAGGGUUGGGAGCCGCCCGAGUUGCCCCACGGGAGCUCAUUACAGAACUCAUUGUGAAGGAAUAGCCAGAACUCAUUUUCUUGACCCGGGGUGAUAACACGCUUCUAUACUCACGUAAGAACCACGAGUUGAGAAGUAUCAGGUGCUGCAAACACUCUGCAAUGUUCAAAAACUCAAGUUUGAAUAUUAAAAAAUAAUUCUAAUUUUUUUAAGGACGUUCACAUAACAUAUGUCUACAUCAUCUAAUAAGUUCAAAUACGAUAGAGAAACAAAAAUAACAAAUCUAUCAUGAAUAGUGCCACAAAAAGGAAAAAGAAAAAACGACACUAUUUUUUUUGCGGGAAGAAAACAACACUGUUCACAUCUAGAACAAUACUAUUCACAUCUAGAAUUGUCAUUUUUCUUUCUCAAUGUGUAUUUUGAUUUUCAAUUUGAGAGAGAUAGCGGAUACAUGUCUUAAGAACAUUCACAUUUUUUUUAGAAUUUUUUGACGCAUAUAAAUUUAGUGGCAAAGCUGGUGCCUUGUGACCAUGAGGUCAUGGGUUCAAUUCUGGAAACAACCUCUUACAAAAAUGUAGGAAAGGUUGUGUGCUAUACAGCCAAAGUGACCGGACCCUUUCACAGACCAGUAAUGCUACACCGACGCACGGUUACAGGGUUCUACAGGGUGAGUUUCAGCUGGCAAACCGUGAUUGGAUUAAAGGGAGUGAGGAGCCCCACCCACCNNNNNNNNNNNNNNNNNNNNNNNNNNNNNNNNNNNNNNNNNNNNNNNNNNNNNNNNNNNNNNNNNNNNNNNNNNNNNNNNNNNNNNNNNNNNNNNNNNNNNNNNNNNNNNNNNNNNNNNNNNNNNNNNNNNNNNNNNNNNNNNNNNNNNNNNNNNNNNNNNNNNNNNNNNNNNNNNNNNNNNNNNNNNNNNNNNNNNNNNNNNNNNNNNNNNNNNNNNNNNNNNNNNNNNNNNNNNNNNNNNNNNNNNNNNNNNNNNNNNNNNNNNNNNNNNNNNNNNNNNNNNNNNNNNNNNNNNNNNNNNNNNNNNNCCUGCGCAAGCGGGAGUUACAUGCACCGGGUUGCCCUUUAUAAACUCGAUCCUUAAAAAUGGAAGCAUAGGAGCAUAUGAAAGUUGGGAGCACUAGAUACACAAACAAGACGAUAGAAGUUGAUGAAAAAAAAUCAUCUCACAGAAGAGAUCAAAGAAAAUCAAGACAAACAAAAAGUUCAAUGCAAACAACGCACAAGAGACAUAUUACUAACGCCACAACACGGUAAUUAGCAAUGAGUAGCCGGACUCCAGGUCUCCAGCCAUACGGCCCCGCGGCUGUCGACAAAGAGCGAGCCCACAUCUUAAGAAGGAACCACCGGACUUCGCCGCAAAACCCUCACAAAAUUAUCGAGAGAGGAACCUUGCCCCUCUCGCUCCAGUCUGAGGAGCGCCGAUCUUGCCGGCAAGCAACAUGAGCCAAGGGCGUCAACGACACAAUCACAGGCGGAGCUCCCGGUAGGGCGAGGCAGGGCGCCCGCCCUACCUUGAUUUUGUGCAGAAAGAUUAGUACAUGUAGUCAUAUGCUGUCGCCAGCCGGUUCUAUGUGCAUGGAGUCACGUUCGCUAGAAAAAAGAAACGGAAGAAAAAGGAGAGGGCCUAGUCGCUCCUGCAGCUUUGAUCCACAUUAUUUCGGUCCGUGAAUUGCUCUGCUGCUGGGCAUCCUCCGGUAAGCGGGAACUGAGAAAGCAAUCAAGCCCAUCCCAGUUGAUCAAGUCGCACGCACGAGCUUCCCUAAAAAAAAAGGGCGCACACACCUCUACAUGCUAUCUGUCUCUCUAAGAAAAACAGUACAAUACAAGCGAACCAAUCUAUGGUUGAGAUGGUUACGUGGACAGUGGUAUCCCCAACCCAUCAGGGUUCAAAUCCUGGUGCUUGCAUUAUUUCUGGAUUUAUUUCAGGAUUUCCGGCAAUGCGCUUUCAGUGGGUGCAGACGUUCCCAUCGACGACGAGGCGCCUACGGUGGCUUCGUAAAUCUCAAGAUGAUAUGCCGGCUCAGUCUCUCGGAGGUGCUCAUAGGGGUAGGAUGUGCGUGUGUGUGUUCAUAGGGGUGAGUGUAUGCGCGUGUAUAUGAGCGCUUGUGUCUGUACUGAUGCUAAAAAAAACAGUACACCACGUCAUCACAUAGAGAGAUGUAAAUUUUUAGAGAAUAGCUUCACAAUCUAGAUCGCAUUAAAGCUUCAUUAUCCAUUUGUUUUCAGGUCUACUUAAAUAUGUUUGCAUUUCCAUUGUAUUUGAAUUGGUUUAAAAUCAUGUAAAAUUACCAGAGCAUAUUAUUAUUGCGUACAUGCUAUUUUGAUAUUUCAUCAAAUUAUAUAUUACUCCCUUCGUCCCAUAUUAUAAGAGCGUUUUUGACACUACACUAGUGUAAAAAUGCUCUUAUAUCACGGGAUGGAGGAAGUAGUCCUUAGGGUUCGCCCCACCUUAAAUUUUUUUCGUAAAGAAGAUAGAAGGCGGACGAGACCAUCCCACGCCGGAGCCAAUGAGCACACCGUCACACCACAGUCGGAAGGUACAUGCGAUCCACGACAACACCCAAGAGGUUAACAGCACAAAGCAUCCCCGCACCAAGUCCGACUGAAAUCACAUGGGUUUUCACCCAAAACUAUAGGACGUGGAGGAGAGCCACGCUGACGCCAUCACGACGCCCACAUGCGUCGUUGCGCAUAGGUUUCGCUCGCUAACACGCACACACCACGACGAGGCACGUAGGCCACUAAGCCCACCCCGAGGAAAGUCAUGUCGUGACAAGAUCGUGGCCUCCAGAUCCAGAGGACACAACCGGCAUGCCGAGGCCGCCAUAUGUCCGAUAUUGCCAGGGGCGCACAUAACAAAGGACAGCGGGAGCGGCCACAAUCUUCGACAACACAGGCGAAGGGAAACGGGGCAACCAACAAAGUGGACAACGAAUGCCGUGACCUUGCCGCCAUCGUCCACUCCCCUAAGGCCAACUUCAUCGCGUGACCCUAUCAUGUCCGGACCCGUCUGUUUGGGAUAAAACGGACAAACCGAGCGGCCCAGCGCGCGGUGACAAACGGACUUUUGUCCGUGUGUCCGCUUUCGAUCCAUCUGUGGCCCAAGUUUGCGCCGCUUUUGAGGUGAACCAGACAUCACACGGACUCGUCGGCCGUCUACGGAUGUCCUCCCCUGGCCUGUCCAUCGGUGGCACGGGACGGGCCUUUUCUAUCCGCCCCCUCCCUCCCUCCGACCGCACCCCACUCCACUCUUCUCCACUCUUCCCCACUCUUUCCCUCGCCGCCGCUGCCAUUGCAGUCGUGUAACUCGGGCGCGCGCUCGCCCAGCCCCUUCCCCUCGUCGCCGCCGAGCUACCCAACCACGACCACCUGGUUUGCGCAUCCGCCGGCUGGAUUUGGGGCGGAUCCGGUCGGUCUUGAGCUCACCCGACUGUGGGAGGUCGGGCCGCGCCAUGGACUGGCCGGGCACCUCGCCGGAAGGCCCAGGCAGGGCCGCGAGGCCACAUGCAGGCAGUGGCUCGUCCUCUAGCCGCUCGGAUCUGCACCAUAGGUGGUCCGCCGGCAGAUACACGAAUGGCGGCCGGCCGGGCUCGGUGCUUGCCCAAAAACUCGUCGGCGCACCGUUGCCCCUCAUCAAGUGCGACCACUGCCCAAGGAUGGUCGUGCGUCGCGUGUCUACAACGCCGGAACAUUCCGGAUGGGUGUUCAUCAAGUACUUAAACGAUGGGGUAUGUGCUUUUUUUAGCUUCGGUUUGUGCUAUCGGAUGAGACUAGUUGUGUUAACUUUAAGUUUUAUUAUGUAGAAUGAAUGCAAGUUUUGGUAUUUGGAAUAAGAGUACAUCGAUAUAUUGAUAGAGCGAAAUUUAGUACAUGUUCGUGCACUUUUAGCUAGCUUAGAGGUUGUAGAUGAGACAAGUGCACUUGUUGCUAGAUUAGAGGCUAGGCACGAUAUUACGUGUGAGGAAGCAACAUCGACUUCUGGCUUGAAGAAGAAAGGAGGAUGCAACGUCGAGCCUCCUCCACAGAUCAAUAAUGAGUGCAUCGAGAAGGCCCUAACCCAACUCAAGGGAGCAGUUAUGGAAGUUGGGUAUCUUCUCAAAUGUAUUCUUAUGGUUUUUGUUUUCUUUGGUCUUGCUUUACUAGUCAAAAUGUGAUGAUGUAUUGUCUUGUACCAAAAAUGAAUGAUGAAACAAAGUUUAAGGACUUGCAAAGAAAUAUGCAUGCGGACAAGAUGCGGCCGGGAUGCGCCCACGCGCUGGACGCGUGGCCAUCGCAUUCCAGAAACUGCCCGGACACGACCCCAUUGCCCUAUCCAAACGGACAGAAUCCGGACAAAACGGACGUCCGUUUUGGGUCGCGCGGUGGAGUUGGCCUAAGGCCGCUGCCCCGACAUCUAUCCACCACGGAAAUGCUCCUUUGCGAGCGAGCGAUUCCAACGACGAUCUCGUAUCCUCACGCUAUCGGAAGCCAAAGGACAGAUGGGCCCACCAACUUUAAUGCAUCAGCCCACAUGCGCGUGUACAUCGCUCGACCUUCCCUACUCUCUCUCUCCUGUGAACUCUUAAUCUUCGCCCCCCUAAUUUCAACUAGUAAGCUUACACGUGCAACGCACAUCUAAAUUUAGACGAUAAGUACAUCCUUUUGUAAAAUAUCCGUGCGAUUCCUAACUUAGUUAUUUGAAGUGCAUUGUUUGACCAUUUAUGAUGGUUUGAACAGUGGGCAAAAAGGGAUCUUUAGACACGAAACAAGAUCUCUGAGUCGACCAAAACAGAAUCCACAAACUAAGAUAACAUCAUCCAUAAGCUGCCAUAAACAUCCCAUCGCUUCUCCUCUUUCUCCCAUCGGCAACCUUCUUCAUCCGGGCUCCCAACUGGUGUUGGUUCGUCAUGUCGACACGGAGCUUACCAUAUGCAUCUGCAUUCGCCGCGUAUGUAAUCGCCCUGGACCCUGGAUGGCCAUAGCAAGCUCCUCUUUUAGAAUUGGAUAACCAGCCCUCGAGCAAGGGAGGCGUAAACAUGGAGAAAAAGAAACAUAUCAUACUUGCGAGCACACCUUGGGAAGAUGUCUCUUCCAGCUGGGCCUUGUAUCUUGAGCAUCCAGUGACAUGUUCUUGCGGCGGUGGUCUUUGAAAAUUCCAAUGGUCAAAACAAGCAUAGAAGAAACCUUGUAAAAUAAUGGACGUGUAGACUAAUGAAACUGAUUGAUUUCUGAUGUAACCACUUUUUAAAGGGGACAUGGUAACACAAAACACAUGUUUCCAAAGAUCAAAAGGAGUAAAAAAUUAUGUAGCGGUGUCUUCAUAGGUUUUGCCGGUGUGAUAGCGAUGGAAAAUUUGUCUUCUUGGAAUUUGUACAUAUGACAUCUUCCAAGAAAGAAAUUAUUUAUGUACUUGCAUUUCACAUGCCGACCCAACCGUCAUCUGGCUUAACUUGAAGUGGCAGAACUUAACACUGUUCGACACACGAAAGGCUGCUGGCACAUAAGGGUAGUUCUAUGUCAUACUAAACCACAGUUUAAGCAUAAUAUUGAUCUGUUGGUGUACCCAAAAAAAAGAAGUGCAAUGCAUGUCUUCGAUAUAAAAUUCACAAUUUUAUUAAUCUUGCAUGUACACUUUAUGUUUUUGGUUGAUAUGCACUCCGUAAAAGAAUACAAACUCACUAAUAAUAGUCUGAUCGUAUCUCUUAUACAGAAGCUGAAACUAAUAUUUGGCCCUAGCAUUACACCGUUAAGCACCUGAAGUCAUUCUUAUUCCAAAUAAAAGCACCGUAACUGAAGCAACCAACAAACUAAACUCUAGAACAUCAACGGAUAAUCAGAUCAAUCCUUCUCUAAAGCUCGCAUGACAGAAAUGUCAAAUUCUAACCUAGUUGAAAAAUACUGUAUAGGGUACAUGGUCCACCCACCUAAUAAAUAUAAUAGAUCGGCAUCAUUACGUCUAAUAUGCAAUAAAUUAUGCACCAAAUAGAAUUCGAUAAAAUCCAGUAAAUCUAAUUUUUCUCGUUCCAUAUAUUAGUUUUUUAGAUAUAAGAGGAGAAAUAUUUCAUGGAUAGUUAAAGUCCUCACUCAGGCUUAGAAUUAGAAGAAACAAACAUUAGAACUGCAUUUGCUCGAUCCUUGAGUGAAACCUUGGUUGUUACCUCUCCCAAGAAAAGAAAAAGAGAAGAUACCAAUAAUCUGGAUGCGGCAUCAAUAGCACGGCUCGAAAGUAUAUAUAGAUGCAGUUUCAAGACUAACUAACCAUUUUGCAUUGAAGUUUGCAAAUAAAUCAUUUCCAUGUUUGAACAAAGGGAACUUGUAAACAUCUGAACCAGGAACAGAUGUUUCUUUAAGAUUUAACAAUAGUAGCAGAAACCCUGCAGCAAAGAAAUAAUUCUGAUGCACUGGGAUAAAAAAUUCUGAUGUACUUUAGUACCUUUUCAUAUGAAGGUGAGUGAGUAGAGAGACUAACACAACCAUAAGCACACGUCUCCUCAUUCCGCAAUUCAGAGCCUAGUUACUUUAUGAGCCAAUAUAUGCAUCAAUUCAGGAUCCUCCGGUGUAUAAACUGGUACUUUCGAAUCACAUUGCAACUUUUUGUUGAAGAAACAAUUUGCACAUUCAGUUACAUCGGCAUGAGCAUCGGUGCAGCUGACAUCGUCCUCUCCUAAUAGCCAUUUAUGCAGGGCAAAAAGUUGCAUUACAAAAAGAAAUAGACAUCGAAGAAAAUACCAUGGGUUGAAUCAAGAUGUCAACAUGUGGCUGCAAACUUGCAAUUCUUAUAGGAUUUAAACAAAAAAUAACAUAUAUUGCCUAAUCGGGCCAGGCGUCGCAGCAGCGUUACACUACUGGAAUAUGGGAAUUUUCCAUCAGCCAGCUCUUUGCCAUCUGCCAGCUGAUGGCAAAGAACGUCUUUGCCAUCUGCUUAUAAAAAACAGAUGGCAAAGAACUGACAGACGGCAAAGAACAUGGUUGCCAUCAGCCAAUUUUUUGCCAUCUGCCAGCAGAUGGCAAAUAAUCUUUGCCAUCUGCCAGCAGAUGGCAAAGAGGUUGGCAAAUCAUGUGGACGUCAAUAGUGUAACGGUGUACCAGCCCCACCUCUUUGCCAUCUGCUAGCAGACGGCAAAGAUUCUUUGCCAUCUGCUGGCAGAUGGCAAAGAGAUGGGGUUAUUUUUUUGCAGAUAAAAAAACUGUGGGGUUAUCCCUUCCCUCUCUCCCCUCCUCUCCCACGCAUCUGCACGCAUCUCANNNNNNNNNNNNNNNNNNNNNNNNNNNNNNNNNNNNNNNNNNNNNNNNNNNNNNNNNNNNNNNNNNNNNNNNNNNNNNNNNNNNNNNNNNNNNNNNNNNNNNNNNNNNNNNNNNNNNNNNNNNNNNNNNNNNNNNNNNNNNNNNNNNNNNNNNNNNNNNNNNNNNNNNNNNNNNNNNNNNNNNNNNNNNNNNNNNNNNNNNNNNNNNNNNNNNNNNNNNNNNNNNNNNNNNNNNNNNNNNNNNNNNNNNNNNNNNNNNNNNNNNNNNNNNNNNNNNNNNNNNNNNNNNNNNNNNNNNNNNNNNNNNNNNNNNNNNNNNNNNNNNNNNNNNNNNNNNNNNNNNNNNNNNNNNNNNNNNNNNNNNNNNNNNNNNNNNNNNNNNNNNNNNNNNNNNNNNNNNNNNNNNNNNNNNNNNNNNNNNNNNNNNNNNNNNNNNNNNNNNNNNNNNNNNNNNNNNNNNNNNNNNNNNNNNNNNNNNNNNNNNNNNNNNNNNNNGACUAGACCGAAAAGCUUCGAAUGAAGAAGUAGGAAGCCCCUUGGUCAUGAUGUCGGCAAGUUGAUGAGUUGUAGGAACAUGAACAACACGGAACUGUCCCAAAGCCACCUUCUCGCGUACAAAAUGUAUGUCCAGCUCAAUAUGCUUUGUCCGACGAUGAUGAACGGGGUUAGCAGAGAGGUAUACCGCGGAGAUAUUAUCACAGAACACCAUAGAGGCCUUGUCAACGACACAAUGGAGCUCGACAAGAAGUUGACGAAGCCAACAACAUUCAGCCACGGCAUUGGCCACCGCACGGUAUUCGGCUUCAGCACUCGAGCGAGAAACAGUAGGUUGGCGUUUGGAGGACCAAGACACCAAAGUGUCCCCGAGAUAAAUGCAAUAUCCGGAAGUAGACCUGCGAGUGUCCGGACAGCCAGCCCAGUCAGCAUCGGAAUAAGCAGCAAUGGCGAUGGAGGGGUUGCCAGCGAUCCGAAGCUCAUGUGAAGUAGUACCGCGGAGAUAGCGUAGUAAGCGCUUGAUCAAUCCCCAUUGAGCAUCACGUGGAGCAUGCAUAUGCAAACAAAUUUGCUGGACAGCAUAGGCUAUGUCCGGCCGUGUCAAUGUGAGGUAUUGAAGAGCACCUGCAAUACUUCGGUAGAAGGUGGAAUCCGAUACAAGCUCACCAGAGGCAGCUGAGACCUUGGGCUUGGUGUCAACAGGCGUGGAGGCUGGCUUGCAGUUAGACAUGGCAGCACGAUCAAGAAGCUCCUCAGCAUAUCUCUCUUGAGAGAGAAAGAAACCAGAGGCCGUGCGACGAACUGCAACACCGAGAAAAAAAUGAAGAGGCCCGAGAUCCUUCAUCUUGAAUUCAGUGCUGAGAGAGGUGAUGAUCAUCCGAAGAAAUGAUGUCGAGGAAGCUGUCAGCACAAUGUCAUCAACAUAAAGAAGCAAAUAAGCCAUGUCUGAACCACGACGAAGCACAAAGAGUGAGGUGUCCGAAAGAGCCGAAGAAAAUCCAAGGCGCCGAAGAAAAUCACCAAUGCGUGUGUACCAAGCGCGUGGAGCCUGUUUAAGCCCAUAGAGAGACUUGGACAACAGACAUACAUGCUCGGGAUAUGUUGCAUCAAUGAAACCCGUCGGUUGAGCACAGUAAACACACUCUUGAAGGACUCCAUGAAGGAACACAUUGGAUAUGUCCAACUGAUGCACGGGCCAAUGCCGAGAAGCAGCAAGAUGCAAGACUGUGCGGACUGUGGCUGGUUUGACCACGGGACUGAAAGUCUCACCAAAGUCAAUGCCGGCACGUUGAGUGAAUCCACGAACAACCCAACGAGCUUUGUAUCGAUCCAAGGAACCAUCGGGUUUGAGUUUAUGCCGAAAUACCCAUUUACCGGUGACGAUAUUGGCACCCCGAGGUCAAGGCACAAGAGUCCAUGUGUGAUUGGCCUGAAGGGCAUCAUACUCCUCUUGCAUGGCAGAAUGCCACGCAUGGUCACGAAGAACCGCAUGGGCAGACGAGGGAAGCGGUGAAGGCACAACCGCAGCCGCAUGAGCAUCCUCGAAACGCCGGCUGGGCUGCAGAACGCCAUGCCGUGCACGUGUGGCCAUCGUGUGGAUGGACAUGUCAGAAGGGCGAAGCCAUGGAGCCGCCCGCGGUGGUGCAACCGGAGCCGGAGGUGGCGAAGACGCGACGAGCUCAACGGCAGGGCCGGAGGACACCGCGGGAGAUGACGAAGGGAUCAAACUGGCUGCUGAAGAGUCGCGGGAGGCAGCAACUGGAGUGCCAGCAGGAGCAGCCAUGGCAGCCGAAGUGGGUAACCCAGGAGCAAUGCUCGUAGAAGUAGCUGCCGUGGCACCAGAAUUCGUUGCCAUGGCAGCUGAAUUGGGCGCCGCGGCAGCUGAACUGGGCGACCCGGUAGAAGAAGCAGCAGCCGUGGCAACCGGUGAAGGUGAUGCAGGGGCAGCCACGGAUGGACUUCCAGCAGCCGAAGGGGCGGCCGCUGGGCCAUGCGGACGAGAGGCCGGCGACGUGGGAACCACCAGAGGAUCGGGCUGCAAGGGCACAACCGGCGGUGAGGGAGUCUCCAAUAGCAUGUUCCUGAAAGGAAAAACGCACUCGUCGAAUACAACGUGGCGUGAUGUUAGUACACGGCGACUGACCGGAUCAUAGCAGCGGUAUCCACGGUGAUCGGGAGGGUAACCAAAGAAGACACAAGCAAGGGAGCGGGGAGAAAGUUUAUGAGGAGCAGUGGAGGUGAUGUUGGGGUAGCAAAGGCAUCCGAAAACAUGAAGGUGAAAGUAGUCAGGUGGUGAACCAAAAACAAGUUGAUGAGGUGGAAGAUUAUUGUGUGGGCGACAAGGGCGAAAAUUCAGAAGAUAGGUCGCGGUAUUUAGUGCUUCGGCCCAAAACCUAGGAGGCAUGUGAGCAUGAAAUAGUAGUGUGCGUACACUAUCGUUCAAUGUGCGAAGUAUGCGUUCGAUGCGACCAUUCUGUUGCGAGGUGUAAGGUCAUGUGAGCCGAAGAUGCAUGCCGUGCUAUGCAAAGAAGGUGCGUGAAGCAUUAUUAUCAAAUUCACGACCAUUGUCAGUUUGAAAAGCUAAGAUGUAGCGUUGAAAUUGGGUGGCGACAAAAGCAUGAAAACGAAAAAUAGUGGGAAAAACAUCCGAUUUGCGACGCAACGGAAAAGUCCAAACAUAGUGAGAGUAGUCAUCGAGCAUCACAAGAUAAUACUGAAAUCCCGAAACACUUACGAUAGGAGAUGUCCAAACAUCACAAUGAACAAGAGCAAAAGGAAAACUUGCUUGACUAUCGGAUUGUUUGAAAGGUAAACGAACGUGCUUCCCCAAUCUACAAGCAUGACACGUUGUAGGGGGUGAUUUUUUACAAGUAAAAUCAAACGAAGAAAGUGUUCUGGAAAGAGCAUCAUGUCCGGGGUGACCAAGACGUUGGUGCCAAAGAUCGGUGGUGCCGGCGAGAAGAGCUUGAUGGCUGGCGAUAUGCGGAUAGAGAUCGUCGUCGCUGUUACAUCGGAGAAUCACCGCGCGGGUACGACGAUCCUUGACAGAAAAACCGAGCUCAUCAAAUUCAACAUUAACAGGAUUUAUACGAGUUAAAAGACGAACUGAAAUAAGAUUUUUAAUCAGAUUAGGAGUGACUACUACAUCACGUAAAGAGAGAGGAAAAGAGGAGGUAGGGAGAGAAGCACUGCCGAUGUGAGUAAUGGGAAGGGAGUCUCCGUUUCCGAAUAUGACAUAGGAAAGAUUGGAAGAAGGACAGAAAGAAGAGAGGAUACCGGGAUCGCUGGCCAUGUGGGCAGUCGCGCCUGUGUCAAAGAACCAGUUGGAGCCGCCGCCGCCGGCACCGCCCUGCUGCAAGGAGAGGUUGUUGAGGGCGGCGUGGAGCUGCGUUUGAUCCCAUGCAGGGGGUUGAUGCUGCUGAGGCGCUGGAGCAUAGCCAUUGUAGACCGCUGGAGCACCAAGGCCCGGCUGUCCUAUAUGGGCAGCGUACGCCUGGGGCGUGGAGACGCCAGGGCGUGGGCCAAGAAGACCGGCGCCUGGAGCACGCCAGUUCGGUGGCCACGCCUGAAACAUGCCGGACAGCGGAUAGCUGCCGACGGGCCAAAACAGCGCGGCCGAGUCCCGCGCUGCAGGAGCGCCAGGGGCGCCGGUAGGGGCACCAUGGCCUUGCUGUUGCUGCUGUUUCUUGCGGCCCUUGCCACGGCCGCGACUACCCGAGACAGCAGCAGGUGGAGCAGGCGCGGUUGGGCGAGGCGCCGGGGCAGCCGGCGGUGCAGGCGUGGGGGGGCCGGAGAAGCGGUUGGCGACAAGGGCGGUCGCCUGGAUAUGCUGUGCAUGGCGGGCGAGGCACCGUUCCUCCUGCAAAAGAGCGCCACGAGCACGGGCGAAAGUCAGUCCAGCAGGGUUGAUGGUGAGGGCGGCGAUGCAGUGGCCGAACUCGCCGUUCAGCCCGUUGAUGAACGUGGUGAGCAUGUCCUGGUCGGUGACCGGAGUGCCCACGUCGCGAAGUGUGUCGGAGAGACACUUGAGACGGCUGGCGAAGGCGGUCACCGAGAGAUCUCCUUGGACGAGGUUGAGGAAGUCUCGCUUGGCGAAGCAGGAGCGUUGAAGACGGUUGUCGUGGAAGAGGUCGGUGAUGACGGUCCAACCGUUGGCGGCGGUGUCGGAGGGCCGGAUGAUGAUCUCGAGGAUAUCUUCGGAGACAGUGGUGUAUAGCCAGGAGACGAUACAUUGAUCGAUCUGGGUCCACUCGACGUCGCCCAGCGCCAUAAGAGCGUCAACGGAACCAUCAAUGUGAUCGAGAAGACCGAGCUUGCGGAAAGUGAGGUUGAAGAAGGUUUGCCAGAUGCAAAAGUUGGACUCGUCGAAGUCGAGGAUGACGGUGACGUGGUUGCGUAUGUUGAUGAGUUGGAUGUCGGUGGCAGUAGGAGCAGCAGGAUUGACAGAGCUAGCGGCAAAGGGGUUGGAGGGUUGGGACCCGGAUGCGAGGGAGGAGUUGGGAGUAGAGGCGAAGUCGCCGAAAUCCAUGGCUAUGGCAGCAACGACGGGCAGGGCUGGUGGCUAGGGGUGCAGCGGAAGCAAGUCACGGGAAGGAAAGAAAAACCGAUACCAUGUAGACUAGAUAGUUUAGGAGAAUAUGAUCGCAUGCAUUAGAGGCCCAGAGGGCGCACAUAUAUACAGUUACAUUGCCAGCCUAUACUUGUCCUCCAAGAUCUAAUCCUAGUUUAAAAGGAAAGAAUAGAUAUGGAGGUGCAGAUAGGAAGGUUAGGAUUACAUCACGUAUGUACGCUAAUACAUGCUACCUUAUUCUUACACUCUCCACUCGCCGUCGCCGUCCUCGGCCACUCGCCGUCCCGACCUCUCCACUCGCCUCCUCUGGCCAGCCAACCAUAGUGACAUCGUUCCUCUGACACGCUCGUCCGCUCCGGAUCCAGAUCCACGGCCCCAUUCGCCAUUGCAUGGUAGGGAGCGCUUUAUCUUGUGUUCUAGAGCCUGGAUCUCACGGCAUACCCCUUUUUGUGUGUGAUGCAGCUUCUAGGGAGGGAUGUUGAACGGACAGAUUGAGGCCGUGCCACCGUUCAGGACAGGCUGCUGGUGCUGGCCGUGGACGGGCUGCCGGUGGCAGCGCCGCUCAACGGCCGUCGCUGCUGUCCACUCGGCUCGGACAACUACACCGUUAUCCAGAUGACCUUAGCCCGCCCCGCCUCCACCUCCGCACUGGCCAUGACGCCGUGACGCCCCAGCCGCCUAGGUGCUGCUGCACUUGUCUAGUACUUCUCGCAUUUUUGUUUGCUGGACGACCAGUAUAAGGGUCUCAGAUUCAGUACAAUGUUACACUUCUGCACAAAUCGCUGUUGCCAUUGCCGAGAAUUGGUGUGUGCAUUGCCUUGCCUUGAGCGUGAGUUAGUUAUUUUGCCAAAUGAGCCGUUCAACUAGAUAGUUGGAUUCGGAUGAUAGUGUAGAUUUAUACUCCCUCCGUCCCGAAAUACUUGUCAUCAAAAUGAAUAAAAAGGGAUGUAUAUAGACAUAUUUUAGUUUUAGAUACACCCUUUUUUAUCCAUAGAUACAUCCCCUUUUAUUCAUUUUGAUGACAAGUAUUUUCGGACGGAGGGAGUAGGAACUAAUUAGAAGUAGUACAAACACACGGGAUGUUCAUUUCAAGUUUUUAGCUACAUACUAGCUGUGAACUGUUUGAGAGCUCCCUCGCUCUACAACUUCAGAAUUUUAUAGCCUUUUGCAGUUGCUUCUUUCAUGUAGAGCUCAGGACAUUAAGUACAGGGUUGUAAAAUUCCCAUGACUUCUGUUUGUUUGUAGAGUAUCUUCUAUUUAAUGCCAUCAUGUCAACUUCCUAAAUAUAAUGAUGACACUGUUUUCUUGGGGAUAGUUAUAACUGAAGAAUACUUUCAGGUUUCCAAACCUUGGAAAUAUGAGUGAUUCUCUUUAGAACUGUAUACAUUCCAAGGGAUACGAAAGUAAGGUUAGGAUCCCAGAACAUCUGCAAGUACAAUUUUAGAACCUUCAGGUAGUAGCGCUCCUUUUAUUUUUGAAUGGAAAAAAAGAUCCAUUAUACCUUAUUAGAUAAUGCAAAGUUCAGUUGUAUUUUUCUAGUCUAAGUUGGUCACUGUGCUAGUAGAAAAUGUUACUGGUUAAAGGAUAAUUUUGUAUUUGUCUUGCACUGCGAGCCUCUUAUUGAUGAAGCUAUUUAGUAUAUACGCCCAGUUAUCUUCAUAAUUGUUUCUGUAUUCUUAUCUAUGGUUUAUUUCCUUUAGCUUAAUUAGCUCAGUCAGAGGGUUCUAUGGUCUAUAGACUAAAUACUUGAAAGCUGCUCUUCAUCAUCUUUAUUUUCGCUAAAUCCGAUAGUGGCAUCGGAUCCUCUGCAAGCUAAGAUAUUAUAUUAUCCCACUAGGUUCACACAUUUAGGAUGGAGAAAUUUAAUAGAUAUUUGUGGGAAUUGGUAUCCUUAGCAUCUAAACCAAUUCUUAGAAAGUAUAUAAUAAUCCAAAUCUAACCUGAAUCUUUGGAUUUUAGGGGAGAUAUCCAUGUUUUUCAAUUUUAUACACUGAUGCGCAUGCCCAUGCACUUGUCUUAAAUAUUGUGUUUCUCCUAUUACUCCCCAAAACUAUUAGAAUUUCGUAGGGAUUUACACAUGCUAUGACCAAAGCAACAUGUGAUCUGUUCCAUUGCUGACACAUAUUUAUUACUUCUGUCUUGUGUGAGAAGUAAUAAAUCAAUUGGCAUUUGCCUUGCCGUUGCAGGCAAGCUCGUCGUUGACUUGAGUAUAAUUCUGCACUGACUGCUUGUUCAAUGACUAGUCAUGUCAGCCCGGGUUCUCUGCCAUAUGGAUACUAGUAACAUAAUCAUAUACUUAGCAUUUUUUCCUCCAAAAUGACUCAAUAUGCUUAGCUAGCUCAAAAAUGACAUAAUAAGCUUAAUUAGCUCCAAAAUGACAUAUUUAACCUAUGAUAGCUUUAAAAUGACCUAUACUUAGCAUUUUCCCUCCAAAAUGACUUAAUAUGCUUAGCUAGCUUAAAAAUGAUAUAUUUAACCUAGGAUAGCUCUAAAAUGACCUAUACUUAGCAUCUUUUCCUCCAAAAUGACUUAAUAUGCUUAACUAGCUCUAAAAUGACAUGAUAUGCUUAAGAAAUGACAUAUUUUAGCUCCUAAAUGACUUCAUAUGCUUAGCUAGCUCCGAAAUGACAUAAUGACCUUACUUAGCUCCAAAAUGACCUAUUUUAGAGAUAUAAGUUGCAUCAUAAUAAUCUUCACAUUUUAGUUGCAUCAUAAUAAUCUUCUUCUUCUAGUCUUCUUCUUCUAACUUUCUUCUUUCCCAUUUUACAGAUUUGCUUAAGAUCACGGAAGCUUAGGUUGAUGGAGUGCUUGUAUUUAGUUUUUGUUUUGACCUUGUGAAACUUGCUACCUAUGGAUGAAACUGUGUAAUAUUGAUGAAACUAUGUAUAUGUACGGAUGAAACUUGCUACUAUUGGUAACAUGUGUUGGAUAUAUAUAUGUGUUCAUGACUAUUGGUAAUAUGUGUUGAAUAUGUUAUAUUGGUCAUAUAAAUAUAUUUGUGUUUGAUUUUCUGUGAAAAUAAAUUGAUAUAAGAAAAAAUUAAAUUAAAUGGGGCAAUAUAGGCACUUUGCCAUUUGCUGGCAGAUGGCAAAGAGCUUUGCCAUCAGCUGGCAGAUGGCAAAGAGGCCACGUGUCAU
RNAcentral lists this long non-coding RNA (94601 nucleotides) under Triticum aestivum (bread wheat). RNAcentral describes it as "long non-coding RNA (TAES_LNC001752)". The stretch from base 44882 to 45016 matches the Rfam family "MIR1120/MIR1122 microRNA precursor family". Lineage: Eukaryota; Viridiplantae; Streptophyta; Magnoliopsida; Poales; Poaceae. The record is from RNAcentral.